This 90025-nucleotide long non-coding RNA is filed under the name Phaseolus vulgaris (common bean). RNAcentral's name for it is "long non-coding RNA (PVUL_LNC002081)". The record is from RNAcentral. Lineage: Eukaryota; Viridiplantae; Streptophyta; Magnoliopsida; Fabales; Fabaceae.
AAAACACGUAUACAGUCUGUCAGUUCACGUUACCCCUUACUAAAAUACGCUAAGAAAAGGAUUUCACAUAUUCAACCCUAAGAGAAUGUUUCAUAAGAUAAAUCUUUGUUUGAAAUGAAAGAUAUUUACGCAACAAUAAAAAAGAGAACGAAAAUGGGUAAGAGGAAACGUUGGAAUUUGUAAUGAGGUGUGCAGGGAGGAUUUUAUUACCAUGUGGUGUGAUGCAAGGGUGGUAUCUAGUAGUGGUAAGGAGGAGGAGGAGGAGGGGAUUUGUAGUAGUAGUGGGGUGGAGGUGGUGAAGGGACUGGAGGAGGAGGAGACUUGUACUUAUAAGGCUUCUUGUGAGGUGAUGGUGGAGGAGAGUGGUAAACUGGGGUGGGGACAUGGGGAGGGUAGGUGGGAACUGGUGGCGGUGGGGAGUGGUAGACUGGGUGGGGGUGAGGGUAGCGGUGCCUGUGCACUGGUGGAGGAGGGGAAGAGUAUUUGUAUGACUUCUUAGGAGGGGGUGGAGGAGAGUGGUAAACUGGGUGUGGGUGAGGGUAAGGCUUGUGCACUGGUGGUGGGGGAGAUGGGUAUUUGUAUGGCUUCUUUGGUGGUGGAGGUGGUGGGGAGUGGUAGAUUGGGUGAGGGUGAGGGUGAGGGUGUGGGUGAGGGUAAUGGUGAGGAGGGGGUGGAGGAGAUUGGUAGACUGGGUGUGGAUGAGGGUAGGGCUUGUGCACUGGUGGUGGUGGAGAUUGGUAGACUGGGUGUGGAUGAGGGUAGGGCUUGUGCACUGGUGGUGGUGGAGAUGGGUAGUGGUAGGGAGGUGGUGGUGAGGAGACUGGUGGAGGUGGAGGAGAGGAGUAGGAGUAGUGGUUGCCGGAGAUUUGAGAUGGGAGGCUGAAAAGGAUAAUGGCAAAUGCAAGAGUGAUAGAAGCAGAGGCCAUUAGGGACCCCAUUUUCCUCCAACUGAGUUUUGGUUAUGCUCUAAAGUGAGCUUCUGCAUCCCUUUUUAUAGUUGCUUCUGAACCAUUUAACUCCAACCUACACCUUUCUUAACUCUACUUUUUUUCACUUCCACACUCACCUUCUCGGAAACACGUUAUCACGUACGUAAUCCUGGUUUUGAACUAUUGCCAUGACAUUGACUUUCAAACCCUUUGGAACACGGUUUUGGAUUCGAUUCAUCUAUCAAAAUAUUACGUGCCUUUUUUUAUGCAGAUCUCUAAUCAAAAUAUCAACUUCAUUUGAUGAUGUGUAAUGUAUUCUUCCUAUUAUGCAUGUUGUUGAAGUAAAACUUCACUUAUGAUCAUGAUUGAAUAGGAGCAUUAAAAAAUACUAACCAAAAACAUCUAAGUUUUGUUGCUUUGAAACUAAUUAAGAAGGUUAACAUUACAAGUUAAAUAUGGUAAACUUAUUGGUUUGAAUUAUUCUGAGUCAUAAAUAUUGUAUUGUAGAAGUGCUUUUGAUUGUGUAGAAAUGAAAAAGGUAAAAUAAAAAUAAGUGCAGGGAUGCCAGACUGUGGAGUCUGUAGCUAGGCUGAAAUGCUGACACAACCUUUAUUUUUCUCUGUGUGGCGGAAGAAAAGACAAACAAUAUGAUUUAAUUAUUUGUUGCUUCUAGCACUGAAACAUCACUCUGUUAAAAAACAUGCAUAAUUUUUGGGUACUACUUUUUCGUUAAAAUAAUGACAUAAAUGAAUUCAGCUGUAUCAAUUGAGGAACUAAAGUAAAAAUAUGGAUAAAUUUUUCACAUAUUUUAAAAAUUAUUUUUCUAACUUACUUUCCCAAUUCAUAUCUAAUUUCAGAAUCUUUGAAACUUGUACUUGUCUAAAGUGGUACUGCAUGAUAUAGGGGCACCUAAAACUACAUAUUUUUCAUCCUUCCCUGUCAUUAAUUAAGUAUUUAUUAAACUAUUUUUUCAGUUCUAAUAACUGUAUGAAAAAAAAAAAUCUCCACUGAACAAACUACAAGUUUUUUUUUCUCUUUUUUUUAUAUAUUUUAAUAAGUAUUUUUAGAAAACUAAAUAAAAAGGAACUCAAACAUUUUUAUAGGCUAAAUUUCUUUAAAAAAUUGUGCAUCGUAAGAAGGAUAAGUGGGAAGGUUUCAACUUGGGAGAUAACACUCUAAAGUGAAAAAACAUUUUAAAUUGGGAGUUGAACUUUCUUUGCCAGCUCAAUGCAGGUCCAUAUAUAUAUAUAUAUAUAUAUAUAAUAUUAUUAAAAAAAAUUAUAAAAUAGAAACUAAAUUUUUAUAGACCAAAAUAAUUAAUUAUAAUAAAUAAAUUAAAUAGUAACUAAAUUAAAGAUCACUUUAAAAUUAAUUUCAAAAUUAAUUUUUAUUAUUAUUAAAUAGUUUCUAAAUUGGUAUCUAAUUAUCAACUAAUGUUUUAAUUACCAAUUAUUUAGUUUCUAAAUUUGGUUUUUAAAAUCUUGUUAUUAAUUAAAUAUCAAUUUAAAAACUAUAUAAUAAUAAUAAAAAUUAAUUUAGAAACUAAAAUUUCUUUUAUUUUUUAAAAUAUCUAUAAUUUAGUUACUAUUGCAACUAAUUAUUUUGAUCUUUAAAAAUUGAUUUUUAUUUCAUGAUUUUCUUGUAGUACAUUGAUUAAUGCUUAAAAUAAAUUUAUUAAGUAAUAGAUUUAAGACGAGGUUGAUAUUUACUUACAUAUUAUAUAUUAUCAAAUAUUAUACUUUGAUCUAAAAUUUUCAGCACGUUUUCUUAGGUUGAAAUUUUCUAAUUCGUGGUAUUGUAAUUUUCUAAUUCGUGAUAUUAUAUAUAUAUAUAUAUAUAUUUUAUUUGAUAAUAAUAUAAUAACCGAGGAUAUGCUAAACUCAAUCAAUUUUGUUAAGAUAAACUUAACUCUGAUUUUAUAUUAAAUAAUAAAUUUUAAAUAUAAUUUAAUCUUAUAAACUGAAUUAUGAAUUAUAAAGUUAGGUUUAUAAUUAUUUGUAUAUUAUAAAAAUCUUCAUAAUAUUUUCAAUUUUUGUUAAAAUGUAUAUUCUUUUUAUUUUAUUUCUUGACAUUAUAAAUUAUACGAAAAAAAAAUGGUAUUCUAUGCUCCAUUCCCGAAAGCACCAUUUCACGUGCCAUUGUCAUGCAUUUCUACCUAUAAUAGCUUACUGGAGUAGGCCAAGACUCACGAGUUAUCCAAAGUAAUCUUUGUUUUCUAUUUUCCCUCUUUUUCGGGAACUUAAAUUAAAAUGUUUUUUUGAUUAAAUAUAAUUAAAGUUAAUUUAAACUUAUUAUAAUAUAAUAUUAUAAGAAAGGAUGUGGAUAAACACAGUCAUUAAGAAAAUGUAUUACUUUACAUAAUUGUGUAUAAAUUAUUAUAAUAUGAUCAAUUAUAUUAUUUUACAUGCUCAAUUAAAUGUUUUCAGAGAAUUAUAUUUGAAGUUGGAAAUAUUUUUGUAUGAAUUUCAAACUCUUUUUUCUUAAUCUGUAAAGCUGGGAUGAAUUAUUGAAUGAAAACUCCUCAACAGAUAAUUCAGAAGUGACUCAAAAUUCAGAAAACAGAAAGAGAAAAUCAAAUUAAAUUUAAUGAAUAGUUUUAUUUCCAAGGCAGCAUAGGGUAUCCUAAUUUCACUAAUAUUAAUUUGAAAAUUUACAGUAUUCGGGAUUUUAUUUUGUAAUGUCUUCUGUAAAUUGUUAAAUAUUAUUGUUGAGAUCUACCUACCUAUCUACCUAGCCAACUUCAUAAAAUAUUUAAUCACCUUUAAAAUUUAUGUUUUAUUAUCUUUAUCCAUGAAUUAAAUUUAAUGAUUUUAAAAAAUAAGUUUAUGUUACAAUUAAAAUUAUUUUACUGGUAUACAAGUAUAUUUUACAUAUUCAGAAAUAUUUAUUUGUUAUAAAUUUUAAUAACUGUAAUUUUGAUUUUCAAAUAUAAAUUAUAAUUGUAAAAUAUUUUAUAUAAUAAUUUUUUUUAUUAUAAUUUCUACUUAUACAAAACGUAAAUAUUUAUUCGAAUAAUACUCGUGAAAUUGCAUGUGCAUUUGUUGAAUCUGAAGAUGGGCUAGUAUAAUUAAUUUUUAUAGACAAAAAACUGUGAUUGUAUCUUUUCAAUAAUUUGUAAAUCAGUUUCUUUUCUAUGCAUAUACUGAUGAGACUUAAAUAAAGAUUUUGUGUAUUAGUUAAACAUAAACAAAUUUCAACCAUAUUGAUUCCUACUUAAAACACCAUUUCCAAUAAUAAUACAUACAAAUCCAUCCACAGAAAAUACAAAACGAUUUAUCAGAGCUAAAAUAUAAUGUAUGAUAUAUCAUAAUCUUUAUUAGCAUGUGCUUGCUACUAUAAUUAAUUAAAGUUUUAGACAAAAAUUACCUUUGAAGAUAACUUGAUACACCUAAAGAGUUCCAACAUAAUGCAAAGCUAAAGAAAUAUAGGAAAUGAGCGUGGGUGGUUCAGUGUGAAUUGGAUAGGAGAUAAGACUCUAUUAAAUAGACUUCCUGAAAGUCUAAAUUCACCCAAUCAAUCAAAAUAAGUUUGAAUUCAAACUUCAUUGCCAAAAUGAAUCUCUGUGACAUUUUGAUUAUUGUACCCAAAGUGAAAAUUGUAGCCAUGUGAACAUAAAGUUCUGAGUAAAGUGUACGCUUGACAUGUAUUUUGAGGAAGAAAACAUUGUUUGUGAGAAAAUCAAGUUGUUGCUGCACGACUUUGCAAUUGAAGUUGCCAAUAAUGAGAAAUUUUUUCAUUUUGUGCUUAUGCAAAGUUGUUAUUAACAGUGAAGGAAACUUUGAAAAGGAAGACUGAAAAAUAUUAUGACCAAUGCAAGAGUGAGAGAAGCAAAGGCCACUAAAGACCCUAAUUUCCUUAAAGUUGGUAUUGGUUAUAUGGUCAUGUUGAGAAACCCAAACUAGCCCCUUUUAUAUACCAUUUAGCUCUAAGCAUCUUCCUAACUUUAUUUGUUUCCUUCACAAUACUACACGCAUGCACCAAUGGUUUUAGGAGCAAGUGUCCCAAAGCGUUUUUGGAACGGUUGUGACUCUAAUUGCUUUUGGAACGUUGAAUUUGGAUUUCACAGGCUGCGUCCUAAUUAAGACAAAGCACGUUUAUUUUUCUUUACAUCCCAAAACAUAGCAUAAUAUAUAUUUAAUUAUCUUUGAUUAUAAGUUUCUAGCAUUCACAAAUUUCAUUCCCCAAAUUAUUUGUUUGUUGUUGUGUGUGGUUUAUAGGGAACUAAAACACUAGUUUAUAGGGAACUAAAUCUCUGAAACUAUAUUUGAUAGUUAUGAGAAACUAGUAUAUGGUAUUCACAUUUUCUCUGUUGUUGAUUGCACUGCCAUUGUAUUAUACAUGUAUCAAGAAAACGUAGUGACUUUGUAAUUCUGUUUCGUAGUUUUUACAUAAAAAAUUACUAGAUUUUGUAAGAUAUGAAGCAAGUGUGGGGAUUAUUUGUUCCUAGGGAAAGUUUUAAAGUGAACUUGUAAGUGUCUUCAAAUCUGUUUUGCACAAUAAAUAAGUGCGACGUAUUAGAUUUCAAACAUUGCAAAAUAAAUGUUACAUGUUUACAUAGGUUUUUUAUUGGUAAGUAAUUCAAUUUUUUUUAGAGGUGGUUGUGAUUUUAUUAUAAUUUUAAAGUCAAAUAAGUGAGUCGACGGAUAUUGGAUAUCAAACAUGGAAUAAAUUUUGCAGUUUUUUAGGCCUGUGAUAAGAAAAUACAUACAUUACAACAUUAUUUUUAAUUAAAAUAUGUUUAGGAAAAUGAAAUGUCUCAAUCUGUGUAGAGAUUAAACUCUAUAUAAUGCUCUGAUACGAAAUAUGAUAUCAUCGGAAGUGUAAUUAUUUGGCAUAUAUAUUAUACUUUAACAGCCGAAAACAAUCAUUUACCAAUUAAUUAUAUUAAUAAUUUAAUUAUAUAUUUCAUUUUUAAAAUUAAAUUAUUAAAAUAAAAUUGUGAAAUAUAUCUUAAAAUAUAAUUUUUCACAUAUAUAUUCGAUGUAACGAAACUGACUUUUAACUAAUCCGAGAAAUCGGGUAAGAACUUUUCGAAGAACUGAAGUGCCUCUCCAUUCUGAUAUUGACAAAAGGAAUUUAAAACAUUCAAAUCAAUACAAAUUAAAUGUACCUAUAAGACUGAAUUUCAUUUCAAUGAAUUUUAUGAGGAAAAAGAUAAAUAAAAAAUAAAAUAAUUCUUUAUAAAAUUAGUUUAUGUAUAAUUUAAUUUAUAAAAAUUAAAAAAUAAUUUUAAUUUGUGUAUAUAUAUUAAUUUUUAUUUAUAAAGAAAUUUGUUUUAUUUUAUUUUUCAUACUUUUUCUUAUAAAAGUCCUUUUAGAAAGACUAGUCUAAAUAUAUCCCAAAAAAUAUAUUAUUGUACUACGACAUCAGUACACUGACAUCAUGCAUAUGACAUGACUGAAAAACUUUACUUUGAUUUUAAUUUUUCACAUUUUUAUUCAUCUUCUCAAGUUUCUUCAAUUAAGUAAUAAUAAUUUAGUAAAAUAUUUUUUUAAAUGAUAAAUUGUUUAUUAUUUAAUUAUCUUAGUAUUUUUUUUAAUUAUUGUUAUUUAACUGAAUAAAUGGAGAAAAAUGGCGCGAAAUUUCACUAUUAAUAAAAAUUAAAUUUAGAGAUAAAUAAUUUUCUUUAUGAUAAUAAAAGUAAAAUAUAUAAUAAAAAUUGAUAUUAUAAUAAUUAUCAAAAUAAUUAUUAUUAUAAAAUAAAUAUUUUUAAGGCAUAAUUAAUUACCCUUUUUCUUGCAACAUUUUCUAACUUUAUUCAAUUUAAUCUCUAUAUUUAAAAAAUAAAUAAAAAAUGAUACCAAUCUUGUUUAGAAAGUUCAAUAUGAUUUCAACUUCUUUUACUAUUCAAUCUGAUUCCAAUGUUUUUAAGAGUUUAGGGUGGUCCCGUUUUUUUAAAAAUAACUCAAUAGGAUGAUUCAAACCUUUUUUUUUUUUAAAUCGCUAAGAUAUUAAAAUGAAGACAUUUAGCAUGAAGGAUCACAUUAAAUCGUUUCUAAACAAGAUUGAGAACAUUUUGAAUUUUUUAAACAUACGGAGAUUAAAUUAAAUAAAGUCAUAAAAUGUUGAAAAAAAAGUAAUUAUGCCUAUUUUUAAUUAAUUUUUAUAAUAUUAUAUACUACAAGAAAAUAUUUAAAUAAAAACUAAUUUUAGAGAAAAAAAAUUAGUUAUUAUAUUAAGUAAGUUAUAUACUAUUUUAUAAACUAAACAAUUUUUUAUAUAUAAAGUAGUUUUUAUUAUUAAUAAAAUUUACAAACUAGUUGUUAAAUUAUUAUCUAUCAAGGUUUUAGCUAUUAAUUAUGUUAGAUUAUAAAUUAAUUAGAUUAAUAAUAAGUAUAAUUGUAAACAGUUAUGUGUAAAAAGAAACUUUUAUUUUGAAAGAAUAAACCUUAUUAAAACCUUAUAAAAAAAAUCCUAUUGAGUUGAAGAACAUUAGGGAUAAAAUAUUGAGUUAAGGAAAAUUAGUACUUUAUCUUAUAUUCAACGCAAAUCAUAAUGUAUACACCAUAAAUCAAUCAAAAAGGUGUUUCUACCAUAGAUGUUUGGGGAAUACACUGAUAUCCCACAAUAUGUUGGGUAUAUUUUUGGCCCAAAGAUCUUUGGGUUCCCCAAGAUUCUUUUUGAGUUAUGGGUUUUGCGUGUAGGAGUAUGGUAAGUUUGUGACAUAUGAAGUUAGGAUCAAUCUCUAGCGUUUCCACUAGACUCCAUGUGAAGAGGUCAGAGUUACUGAAUAGUACCUUUUCUAUAAGGAUCUAAAAAUUUACUUUAGAGUAAAAGUGGUAUAUUUUAAAUGAUACUUGAAUAUUUUAUUAUUAAAAUGAAAAGAACAUAUAAAUAGAAAAAUCAUUUAUUCAGAUUUCAUUUCAAAAGAACCACCAUCUCUCUAGAAGUUUCUUUUUUCCUUUCCUCACCCUACUCUCUAAGAUUAUGACCUCCUCGCUCAUCAAUUUGACGAUCGGAGUCUGCUAUUAAACUCUUGGCAGCGAAGACUACAAGACUGCCCAAUCAAAAUCUCUUAUAGAGUAAGUUCAAUUUUACUCUUCUCUUUGAGUCAAAUUUUGAACUUGUAGGUCUGUCUCAAUUUAAGUUUACACAUUUGACUCUUUUAGCUUUAAGAUUAGUCUUUGUUAUCUCAGAGUCCUAGUCAUAUAGUUAAAAAUUUUAUCAGGACUUUGUGGUGCAUGUUAAGCUACUAUUGAAGCUUUUGGUAGGUUUGAAGCUCUUAGGCUUUGUUUGGAUCCAGGGGUGCCACUGUUGGCGACGACGAAAGUCACAACAACACCCCGUUUGGAUCCAUGCAUUGUUGCGGGUGAGGGUGCAGCGAAAGAGAAAGUUGAGUGAAUUGUGUUUCUUCUGAAAGAUGAAGAGAAAGUUUCACUGUGCAGUGCAAGUGCCAAGUCAUCACCACGAAAUUCCAAUGAUGCCCUUACUUUUGUGUUGGAAUCAAGAAGCACAGUGGCUGUGCAUGCAUGCCAGAUGAAAGCAUGAAAUUCCUGACUUGGCUCAGGAAUCUAUUGACCAUGUGAAAGUUUGAAACCUCAUCAAUGAAAUGGGUGAGAGGUAGGUGCGUGAGAUUUUUGGUUUCUUUAUAAACGUUGCUUCCUCCAUUCAUAGUCACAGAUAAGCGAAGCAUAAGCAAAGAGAGAGCGAAGCAUAAAGUGUGUAGUUGGAGAGAUUUGUAAGUCAUAGUGUGUGUUAGGGGCUUCAUUAACGUAGAGGUUAUUCAUCUGAAAGUGAUGUGUUCAUCUCUGGGUUCAUCUGUGCCUUCAUGUGGUUCAUCUCUGGGUUCAUCUGAGGUGAGUUUAUAUGUUUGAUUGUUGGUUAAUCGAUUAUGGUUUAAAUAUCACAGGCAAAAUAAUCGAUUAUAGUGUAAUCUGCAAAAUUUCCCAGGCAUAAUCGAUUAUCUGUAGUGUGUAAAAUUGCUCUUAAUCGAUUAUUUGUUGUGAUAAUCGAUUAUUGUUGUUUUUAGCCUAGUAGCAUAAUCGAUUAUGCUUUGAUAAUCGUCUUAACUGUGUAAAAGGGUUCCUAAUCGAUUAUGUGUUGUGAUAAUCGAUUAUGGUUGUUUUUUUGCCUACUAACAUAAUCAAUUAUGCGUUCAUAAUCGAUUAUCCUGUGUGUGUAAGUGAUGCCAUAAUCGAUUAUGUUCUAAAUUUUUUGAAAUAUAAAUGUUUGUUAAUUUAUUUGUUUUCUGUUAUUUUUAGGUGUGUUGAUCUUCCUAUAAGCCAUCCUAUUGCUGUUCUUGAGUGCUUAUCUUCAGGUUUUAAAUUUUUUUUAUGUAAAAUUAUUUUAUUUAAUUUCUGUUUUAUAUUUAUGAUUAUGGUUUUGUAAUAUAAUUUGUUUAGAAUUUAUUUUAGUUUAUUAUGUUAAGGCUGUUGUUGUAAUAUAAUUUUUUUAGAGUUUAGUUUAGUUAAUUAUGUUAAGUAGUUACUAGAUAGUUAAUUAAAUAUGUUAAGGAGUUUAGUUUAUUAAAUUAAUUGUUUCAGUUGAUUUAUUAUUUUAAUUUUUGUAGAUAGUUAUUAAUUUAUUAAGAAAAAUAUUUAUUUCUAUGAAAUGAAUUAUUUACAGAAUGGAAACAGAAAUUUGUAAAUUUUAGGUUUUUUAUUAUAUUAAACAUAAAUUAUUAAUGUUAUAAUUAAAUCAAAUAAAAAAAGUUGUUGUGAUUAAAGAAAACUGAAAAAUUUAAGAUAAAUAUUGUUUAUAAGAGAAUAUAUAUUGUAUAAUAAUAAAUAUACAAAGUUAAUAAAUAUUGUAUAAGAAAACUGAAAUAUUGUAUAAUAAUAAAUAUAUAAAGUUAAUUUUUUUUUAACAUUUAAUAGAAAUGUUUAUAAGAGAAUAGAUAAUUUUUUUAAAUGAAUAUUUGUAUUCUGUAUGGUUAAUAUUUUUUUAAAUUGGACAUAAAUUAUUAAUGUUAUUAGUUGAAAAGAUUAAAAAAAAUGUUUUUGUAAUUUUUGUUAUAAGAUUUAAUUGUUAUAAGAAAAAAAUGAAUGUAUUUAAAAUGAAUAUUUUUAAAAAUUUGUAAUUUGUAGGUUUUUUAAAAAGUAAUUGAUAUUUUAGAAGUAUUAUUUUUAAUUGAUAUUUUAGUUAUAAAUGUAGAAAGUAAUUAUUUAUUUCAAAAUGAAUUGUUUAUGAAAUAGAUUUUAAAAAAUUUAUUUUGACAUAAUGGAAUUCAAAAUUUUAAAAAUAUUUGAUAGGGUUUUCAUUUUUGUAGAUUAAACAUAAUUUAUUAAUGAUAUAAUAAAAAACAUUAUAAAAAUGUUGUAUUAAUUAAAAAAAUAGUAAAAGUUUAAAGUAGAAAUAUCAUUUUGAGUUAUUUUGAGUUAUUCAGGUGGUGAAAGUCAAAGGAGGUUCAUAUGAAUGAGUAAGUUGCUUGAAAGAUAACUAAUUUGACUUGCUAUAUGAAUUAACCCUGUCAUACUAGGGAGAGAUUGUAUUGAGAUUAUUUAUGCGCAUAAAUGUGUGGAUUUCACAGUAAUAUAGUAUGACAGGUGCAAAUCUUUGAGUCUAAGUUAACGCACGAGUCUUCCGGAAAUAUAGUCAAAUGUCUAUGUGUUGUGAGUCAGUAGAAGUCUGACAUGUGAAAGAUAAAUUAUGAAUUUUAAUAGACACUUGAUGAUUUGAGAAAUUUUAUGAGACUUGAUGAAUUAUGUUUAUUAAUGUGAAAUUGAAAUUAUAUAGAAAUUUUUAUAUAACUAGCUUACCAUGUUCUUUGUUUGUGUUUGUUUCUUUAUCUGUGAUGAUCGUGUUUUACACGAGAAUGAGAUUGCAGGUAAUAGAGCUCCUUAGUGAGCACCUGAAGGAUGAAAUUACUUUAAUUUGAAUGUUUUGUUUUGUUUUUAAAACUUUUGGUGUAUAUAUUAAAAUUAUACAAUUAUGAGAUAGUUGUAUAUACUCAUAUGUUAAUUAGAUAUUGUUUGUUUUACUUCUGUUUUAUUAAAUAUGGGUAAAAAUUAGGAAUGUUACAUCUUCAAUCCGCUUUCGAAGAUAUCAACUAACUGAUUUACCAAUCUCCAGGUUGACUUUUGAGUUGCACUUAUACUAGGGGUUCAUCAAAAGAUGGUCGAUUCUCCACAAACUCGGCCCUAGGAUCUAGAAAACCUCAUUCUCAUCGUCUUAUGGGAACUCAAUGUGAAACGCCUGCUCGAUAAAGUUGUUGGUAUCCCCAUGGCCUUGGUCAUUUACUUCCCUGUGCUCCUUCGGGUAGGCUAUGGCCUCGCCAAUUGUUGUUGUGGUCAAGGUCUUUACAAAAUAAGAGAUGACCUUGAUGUUCUCAACAUAACACUCCCUUAUCAUCUUCAGAUUUGCCUUCACUAUGAUUAUUUUACCAUUGUCACUGAAAACUUCAUGGUCAUGUGUAGUCGACACUAUGGCGUCCAAUUGAUUAAUACUUUUGCAUUUGAUGAUGUCAUUGCAGGAUGUGGUACCACAAUGAGAGAUAAAUGGAACUCUUAUUCUGGUCAGGGGAAUAGUAUUUUUGUUUCAAAGGUAAGCUGAAGAGUAUGAAAGUUGAUAUCAAGGUGUGGAAUUGGGAUGUGUUCGGGCACCUGGAAUCUGAGAAGAAGAAUUGUUUGAUGGAUAUUGAGGAGCUUGAUGUCAAAGAUGAGGGUGAUGCUUUGCCAGAGAGUUUAAGGACGAGAAGGUUGGUUCUCAUCAAUCAUGUAGAAGAGAUCAAUAAGAAGUUGGAAUCUAUGUUUAGGCAGAAAGCUAGAGCUAAUUGGCUUACGUUUGGGGACUCUAAUUCCAAGUUUAAUCAUUAUGUAAUUAGAUGGAAGAGACUUAGAAAUGAGGUUAAGGGUGUCGAAGUGGGAAGUUUUUGGGUUGAGGAAUCUAAGGUAGCGCGCAGGGAAGUGGUGAAGCUUUUUGAAGCUAAAUUCUCGGCUACUCAGGAUUUUGGAGUCAGACUUGAGCAUGUUGAGUUCAAAUCCUUAUUAGAGGAGGUUAGCUUAAGUCUGGUGUCCAAGAUCACAGAGGAAGAAGUAAAGGAUGUUGUCUGGUUGUAUGAGGGGUCAAAAAGUCCUGAACCAGAUGACUUUAAUUUUAAUUUUAUCAAGAACAGUUGGGAAGUGCUGAAGCUUGAUGUGGUAGCUGUUGUUCACCCUUUUCAGGAAACAAGUUGUAUUUCUAAAGAGUGUAAUGCGUCUUUUAUUAUCCUUGUCCCCAAAGUUAGGGACCCUAUAAGUCUGGACCAAUACAAACCUAUUUCUCUUGUAGGUUCACUGUAUAAAAUUAUUUCGAAGGUCUUAUCAUGUCGCAUAAAACAAGUUUUACCCGAGGUUAUAGAUGACUGUCAAUCAACUUUCUUAAAGUAAAGAGAAUGUUAAAUAACGUUCUAGUUCUAGUGGCUAAUAAGGUUAUUGAUGAGAUGAGGAGAAAAAAAAAAAAUGUUUUGUCAAUUAUGAAAAGGCAUACAAUUCUGUCAGCUGAGUGUUUCUCUUUCAUAUCCUUUAAAAGUUAGAAUUUCACAAUAAAUGAAUGUUUCUGUUUGAUAUGCUUUGGAAGUUGUGAUUUCACAAUAGAUGGAUUGCGUGGAUCAGAGUCUUUUAAUAGAAAACAAGUAUUUUAAUAAUUUAUACAUAUGAAAGUACAGUGACCGUAUAAAAGUUGUUGUACUGUAACAAAUCAAUAUACAUUAUAAGUUCAUUAUUUUAUAUAAUAACUAUAUAGAUCGUCAAAGUUAAACUAAAGUGACUAUAAAUUAAACUAAAAAAUAAUUAAUUUCCAAAUAUUAUCAUGUAGAAAAUAAGUUGGAGUAAAAAAUAUUAUAAAAAAUAGCUUAACAAUGUGGAAAAAAGGAAAAGAAAAAAAAAACCAUGGAGGAAGAUAACUUUAACUAUGGACACACUCUGAAAGUGAGAUUCGUCAAACAUAUUUUAAGAGUUAUAGAUGAUAGUGAUGAUGAAUAGUGGAGAUAAGUUUCACUAUACUUGUUUUUACCUUUUAAGUAAAAAUUAACAUUCCUGAAAAAAAUAACAUUAUUCAUUUCCAUUUUGAUGGGGAUAAAAUUAGUCUCAUAUUAAUGUAAAAAGAAUACACUGUCUUCUUAGCACCAAUUAAAAAUAAAAAGUUAUAAUAAAAUAAAAUUCAAAAUAAAGUAUUAAAGAAAAUAUUGUUAAUAAUUUAAAACAAAUAUAAGAAUUCGUUAAAUUUCAUAUCUAAUUUAAAUAAUUAAAUUAAACAUUGUUCAUAUAAAGACAAAUUCGAAUAAUAGUAAGACAUAAAAUAUUUUUUCAUCGAGGUGAUUUCACCGAUUACAUGGAACGAUUGAUUGUGUUUUUUUUUCAGAAAAAAAGAAAAAAUAUCUCAUUUGCUUAAAGACAAAAGAAUAUUAACUAUAUUUCUAAAAAUAAAGAAUAAACUUAACAACGAGAACAACUAAUUAAUUAAAUACAUACGUUUGUAUAUAUACUAGUAGCCUAUACCAUGUUUAAUUAUGAGUAUAUGCGAUUAUUCUUAAAUUAUUAUGUCACUUUUGUUUUUCAUAUCUAUGUCCUUCUUAUUUGAAGGCUAAGCCUAGUCACGCAUCAACUUGAACAUCAACUUGGAUUCCUACGGUCCUAUGAAUGCAUAUAACUUGCCCUCAAUCCCACAAUUACAUAAAUUAAAUAAAAUAUUAAAACAAAUAAUUUAAAAACAACUUAAGUGGUUUAAAGUCAGAUUCACUUUUGUAUGAUUUCUUUAAAAAAAAUUACCAUUUUAUUUUAAUUUAUAUGUUACUGUUUAUUAUAAAAAAAAUUAAUUUUAAAAAUUAAAAAAUAAUUAAUUUUUAUAUUGAUUAAAUUAGAUAUUAUUCUUUUAAAUAAUAUUUUAAUUUUUUUUAUUAAUAUCUAAAUUAUUUUUUAUUAUUUUAAAUUGAUAUUUAAUUAAUUAUAAUAUUUUAAUUACCAAUUUUAAAAUUUAAAUACUUAAUAAUUAAAAACUUAACAGCUAAUUAGAUAUUAAUUUAAAAAUUAUUUAUUAAUAACAAAAAAUAAUUUAGAUAUUAAUAAAUUUUUAAUUUUUAAAAUAGUAUUUAAUUUAAUUAAGAUAAAAAUAAAUUAUUUGUUAUUUUUAAAAUUAAUUUUUAUUUAAAUAUUUUCUAACAGUGGGUGAAGCAUAAUUUCAGAUGAAAGAGAUUUUAGGUGUUCUUUAAAUGGAUUUACUUAUAAUAUUGGUUUACAUUAAUUCAAUAUUGCAAUGGUUAUACAAACAUUUUUAACAAGUAUUGUAUUGAUAAUAUUAAAACGUAUUUUAUUUAAUAAGUUUGAUAAAACUUAAUAAAUAAUCAACUUAGGCCUUCCAUGUUAUAGUUUGAAGAAUUAAAAUUGAUUUUUGGUAAAGAAAGUUGGAAAAUGGUGAAGAUUUGUUCCCCCUUCUCGAAAACAAGUUUAAUAUUAAGUGAAAGUGACAUAUGAGAUCCUGAUGGAUCUAAAGUGGAAAACCAGUUUAUGAGAGAUUGGUGUUUUCGAAAGCACCUCAGAAAAAAACAUGUCGGUUGAUUUUAUAAAGGUUCUCGAAUUAAGCAUGUCGGUAAUGACAUUUAAAAUAAACAUGUUUUAUUGAAUCAAAUCUGCAAUUGGUGAUUUGUGUCUGAGACAAUAGGCACCCUUUCAUCAUCAGGAGCAGUUAUCGAUAUUCUUCACAUAAAAUAGUGGAGUUGGUGGUCACUAAUCAAAUGCAACCUCUUUCUUUUUUUUGUUUUGACAGCUCCCAUAAUGAAUUUUUUUUGAAGAAUUUGCGACCUCUUUCACACUGAUUACAUUCAUUUAUAUUUAAAUAAAUUAUUAUUUUAUUAUAAUAUAAUAUUUUAUUUAAAAAAACUUAAUACAUUUUAUUAUAAUACAAUAUUUUAUUCCAAAAAAAUAUUAUAGAAUAAUUACUUUUACUAUUUUGUCUGAAACAAAUUUUAAUCAUUUUAAAUCGAUGGCCGUCCUCCUGGAGCACUAGACCCCAGAUCUGUGAGCUACCGAUGUUGACGAAAGUAUAAAGAAAUAUUUGGAAGUGAGAAUUGCAUUAAUUUAGGAAAACUAAAUGAUUCUUUCUACAAAAUUAUUCUCACUCCUUAAAACCUUGAAUCGUGAUGUCCCAAAUAGGGCACAAAUCAAGCCACCCAUCUUAAAACCCUCAAUAUUGUCUUUACAUCUUUAUUUAUGAGAAAAUAUAACUUAAUAAAUAAUAUUUAUGUUGAAGAUUUUUAUUAUUAAUAAAAAUAUUUUAUAAUAUAUAAAUCAAUAUACACUUUAUAAGAUAAUAAGAUUUGAUAAGAUUGAAUUAAAUUUAAAGUUUAUUUUUUUAAUAUGGUAUUAAUAUAGUUUAUUUUAAUAAAAAUUUAUUAGAUGAUUAAAUUAUCUAUUAUUAGAUUCUUAUGGAAUGAUUCAUUAUAUAGUAUUAAACACAACCUAACAAUCUCGAUGAUAGAUGUUAUGUUAAAAAUUAUGUAUUAAUUAGAAAUAAUAAUAUUUUAUAAUAGGUAAGUUGAUGUAAAUUUUAUUUCAUAAAUUAAUUUUAUUAAAUAGAGUUAUGUUAAAUAUAUUUAUUAAUAUUUCAAACAAAAUUGAGUUAAUUACAAUAAAAAUUAUAUUACUAAGAAUAGUCACAUAUGCUUAGAUAAAAAAUGUUAUCAAUUCAAGUGAGUAUCUGGUCUUCUCCAAAAAAAACUCAACAAAAAUGUCACAUCUUUAGAACUCUAUUUAUGGAUAAAUAAAUAAUUAUCUUAUCUUAAUGUAAUAUAAUUUGUUGGGUAUAUCUUCUUCCAUUUUUCCUACAUAUAAUAUUGACAUAAAUUUAAAACUAGUAUUUUUAUUUAUAUAUAAUAAAAUUUAUAAAUUUAUGUUAUAUACUAAUUUAAUAAAAUUAAUUAAUUUGUAAAUAAUUAUAAAAAUUUGGUGUAUUAUAUUUGUUAUAGAUAUUACAUUAUAAUUUUAUUAUAAACUUAUAAUGUAAUAUCUAUAACAAAUAUAACACAACAAAUUUAUAUAAUUAUUUAAAAAUUGUGGACACUUAUUUCCGCUAGUAUUUAUAAUUAUUCUGACAUAAAAUUUUAACUAUAUUUUUUAGGAUAUUAAAUAAUUAUUAUUCAAAUAUUUUUAAGAUAUUAAUUAUAUUUUGAAAACAUUAUAUCAUUUUUGUAAUAUAGAAAUGGUUAUAUAAAUAUAUUAUAAUUUUGUAUAAUUUAAUUAAUAAUUUUUAUAACUUAUUAAAAAAUAAAUUAAAUUUUUUUCUAUAAAAUUAUAUGCAAUUUUUUUCUAUUUCAAUAUAAUUUAUCUUAUAUCUUAACAUUAUUUAGUUUGUUACCAUAUUUUUAUCUUAUUAUAUUUUCAUCAUGCCAUAUUUUUAUUUUAUUGUAUCAUAUUCUUCUAUUUUAUUAUAUUGUGUUUACUAAACGAAUGUUUAAAAUUUAAAACAGUUAUAAUUUAUAUACAUUAUUUUCUCUAAACUCAUUAAGACGUUUUUGAAAACAAAGAAUUUAACAAAAGUUGAUAUUACACAUGAAAUAAUUCUCAAUCAAAUUUGCUAACGUAAUCAAUUUCUUUUGUAACAUCCUAAUUUUUACCCAUAUAUAAUGAAAUAAAAGUAAAACAAGCAAUAUCUAAUUACGAAUAAUAUAUAUACUACUUUCUCAUAUGUGUAUCUCAAAAGAAAUAUCCCUCCUCAUAGGGAUUUAAUAUAUACAUCAAAAGUUUUAACAACAAAACAAAGCAUUCAAAUAAAACUAUCUCAUUCUCCAGCUGCUCACUAAGGAGCUCUAUUAUCUGCAAUCUCAUCUGCUCCCGUGUAAAACACGAUCAUCACAGAUAAAGAAACAAACACAAACAAAUAACAGGGUAAGCUAUCUAUAUAAAAAGUUUUGAUAUAAUUCAAAUUUUAAAUUAAUAAGCAUAAUUCAUCAAUUCUCAUACGAUUUCUCAAACCAUCAAGUGGCUAUUACAUUCAUAAAAUUCAUAUUUCAUAUAUCAGACUUCUAUUGACUCAUAACACAUAGACUCUUGACUCUACUUCCGGAAGACUCGUGCGUUGACUUAGACUCAGAGAUCUGUACCUGUCAUACUAGCUCACUGUGAAAUCCACACAGUUAUGCGCAUAAAGAAUCUCAAUAUCAUAUCUCUCCUAGUAUGAUAACUUCAUCUAUAUGAUUUCAUUAUCUCAGGAGAGUCAGGAUAUCUCCUUCUAGACGAAUCCCUAGUCAAUGCACAUCCUAAACAAUCUUAACACGAUAUUUUCUUUCCUGAAAAUACUAUGUUUUGAUUUAAAAAUAUAUUCUAAACAUUAAAAUCUCCCACAUCAAACAAUCAAAUCAUUCCACAAUUUAGAAUUUCCAAAACACCCAACAAUUCAUUUCAACUAGAAUGAAAAUAAAAGGAGAAUGAAAUAAAAUUAUCUUCCAACUACAACUAUAUCCAACAGUAUAGUAUUUAAUAAAAAGGAUGAGGAAGCCACAACAUGANNNNNNNNNNNNNNNNNNNNNNNNNNNNNNNNNNNNNNNNNNNNNNNNNNNNNNNNNNNNNNNNNNNNNNNNNNNNNNNNNNNNNNNNNNNNNNNNNNNNNNNNNNAAUUUUAGUUCAUAAACUGAAUCAUCAAGAAAUAUUCAAAAUAUAUAUGCUCUGAAAUUGUCAAGAAACAAAUAAUCACAAACCUUUUUCAAAUACAUUCAUCAAUUCCAAACUUAUAUACAUUCUACAUCAUCUACUAUAUCUAAAUUUUAGAUUUCAAUCUCAAAACAGUUUCAAUCUCAAACAUCAAUCUCAAACAUCAAUCUCAAACAUCAAUCUCAAACAGUUUCUAUCUCAAACAGUUUCUAUCUCAAACAGUUUCUAUCUCAAACAGUUUCUAUCUCAAACAGUUUCUAUCUCAAACAGUUUCUAUCUCAAACAGUUUCUAUCUCAAACAGUUUCUAUCUCAAACAGUUUCUAUCUCAAACAGUUUCUAUCUCAAACAGUUUCUAUCUCAAACAGUUUCUAUCUCAAACAGUUUCUAUCUCAAACAGUUUCUAUCUCAAACAGUUUCUAUCUCAAACAGUUUCUAUCUCAAACAGUUUCUAUCUCAAACAGUUUCUAUCUCAGUUUCUAUCUCAAACAGUUUCUAUCUCAAACCGUUUAAACAAAUUAUUCACCUUAAAAUCAAUAUAAAAAAUUCACAAUCAACCAUUUGAAGAGACAAUCCUGAAAGCAAAAACAAUUGAAAUUGGUGACCACGUCACCUCCAAAUCCAGAAUCUUCUAACCUAUGGUUUCAUUGAAAAUAAUAAGACUAGCUUCCCUUACCUGAACUUUAGCUGAUGCUCACUAAGAGCUCCAAAUCUACCAAAUGCACCGUCCUACUCAAAAGUUGAGUUAGAUAUUAACCCGUACAAAAUCUAAGAUUAACCCGUACAAAAUCUAAUAAGAUCAAAAUUAACUCAAAAGAAAAAGGGGUCAAGAAGGAACUUAAAGAAAAUAUUUUGAUGGAUUCAAAACCAGGAGUCCAACGGCAGACUCUGAUCGCCAAACUAGGAAGUUAGAAUCUUAUAGAAAAGGGAGAAAAGGAAAAAGAGGAACAAAACUGAACUUACUCUGAUCAUCAAACUGAUGAGCGAGGAGAGUUAGAGAGAAGGGAGAGUAAGGAAAAACGAAACUUUUAGAGAGAUGGUGGUUAUUUUAAAAUGAAACAUGAAUAACUGAAUUUUCUAUUUAUAUAUCAUUUUCAUUUUAAUAAUAAAAUAUUCAGUAUCAUUUAAAAUAUACAACUUCUACUCUAAGAUUAUCAUCUAAAAUAUUUAUAUAUCUUUUAACGCUUGCGUUGUUUUAAAGUUAACAAUACACCGCUCACCCUUAAUUUUGUUUAAUUUUGAAAGCUUUGAAAUAAAAAGCUAAUUCUCAACCCUGUCACUCCUUUCUUAAAGGAGCCCUUUCUUUUUUAUUCAACGCUCGAAACUAUUGUUUACAAGAAUAAUAAUAAUAAUAAAAAAACAAUUUCUCCUUUAGUAGUUUUGAAUGGGCCAAACUAUACUCUUUUCAAGAUCUCUCCUGGGCUUUUUCUUUCUGAAACUCCUAAUUUCAAUUUACACCUCCAUAAAUUUAUACUACAAGAAAAUCAUAAAAUAGAAACCAAUUUUUAGAUAUCAAAAUAAUUAGUUGUAAUAGUAACUAAAUUAGAGACCAGUUUAGAAACUAAAAAAAAAUUGAUUUCUAAAUUAGUUUCUAUUAUUGUUAAAUAAUUUUUAAAUUGGUAUCUAAUUAACUACUAAGGUUUUAACUACCAAUUAUUUAGUUUCUAAAUUUGGUUACAAAAAUCUUGGUUGCUAAUUAGAUAUCAAUUUAGAAACCAUUUAACAAUAAUAGAAACUAAUUUAGAAAAAAUAUUUUUUUUUAAUUUUUAAAAUGGUUUCUAAUUUAGUUACUAUUACAGCUAAUUAUUUUGAUUUUUAAAAAUUGGUUUCUAUUUCAUGAUUUUUUUUAGUGUUAAAUAUUCUAAAUUUAUCUUUUUAAAAUUAAAUACUUUAUUUGAUUAGUUGGUGUUAGAAUGUUUGUUACGUUUAUGAAGGAUGUGGUGUGGUUCGUAGUGGUGCUUAGUGCAUUUGGUGAAUAUCUGAAUUUUUGCAUUUUGAGUUUCACUUUUUUAUAUCACACAAUCUGGACAACUUUUACAUUAUAAAUCUAUAAUAUUAAUUUUUUAUUUUAUUUUAUAAAUUAUAAUCUGAAAUUUAUAUUUAUAUAUUUUUAAUAUAUAUUUUAAAAUAUAAAAUUUGUGAUUUUUUUAAAUAUUUUGUUUUUAUUUUAUUCUUAAGUUGUGGAAUUGCAUCACAAUCACAUAUAUUUCAUUGGUUUGUACAAACAACUAUAGAAAACAACUUUAGAAGUGAGGGCUGAAUAUAGAGAUGAAAUUCUAAUAUUGAACCAAAAUAUACGAUGAAGUAGAAAAGUUGUUUGUGAUGAAUCAAUUGGAUAUAAUGAAGUUUGUGACAACUUAAAAUGAAUUGGUUGAAGGAAAUUGUGUUUGCUCUUUAACAACAAAUAAUAUAAUUAUAAUUUAAUUAAUUUAAGUAGAAACAUGUGAUAUAUGACAUUUUUUUUAUUAGCAAAGAAUAGAAUUAAAUUAAAAGGGACAUUUCAAACCCUUAUACAAGAACCAUUCACCACAUAUAGCUAUAACAGAUCGAGGCAACCAAACCAUAAAAAUAAAUACAACACUAAGAAACCAGACACGAAAGGGCUGCCAAUACAGCUACAAAAGUGCUUCUGAAUUAUGCCGCAGAAACAAGGAAACUUGUCCCAGCAACCUGUACCGCAUGAGCUACAUUAAACGCCAUCUGGAUGCUGCCCCAUGACUACAAUACCUCUGUUGCAGCCCCAAAAACAUCCUGCUGAAACCUGCUUCUAGUCCCUUGGCCCAUCUUGUUGGUACUUCAAUGUACACAUGACCCCCAAACUGCUUACAACCGGAUCACCUACAUUGCACAAAACUAGCAACCAACAACAUUCCAACCAAAUCUUCACUUGGAUUGCCUUAAUUACUAAAGCCAAGUAGAUUCCACCUUUUUCACUUACCAACAGCACCUUCCAGGUACACCAAUGGGAGCUCCAGAUAUAAAACCAACCACGUCACAAGAUCUAAAGCAGCAUGUCGGGUUUACCUUCUUAUUUGGACAACAGCAAAAAUGCGCCUUCCAAAGGACCAAUCACUUCAGCUGCUUGUCACAAAUAUGCAAUAUAACUUAGGUCCACCCUGCACCAGCAUAGUUGGCUGCAACGCAUCAAAACAACCCCUCAACAUUAGAUUGUUACACCGUGGUCAGAGAUUGAUCAUAGUCGUGACUCAUGCAUUUGAAAGAUUCAAAAGGAGAGUCCCUUCGCACUCAUUCACAUAAACUCUCAGCUUUGGCAUAAGCUUUCCUUCAUAAUAGGAUACUCCAUCCCAAUCUAUUCUAGUAGCUACAAUCACAUUACAUCAGGAAAAACUUCUAAAAUGCUACCCCACACCACAGCUCCUACUUCACUCACCUUUCAACACUUCCUACUGAUUUCCUCACCACUUCCUCCCUUAAUUUCAUCUGCUUCACUACAUAACCGUUAUGCUUCAAAUCUGGAUAUAGAAACAAGCUGUGUGAAUAUCAGUAUUCACAUUAACUGCUCAAAAGUUCUAAAAGACCCUGCUCUGUUUGAUUUCUGCAACAACUACACAACCACACCACUACAGAAUACUAUGCUCCUCCAUUAUGACCAUCAAUCAUUCCUCCAAAAGCUCCUUGGCUUCGAGUCCAUCAUCACUAGAGACCUCCCUUUUCAGAGUACACUUUGAAGGCAUUGGCUUGGGUUCAGAUGCCAAUUCGAAGAAGCAUACGAAAAGGAGCACACCCUGUGUUUCAACCAUAACCAAGUAAGGAGUUGAGCCAUUUGGAAAAUUUCUUCAGCGUCAGGUACCCCUAGCUUAAAGAUAACACUAUUCCUCUUCUCCAAGAUGCAUCGAACUAUUGCCACCCACAUACCUUUCAACACUUGAUUCGGCUUAAUAGACAUAUGAGCCAGAUAAAAGUUCUCAAAGUGACACCUCAAAUCCUUAUGUUGAACAAACAUAACACCUAUCCACCUGAAGCAUAAAGACCAAACUCGUUGUGCAAAAGAACACUCCCAGAACAAGUGUUGAGUAGUUUCUUCUGACUCUCUACAAAGCACACAAAUAGAAGAGUUUACUGCCACCCCUCUCCUAAGAAGAUUAACAGAAGUUGGGAUUUUGUCGAGUAAGAUUCUCCAUGCAGUUAUAAGGGCUUUAGGCAUUGCUUUAACCUGCCAAAGAGAACAAAAACCGCUAUCAUGUGCAUCAUUGUUUUGAUUAGCCAGACGUACAUAAGCUGACUUCACAGAGAAGUUCCCUGUGGUAUCCCCUCCCCAGACAAGAAUAUCCUUGGAUUCCUUGUUCAUGAUGCCUUUGUUAAUGUGCGUAAGCAACUCUUCCUCCAAAAACGGAUUCCCAAUCAAACCUAGCCCUCCUCCAAUUUAGCCUCCAUUGCCAUCCAUAAACCUCGCACGUACCUACCUCUCCCACCUUCAUUCCUUGAUCCAUAGAAAGAGAAUAAAGUCUAGGAUACAUAGACUUAAGAUUAUUGUUAUUAACCGAAGCGUCUUCCCAGAAUCUAACAUUGCCUCUAUCACCAACUUUCCACACAAUAGUCUUUUGGAACCAAUCAUCAUCUUCACCCUCUCCACAAGCUUUAGAAAGAUCUCUCCACCACCAAGACUGUCAUUUCGAACGGGCUUGGCUUCUUCCUAAUUCCGAACCAUACUUAGAAAAAAGAAUGUCUUUCCACUUCCCUUUUUCAUCCUUCAUCAGUCAUCAUUUCCAUUUUUGUCAGCAAAGCAUUAUUAAAGUUUAUGAAAUCUUUAAUCCCCAACCCUCCUUUCUCAAGGGGUUUACACACAUUCUCCCAUCUUACCCAUGAUAUAGACCAGUUAUCUCUGCCCCAAGCCCAAAGGAACUUCCUUUGUAUACUGAUUAUUCUGUUACAAACCGACAUCGGUGCUUUAAAGAAGGACAAGUAAAAGAGAGGAAUGGCGGUAAACACCGAUUUAAGUAAGUAGACUCUUCCUGCCAUAGAUAAAAAUCUCCCCUUCCAGAUACUAAGUCUAGCAUUGAUUUUGUUUAUGACUGGCUCCCAAAACUAUUUCUUCCUUGGGUUACCUCCUACUUCUAAUCCCAGAUAUUUAAAAGGGAUCGUCAUGGUCAUGCAGUUCAGAGUUUUUGCAUAGGUAUUGAGGGAGAAGCUAUCAACACCAAUGCCUGCCAACUUUGAUUUGUGGAAGUUGAUUUUUAGACCUGAGGCAAGUUCAUAACACCUUAGCAUCGCCUUUAUAGUGAAGACAUUAAAGAAUGAGUCUUCGCACAUAAACAAAGUGUCAGCAGCGAAUUGUAACAAACAACACUCAAUUUCAUUCCUCCCCACCUUCUCACCUUUGAGCAAAUUCAGUUUUGACACUUGUCUCACUAACCCGGCCAAGCCUUCAGCUACCACGAGGAAGGGAAACAGAGCUAAAGGAUCUCCCUGUCUUAACCCCCUAGAGGGUUUAAAUUCCUCCGUAGGGCUACCAUUAACCAGAACAAACACAAACAACGACUCCAAGCAUCCUCUGACCCACGCAAUCCAUUUAGAAUGGAAUCCCAACCUUUGUAACAUAUCAAAGAGGAAUUUCCACUUAACCGAGUCGUACGCCUUUUCGUAGUCCACCUUCAAACAAAUCCCACUCCUCCGUUUUCUAGUUACCUCCUCAACCACCUCAUUUGCCAGAAGGACACUAUCUAACCUUCCACGAUCCUUCAAAAAAGCUAACUGACUCUCAUCAAUGACCAGAGAGAGGACAUCCUUCAUACGAAACGAUAACACCUUAGCUAUGAUCUUAUAGAUGGAUCCUACAAGGGAAAUUGGUCUGAACUGGUCAAGCGUAGUAGGGUCCCUGACUUUAGGUACAAGUGCGAUGAAAGAGGCGUUACACCCCUUUGGAAUGCACCCCGUUUCCUAAAAGAAGUGCAUCGCUUCCACAAUGUCAGACUUAAAAGUUUCCCAACUAUUCUUGAUGAAAUUGAAAUUGAACCCAUUCGGGCCCGAACUCUUUGAACCUUCACAUUGCCAAACAACUUCCUUCACCUCUUCCUCUGUGAAGCUGGACACUAUUCUUAAACUAACCUCCGCGGGAAGGGUUUUGAACUCCACAAUACCAAGAUUAACCCCACAAUCAUGUGUAACCAAGAAUCUUUGAUUAAAUGUACUCUUAGCUUCCCUACAAAUAACUUUCAGCUCUUCACACCAUUGAUGAUCAAUCUCUACACCUUUGACCUCAUUUUUAAGUCUUCUCCACUUGACUCCAUUGUGAAAGAAUUUAGAAUUUGUAUCUCCCAACUUAAACCAGUUUGCUCUAGAUUUUUGUCUACAAAGAGAUUCCACCUGCUUAUCAAUCAGCCUCAACUGACUAAACAACUCCAUUCUUCUCAACUGACCGUGCUCCUCAAGAAUAUUGUUGUCAUCGUUAACAUCGAGAUCUUCAAUAUGCCUCAAAAUUUGCUUCUUCUUGGACUCUAGACACUCAAACACAUUUUUGUUCCAUUCUUUAAGGUCGGCCUUUAGAAGCUUCAAUUUAUCUUUGAGUUUAGAUAUGCUAUUCCCCUGCACAUUAUAAGAACACCAUUUCUCCUUCACAAAGUCCUUGAAACUAGGCUCCAUAAACCAUGCGUCAAUGGUUCUAAAAGGUUUAGACCCCCAAUCUUUGACCGAAAAUUUCACCACUAUAGCGCAAUGGUCGGAUACCACUCUCGGUUGUACAUAUUGCUUGCAAGACGGCCAAAUUUGAAGCCACUCUUAGGAAACAAGAAACCUAUCUAAUCUGCUUUUACCUGUACCAUUUGACUUGAACCAAGUAUAUUUUUGACCUACUACGGACACGUCCACCAAGUAAUUGCUUUCAAUAAAAUCAUUAAAGCCACUAAUCUCCUUUUUUUUGACUAGAAUUGCCUCUAACUCCUUUCCUUUCAUCUUCUCUUCUAACUGCAUUAAAAUCCCCACAAAAGCACCAUGCCACACUUUGAUGCAUACUCUUAAAAGACGUCAAAGUUUCCCACUGAGCAACCGUAUCACUUAAAUUGCAUGCUGCAUAAACGUUUAUCACAACACACAAGCUAUUAGAUUUAAGGUGUUGGCCCAGAAUAACAAUAAAGCCACUUCCUACAACAUGUUUAUCAUACCGAAAUGCUUCUUUGUGCCACAUGGAUAAGAUGCUCCCUGCCCCAUUCACUCCUUCAUUAUGUAUCCACCCAACAUUACUAUCUCUCCAUAGCGAAAAACAUUUAUUGUCUGAUAAAGUAGAUGCUUUUGUCUCUUGCAAACAUAAGAAUUCCGUACCCUCCUUAGCAAUAAAGUGUUUCAAAUAGCGAGCUUUAGAAACCCCCCAGACCUCUAAUAUUCAUAUUGAUAAUAAUCAUAACACACCGGCAUCCUCCUCAGACGACAUCAUUACUUCGUUAUCUCUAACCUCCAUACAAUCCAUUUCUCUAAUCACUGCCUCCUCAUUACCUGAACAUUUCAUCCCCAGAUGUUUACCCGUUCCCCACAACUUGACAGAUUCAGUAUCAUUCCAUUCGACCCUCAGACGGUUAUUACAAUUGAUAAUAUCACUAUCAGUUCCGGCUUUAGAGCAGAGGCUUAACCUGGAUGAGGAUCUGAUCCCAUAUUGAAGGGUUCCUUGGCCUCCCUUGGACAUCCUUCGUGGUUGUGCAGAGGUCGCACCCAAUUCCCAGAGAGCGCGUAUCCUCUGGACUCUCUCUGGUGACUUGAACCCUUCCUUCGCACCUGCAUCUUCCUCCCAGUGCCAUCGGUCCUCCUUUCUAACACUAAAUUAUCCUCGAUUCCCUCUUCGCAGAGACUUUGAUUAUGGUUAUUAAGAAGGUCCUUGUCGCUGCAUUCCGAGGAGCUUCCGUCAUUGCCGCACCGCUUAACAAAAGGAGUUUCUUCUGUUUUAGUCAGUGUAUUCGCCUUUCCUUUCGUCGGUAGGGGUGCCCCAUAUAACAACUCACCUGAACGAUUCUCCAUCUCACCUUCGACGUCACCGGAGUAGACAGGCGAAGCCUUCGGACUUCCUGUCACUCCUAACAUGUCCCCUGAAUGACCCUCUGCCUCUCUACCCCCACCUCCCGUAUUCACAGGGCCCAAUAACAAAGUUUUUUGAUUUUGGGCUUCAACGACAAAAAGAUGGCCCACACAUGUUUCAGGCCAAGUAACCUUUGCACAAGAUAAUUGUACCUCAGCUAAGUUAGCCAAAGAAUUUUGAAUAAUCAUGCAAGCUGCGUUGACCUGUUGUGCCACUGAUAAAGCUGCCCCUACAUCAGAACCUACCUUCUCACGCAUUGCCUUAUUUGAGUAGGAGGAUCUGUCUUUUUGCUGACACACCAAAUCAUUCUGACAACACUCUUCCAAGAGCUUCUUUUUUUGUCUCUAGCGGAGCACAAACUUUGUCUCCUUCCUUGGUCGCCUCCGGUUGCCGUAAAACACCACCGUCAUCACCGUUCUCAUCCCCAUCAUCACUAGAUCUUGACGAGAAAAUCGUUUCCUCAACAAAGGAUUCCAUUGAAGAAACGCUAUCUGAGGAGUCGUAGUGAUUCACGGGGCAAUUACACACUCCUACCCCUUGCAAGGGUUCCUCCUCAACUAGAGAAAUAUUAAAAGCUUUUCCAUUAAUCUGAAAGGCCUUUACCACCCCUUCUUUACAGGACAACGACAUACGAACCUGGAAACGAGCAAAUUCUAGGUUCUCCCAUGAUAAUGUAGCCUCAUCUAUGGUUACCACAGACGCUGCUUCUCCAACCACCUUUGUAAGGCAUUCCUUGGUCCACAAAGAUAUGGGUAGACCAUAACAUCUGACCCAUACCAAUCUGUGGUUCGCUACACAUGCUUCAGACCAUGGUUCUACGUCCUUGAACACACUUACAAACCAGUCUUUGUUUAGCUUAAUAAUGUCUUCCAUAUGAUCCCCUUCCUUAGGUGUUAGGAGUACCAUGUUAUCUCCCAUAAAUCUAACUUUAACCAUACUCAUCCCCCUUUGAUAAGUUCUUCACAUAGUAAAUCAAAGUUCAUGUCUUCGGACAUCCAUCCAACUGCACUGUUAGCCAUCCAAGGAAGAACUUGUGACUUAGUUUCAAAGACAAGACCUUUCCACUUCUCUUGUGAGGUAUUUCUAACUACAUAAGCAUAAGAGUGACUCACGUUAUGUGCCCUUUUGACAUCCUUUCCUUUUUUUUUUUCUCUCCAUACCUCCUUACUUUUUGGCUUCACAGGUUCAUGAGUGAAAUGAUUUUUGGCCUGUAUGGGUAAAUCAGACUCACCACCUAAUUGUGCAGAUACAACUCUCUUGUAUUUAGGUAUGUUCACAUAUAACUUCAUGUUGCCAAUGUAGAUUUGAUCCAACUGCUUCUCUAGACAAAACACAUUUUCCACAUCAAAUAACCUCACAAAACCAAAUCUUCUUCCCCAUCUAUUAAGACGUUUUGAGAUGAAUACCUCUUUCACCCUAGCCCAUUUCUGAAAGAUCUUUAGCAUGUCAUAUUCGCCAAAGCCACCUGGAAAAUUUGAAAAGAAGAACGUAAAGUAAUUAUUCACCGAAAAAAAAUUUCUAUGCUCCUCAGUUUUCCGUCGGUGGCCUUCUCUCUCCCUCCUCCAACGUUCCUCCCUAGUCCUCCGCCAGCGCUCCUCCUUCAUGACCGUGUUUUAAUCAGUCACAUUUUAUAUGAAUAUCCAUUGAAAUGAUUCAACAAGUACAAGACAUAUGACAUAUACUUAUGUUAUAAUGUAUUUAUUUAGAUAUUUGGUAUGCAGGAUGACUUUAAUGGGUACAUAAGGUGACUGUUAAACUUUCCAUUUGUAACUGUCAUUUUGAGGUUCGACAAAGAGCAAAUGGGUCAAGGAAGAAAUACAUGUUUAUUGGAAAGUACUGUAACUUGUACAAAAUAAUGUGAUUUUACUUUUAAAUUAUUUUAAAUUAUAGAAUAAAUCAUUUUGCAAUGGAGAAGUUUGAGGGUUGAAGGUAAUAUGUGUGAUUUAUAAUCAUGAAUUUUUUUUAUGAAAACAAAAUUUGUAGAUAUUUUAUCUACGGACAUACAUCCUUAAAUAAUAUUAAUAAUAAAAUAUUACCCACCGAUAUAGAUCUGUAUGUAAAUUACUUAUAUCUUUAUAUUUGUAGAUAAAUUUAUCUAAAUAUUUAUAUAUGUAGAUAUCACUUACUAUUAUAUCUGUAUAUAGUAUUAAUAAUAUUAAUAUUAAUUAUGAUAAUAAUAAUAUUAUAAUUAUUAAUAUUAUUAUGAAUACUAUUUCUAUUAUUAUUAUUUAUUAUUAUAAAUAAUAUUAAUAAAAAUAAAAAAUAAAAAAUAAAACAAAAAUAUUUUAUCAUUAUUAUUAUUAUUUUUAAUAAUUUUUUUGAUAAUAAUAAUAAUAUUAUUAUUACUAUUAUUUUAUUAUUAUUAUAUAUUUUAUUUUGCAGGCCAGCAAACCAACCUGUCCCGCCCCGCUGUUGGCCUUCGCGAGUUGCGGUUAUGCGGGAUGAGUCUAAGCGGGUCAGCGAGCUAGAUUAGUGAACCCGCCCUACCCUUUUUAGUAGCGGGCCGCAGGUCGGUCCUCAUGGUCCACUCUACAUUGCCACCUCUAGCUUGUACCCAUAUUGGCAUAAAAUACGCUCUAACAAAUGGCAAUGUAUACACGUACCUAGAUGAGCAUAUCAAAAGAACAUGAAUAUCAACUCGAAUGAACUACUAAGAUGAUGGUCAUCGUAAGGAUUCCAAAUUAUCCUUGCAUGGGUCAGACCAUCCAACUGCAUAUACAUAAUGCUAACAUUGUGUAGUAAGCGGAUUGGGGAGGCCUUCGUUUACCAUUGGGACGCGUGUUCUCACUUUAAUCAGUUUUACCUUGAUUGAACUUCUCAGAAGACUAAGAAAUAUUGAAGGUGUUUGUGGAUUGCUAUGAUUGGGGAAAUUUAGAAACAAAGGAACCUCGUUAUCUUUAAGAAUGGUAGAGUGGAUUGUCUGGAGAUCUUCACCUUGGCCCAACUCAAGGUGUGGUCUUGGCUCACGAGUAGAGUAAACAAUGUUUCAUUUACGUAUGCUUAAUGGUGUCUGGACCCUUUGUUCUAUUUGAAGUCAAUUAAAAAGUAAAUGUGGAGUUGGGGUCUUUGUGAGUUUUGGUAUGUGUUGCAGGUUUGUCAGGUGGUUCCGGGGUUUUGAAGCUUAUUGAUUUAUUUCUUCUUAUUGUUUUACUUUUCCCCUUUUGGAUGGAAGAACUUGAUAGGAUCUUGGUAGGUUUUUUGGUUGGAGCUCUUGACCUACUAGGGUAAUGAGCCUUUAAAAUGGACGUUGUCGGGCAGUGCUAGUGGGGGGAAUCUUGUGGGGGCCGGUAGGUUAGCUUAGUUAACUUUGAUAUAUCUUGUUUUUAUGGUUUGGGUUCUACUAACGUUGGUCUUUGGCCAACAAAGGGGUUUAUUCUUGGUUGUAGGUUGUAAGUUGGAAUCUGGUGUUUUAUAGGUAAGCUUAGUUUUUUGCUUUAUCUCUGGUGGUGUGUUUUGAUCAGGGUUUAUGGAAAUCGGACAUAUCGGCAUGAAGGUAAAGGUACUCUAGGCUUUGAAGAAGAGUGGUUCUUUUAGCAUGAUGUUGUGAGUUUGGCUGUGGGUAAGGGAUUUGAGUUGUAUUAGUUUUUUGAUUUGUAACUAUGUUUGUAGAAUUUUGGUUGUAGUAGGAUUUGUUUUGUGUGUAUUGUUUGGACUAAAGACUGGUUGUAUGAACCUGGAUAGGGGAGUAAGGGCUAACUUGCGUGGUUUGCCACUCCUUUCUUUUGAGGUUGGGUUUGGAGGUCUGUAGAGCCUGAAUGGUCAGGUUUUGUGCAUGUUGGAUUUGGCUAUAUAAUGUAUAAGGGUUGAGACACCUGUGAAGUAUCUCCUUUUAUUAUAUUUAUUUUUUUGCUGAGAAAAAAUAAACAUUGUGUAUAUAUCGCCUAGUGACAUAUUUUCUUGUUCAUGAGUCAACCCCUAAUAAAGUGAGAUUCAUAUAUUUCACUCCUAUCCUUAAAAAGUGCUCGUGUAUCAAUGCCUAUUACAAUUUCAACAAAAAAAAAUUGUUCAUAUAUUCAUAUGAAAAUAAAUCUACCUUAUACAAAUUAUAUAUAUUAUCUACCUGUAAAAUCGUAAUAUAACUGUCCAAUUAUUUUUUUUUGAACAAACACAUAUUCCUUAACUAGUCCUACAUCUGAGUCACAUGUAUUAUUUCCUCAAGUCUUUAUACAUUUAUUAUACUAAUAAAAAAUGAAUUUACUCAAUUUACCUAUUUAUAACAAUAGAAUAAAAAAAUUUACAUAUUUUUACCAAAUAUUAACUAUAAUUAGAAAAUAAUAUUAUUAAAAUAAUAAAUAAAAAUUAAAGUGUUAAUAUAAUUAAGUAAUAAUAAAUAAAUUAAGUAGUCAAACUGUGGAUACAUUGAAAAAUGUUAUAAUAUUAAAAAACUGAAAAUGUCAAUCUAUAUAAUUAAAAAUAAUAAAUAAUUAAUAAAAAUGAUAAAAAAUUAUUAUUAAUGGUUUACAAGUAAAACCACCCACCAUAUUCAUUAAUUUAACUUGCAACUGCAUACCAUGUUUAAAAAAUCUACAUCAUUGAUUAGAUACAGAGCAAACUAACAGUGUCGAUUACUACCAUCGCUAACUCGUUUUGAGAAUCUAUACUGCGGAACGGAUUUAUUUUUUGCAAUAGGGUCCAAGAUCCCAACCUUCUUUUACCAGUCAAUAAUAUUUGUUUUAGGCAGAAAAUUAUUUUAUAAUUGAAAUUUGUUCUUAAUUAGAAGUAUUUUGCUAUGCUACCUUUUUUUGUGUAAUGUUAUUUAUAUAUUGUGUAUCAUCGUUUAUUAAUCAGUGAAAAUCAUUCAAAUUUAUUUUAUAUAUUACUUUUCAAAAUUUCUAGAGUAAUAAUUAACAAAGACUUAUUAAUUGACAUUAAAAAUCAGUUAUUUAAAACCACGAACACUUUUCACUUUCUAAAAUUAAUAUAUCUAAGAUAGUUUUUAUUUAAAGAAUUUGACGGUGACAAUAAUGAUACUUGAAUGUUAUUUAAUCGUGUUAUUUUAUAACAUAUUUUAUUUAAUAUAGUAUUAUUCAAAAGAUAAUUAUAUCAUAUAUUUUUAAUAAAUAUUAUAUUUAUCCCAUUUGAUAACAUAUAUAGUUCAUUAUAUUUUCUUCUUUCUUAACAAAAUAAUUAAGCAUAAAGUAUUUUCUCUUUUCAAAAGUAUCUUUUUAUAAUACAUAUUAUGAUUGUUUUGAAUAUAUAACUUUUUCUUUUUUUUAAUAAAAAUACUAUUAUUUAUAAAAUUUAAGAAAAAUUAAGAAUUUUGGGGUUGCCAUGACAUCUUUCCUAUCGAAGAGACUCUUUUACUAGCUGCCUUCCCUAGUUGUCAUUUGUUAUAACUAAUCAUAUUUUUCUUUACUAUUACGAAUAAUUUAACUCUUUUUUCUGGGUACUUUAGGGGUAUCAAAGUGAAGAAAUGAAUAUCUUUGCCAAAAUGGGCUUGCAUAUUUAGAUAUAAUAUUAUAUUGUCAAGUAUAUUUGUGCAUAUAUGUUAUAAAAUCCUACUGUCAAAAUUUGAUACCUGGGCCAACUCCAAUGCAUUACUUGUUACUUUUUGUUUUUGUAAAAGGGAAAAACAUGCUUACAUCAAUUCACGUGCAAAUGGACAAGCAAAUAGAUAACUUUGAUAUGCAAGUCAGAGCCUUUUGUUCAUGAAUGAUUGAGUUAAUCACAAUGGGGACAGACAAAACUAUUCCUAUAUACUUUCAAUAAUUCACUGCAUAUCAUAAAAUAAUAGAUUGCAAGCUCGUUUUUUCCUUUCAAAACCAACACUUUUAAUAAUUAAAAUGUUAACAAAAAUAUUUUUUUUUUCUAAAUCAAAUGAACAAACUUAAUCAGCUUAUACCGAAAAACUAAAUAGAACAUAUACAGAUAUUGCAUGGAACUGAUUUUAGAGGCAGUGUCAUUGUAGCAGCUGCCUCAGCCACUGCCUAGAGCAUUGCUGCACCAGUGUUGAUACUGCCCUUCAUAUACUGCACUUUUUUUUAUGGCAUUCUACGGCUCUGGUAAGGAUCAGAGACCACAACAUUCAUCAAGUAGCUUUACAACUUUCAUCUUCUCAAAUUUUCCAGAUAAUUAUGGGGAAUACGAUAGGAUCAAGAUCUUCCGGUGAUGGACUAGGGUAAAGGAAGUGUUCAACAGGUGGGGGGAGAAGAUUUGGGUUUUUGAGGCUCUUUGAUGUGGAAAACACAAGUACGCUGGAGAGGGAGCUGGACCAAGUUCGCGUAGGCAAUAUGAAACUCUAUGUCAAUAUUCCGCGUUAUAGAAGAGCAGAGUUGGAGCAACCGGUGAGUCACACAAAAUCUGCGGUGGAACAACCAUACCGUAAGUUCAAUGAAGCUAGGAAACGCUACAAACAAGAACCAAGGGAGAAAAACAACAAAGAGGUAUGAAGGGUUAAGAAAGGGAAGGAGAAGAAUGAAUGGAGAGUGAUCAAAGAAAAGCAAUCCUACGCGGGUGCAGUGAAAAAAUCUUCAAAAGGAGUAUGGAAGGUUCCUAUUAUUGAAACCAAGCAACAAGUCCUACCUUGGAUGUCUAAUAGUGCAAUGAGGCAUAUAUUAACAAAUUUAAGCUAUAAUCAGUUGUGUGAAGAAUUCAUCAUGGGGGGAUGAAUAUGGUUAAAGUGAGGUACUUGGGUGAUAAUCUGACUGUGUUAACUCCUAGAGAAGGGGAACAGAUGGAAGAUCUUAUCAUGUUUAACAAAGAAUGGUUUGAAAAUGUUUUUGAGGUUAUUGAGCCAUGGUGAGAUUCACACGUAGCAGGCCAUAAAAUUGUUUGGGUUAGAUGCUAUGGGCUCCCUAUAUCUCUGUGGAACAAAUAUUACUUCUCUAAAGUGGUAGGUGAGGUAGUUUCCUUAGUGUUUAUUGAUAAGGCAACAAAAUCAUGGGAUAACCUUGAGUAUGCAAGACUCCAACUGCGUCUCCUUAAGUCGUGCUCUAUCAGCUUAGCUAAGGGGAUGAAGAUCAAUGGCCAUGUAUAUAACAUUUGCAUUGAAGAGGAGCACCCUAAUUUUGUUGAAGGUAAAUGUAAGUGCACGUUUAAUCACUAUGCUUCAUUAGGUAGUAUAACGUUAUCAGAGUCCUUUGUGGAGGAAACCUAGUUUUCGGAAAAGAAUGUUGAUGAAGAUGUCAGGAAAGGGGGAGGGGAGUUGCGGUGGCCAGAGGACUCGAUGAGAGGUGGGAAUGUCAACAUCCCGCAUAAGACAAACUUGUUGUAUGUUGAGGAAUUGUGUGUGCAUGAUAAAAAUGGGCAGGAGAAAGGUGGUAGUUCUUACACAAAUAAGGUAAAGGGGAAGCAGACAAAAUGUGUAGGGGACUCAACUUUAUGUGUCCUAUAUGGUCAAUGUUGCAUGCAAAAGCAACUUUGUCCAAGUAGCCUUGACCAAUCUUCUUGUAGUUGUGGAGGCCUUUAACAGUAGCAAGUCCAAUAAGAAUGUGGCCCAAAGGCUGCGUAGAGGCCUAUUCGGGGAGAGGUGUAGAGGCCCAAUUUUGGGACGACGACCCAUGUUAUGUAGAGGGUGGGCACGUAGAAUCAAUGGUUGGUCUAGUACGUGAGGAGGGCGUAUGGGCCAUUGGGAGCGAAACCGUGACAACCACUUUGAACGACAGUGAGAAAGGGAGUUCGUUCGUGGAAGCUAGCGACGAUAGUGAGAAUGGAGAAAAUCUGUUCAUGGAAAACAGUAGUGCUAUAGAGAGGGGAGAAAAUAUGUUUGUGGAAACCAGUAGCGCUAUCGAGAAUGGAGAAACACAUUACACACCCAUCAAUAGUAGCGCGUGCUCCGCCCAGGUGGGCAACUCGCACAUAGAGGAAGGUCCCCGAACCAGUCUCAUUAACAAAGGCAUCAGGGACGAAGUAGGUAUUCAGAUUCAGAGCAUUGAUGACCACGAAAAACAAUCCUUAGUGUUCGAUGAUGAAGAAGAUGAUAAGGGGGAUAAUUUUGUUACCCCGCCACGACACCGACGUCAGAAGGGUUGUGGGAGUUGGGAGAAUCAAGCAGGAUGCCUCGGGGGAAGUCUAGAAUUGGAGCGGGAAGUCUUUAUGUAGGGAUUUUCUCAGAUUCAAGGGUUAGUACAAAUUCUAACACCUUAUCUGGCGACAAUAUUGUUAAUUGUAACAGUAGAUUUCAGAUUUUUGGAAAUAUUGAUGAACCUAUAUAUCAAUUUUUGGGAGGUAGGAAAACAGUUAGGGGUCUCAUGUUGUGGGUAUGAGGAUGAUGUGGUCAAGGAAAUAGAAAGAAGGGAAGCAAGAGAUUUGGAGGUUAUGAAAAAGUACGAGGAGAGAAAUAAGGGGAGUUUCUUAUGAUUAUUGUGAAUCUGAAUAUAAGAGGUCUUGGGGAGGGAGGGUACUAAGGCUAAAUAUAUGAAAAAUAUUAUAGCCAACGAGAGUGCGAAUGUGUUGUGCUUACAAGAAACAAAAACAGUUGCGUUCUCAGAAGCUAGGUGUUUUUUGCUAUUGAGGAUAAUAAUGUGGGAUGGUUACAUAAUGAAGGUAUAAGUGGUGAUGGGAGUUUGCUAAUUACGUGGCAUAAAGAAGCGUUUCGUUGUGAUAGUCAUGUGGAGGUAGGGGCUUCAUUUAUAUUUUUGGUAAGCAUAUCAUAUCUAAAAUAAAAUGUGUGGGGAUCAAUGUGUAUGCAACGUGCAAUCUGAAUGACAAAGUGACCUUAUGGGAGGAAUUGACAACCAUUAAAAAUGCAAAUAAGAACUUGGCAUGGUGUCUUUGUGGCGAUUUUAAUGCUGUAAGAUGUGAAAAUGAAAGGAAAGCUAAAAGUGAAAGGGGCAACCAAAACAAUGAGAUCACUGGCUUUAACCAUUUUAUCGAAAGGAAUUUCCUGGUGGAAUUGCCAAUUGUGGGUAAGAAGUAUACUUGGUACAAGGAAAAUGGUACAACAAAAAGCAGACUAGAUAAAGUGCUUUUGUCUGACGUUUGGUUACGGAAAUGGCCAAUGGACAAACAAUAUGUACAACCAAGAGAGGUGUUAGAUCACUGUGCCAUAGUGGUGAAAUGUUUGGCCAAAGAUUAGGGUCCUAGACCCUUCAGGACUAUUGAUUCUUAGCAGAUGGAGUAUGGAUUCAAGGAUAUGGUGAGAGAUAAGUGGAAUUCUUACUUUGUUCAAGGCUAAAGCAUAACGAAAUUCAAAGAUACAAGCUAAAAAGUAUUAAGGCAGACCUCAAAGAGUGGAAUAGAGAUGUGUUUGAGCAUCUGGACAUAGAGAAGAACAGAAUUAUGAAGGAAAUUGAGGUUUUAGAUAUCCAAGAUGACGUCUUCGACCUCGAAGGCCACGCAAGGUUGAAGAGAAUGGACCUUACAGGUCAAUUGAGAGUGAUCAAUAAAAAGAUGAAGUCUCUCUUUAGGCAGAAAGCUAGAACUAACUGGUUUGUGCAUGGAGACUCUAAUUCUAAAUUCUACCACUCCGUAAUUAGAUGGAGAAGACUUAGAAAUGAGGUAAAAGGUGUCCUUGUGGGGAUCAAUGGUGUGAGCAACCUGAGGUUGUUCGAAGGGAAGCAAAAACUAUGUUUGAGGAUAGAUUUGUGGCUACACAUGAUUUUGGGGUUUAGGGUUUAACAAAGACAAUCAAGAAAAAGGCACACAAAAAGAAUCUAAGAUACUUACUAAACUUUUAACAAUGAAACUUUCUUUAGAAAUUGUUAAAGCAAAAGGAUAAAAAUUCCACAAUGUUAAAAUCAAUUUGUCAAUCAAAAUGGACCCACUAUUUUGAAAUGUUGCUAUUUUGAAAAGGUUGGAACCAAUAGACUUGCACAACUUCUCUUAUUUUUUUUUUAUACUAUUAUGGAAAUGAAAUGUCCAUAGUUUUGAUCAUGCAUAUUUUCAUAGACCUCCAAAUAUCACAAAAAGUUUGGGAUUCAAAUUAAUUGAUGACUUGAAAUCUUUUGUUUGGAACUUAAAUCUACUUCUACUAAAACAAACUUCCAAUUACUUUUAAACUUUCACAAUUAAAAGCAAAGUAAGUAGAAUCAAAAUAUAAGGACUCUUAGAACACUAAAGAACAUAUGACUCAAGACAAAAGAGGCAAGAACAAUAAAAGACAUAAAGGAACAUUCAAAAUGAGAACAAAGCCAUUGAAUAACAAUAAUGCCAAAUUGAAAAAAAGGAAAGUAAAGGACUGAAAUUAUAUGUGCUUGAAUGUAAAGACAAGAAAUUAAAGGUGUUUGAAUGUAAAGAUAAGAAAUUAAAGGUGUAAGAAAAGUAAAGUGCCAAAUCAAUUCAAAGCAAAAUAAGCUCAAGAACCUAAGCUCUGAUAACCACAUGAUGUGAGUUGAUUUUUAGAUGGUUCCAUUUUAUGGUGACACUUUUGCUUAAAGUUGGGAUUUUAGCAAUUUAUGGUGAAACCUAAGGAAGAUUCCCACUGAACACGAACUUAACCAAAUAGUUAAGUAAGUGUGAAGGUUCACUUCACAAAGGCAAAGAUGAAAAAUCAAUAUAAAAUGAUGCAAUGUGGAAUGGAAAUGGCAAUAAGGUAAGUAUCAAUGGUGGUCAUGGCCGAACCAAAUGAUGAACCAUUAGCAUAUAACAAAAGCAAAACAAAGUGUAAGAGUCCAAGAUAAAGACAUAUAUGAAAUGGAAAUGAAUUGAAAAGAGUGGAAGAAGAGUAGCUUAUGGAGUGAAUGCGAGAGUGGUUCACGUCACUUGGGGUGUGGUAGCCACCAAGAUGAGUGAAGAGCCGCCACUUGAGAGUCUCACACUACUAAAGAUAAGACCUAAUGCUAAGAGGAAACAGGCUUCAGUAACACCUCACACAAAUUGUGCAGAGUAACUUUUCUAUUUAAAUUCAACAUUAAAAAACAAGGAGUAAGGCACCCUAUUUAUAGGAAUGGGUGCAUUGGUGGACAAGAAGGGCAAGGGUAGGGUGGUAAAUGUGUGAGGGGGUUGCCUUUAGGGUUUGACUAAUUCAAAACUGCACCCUAGUCUUGUUCUUCUAGAAACUAGGUCAAAUUUCCUUCCUAAAACACUAGAAACAAGCUAAAAUGAUAACUACACCCCCUAUUAUGCUAUAGGCACCUAUUCUAGCCUAUCUUGCUAUUUUGGACCCCAAAAUGAGCCCAAAUUACUUACAUAACUUUUCUCUUGUGGAAAGGCCAAAAGGAAGAACUUCUGAUAUUCUGGUUUAUAGCUUGUUCUUCUUCUGCUGAUGCUUUCUCGAGGUUUGGUGGACCCGACUUUGUAUACUGAGAUGAUUGACCUUUUUGUGAAUUGUUUGUUGUGUCCUUAGUCCUCUACUGAUUGUUGUGGUUUGUAUCACUAGACAAUGGUGGUUCAUUGUCCAACACUUUUUUUUAAUCAACAAUAAAAAUUUAAUAAAUAGGAGUACUCAGGGUACUCCAACCCAUGUACAAAAAUCCCCUAUGCUAGAGAAAUGAGGUUUCCAGAUAAAAAUGACCAAAACAUAGCCAUAUUCUACCCAUAUAAUUCUAAUAAGCUUAAACAUCUUUAAAAACAUCUAGAUAUCAAUACAUAAAUCAAGCUAUCUAUAAAAAAAUCCAGCAAUCCAAUUCCAGAAUAUAAGCAUGUCAACUCUAAAGAAAGACUUUGCCUCCUUGCUAUCUACUGCAGUUUCCCAAGCACCCAUUAUGACUAUAGUUGUAGCCCAAGGAAAUUCCUCUCAUGCAAACCGAGAAUCCAGCAAAAAAAGUAGAGAAAAUGUGUUAAUCAUCAAUGUAGUGAUUUUAAACUUUCAUAUACAUUAAUACACCAAUCAGAAUAAGAGAAAUUUGACUUUGGAAAUUUAUAACUUACCCAUGCCCACGCUUUUACUUGGACCAAAGCAAUUUUUUUAACAGGAUCCACCAUUGCAUUAUUGAAAAUUAUCCUAUUCCUAUGGUUCCAAAUUCCUCAAAUAAUGGAAAUCCACAUACAUUUCCAGACACAAUUUCCCAAGUAGUUUAAACCUGUAAAACCUAUUUGUUUGUUGAGUAACAUUAUCACAAUGUACAAAAGUUCUACCAGCCCAAGCAUCAGAGAUAUACCACACUUUAGAAGUCACUUUAUAUGUGAAAAAAAGAUGAUUUACUGUUUCAAGCUCAGACCACACAUGGCACACAUCCCCUCUCCAACCUUAAUUCCUCUAUGUAUUAAAUUAUCAUAUGUUGCAAUUUUACCAAUUAAAACACGUCAGGCAAAGUAAUGUGCUUAUGGAAGAGCUUUUAGGCUAAAAAAAGAAUCAAAAUUGAAUGCAGAGAAUGAAUGUGGCUGCAAAAUAUUUUGGUGGCAAAGAAUUUUAUAAGCUGAGUUAACAAUAAAAGAAUUUGAGGUAUCACCUACCCACAUCCACUCAUCAUUUUUACAAGCAUAUAUUUUAAUAGUCUUCAAUUCAUCCAUAAAUUCAUUUAUAAUUUCAGUUUCCCAUUAAAACUACUAUUUUCUCCAUUCUAUUUGCCAUACCCAUUGGUUUUCAUGUCAUACCCUACAGAACCUUCUUUAAGCACUGAGUUUUAAAAAAUUAUGGGAUUUCUAUUUUUCAGAGUAUCAUUUCCUAUCCAAUAAUCUGUCCAAAACAGAAUAUUACUCCCUGCACCGACCUUCCACCUUCUCUGGUUAUCAAACUAACAAUUUGAGUUUCCUCCACACACCUUCUUGAUAUCUCUCCACCACCAAGAUUUAGUAUUUGACACAACACUAUCAUCCAACCCUCUCCAAGAACCAUAUUAAGAUUACGGGUGGCAAAGCGGCCCGCCCGCCCCGCAUAGGCCCGCGGGCUGGCUUGCAUUUUUGUUUUGAAACAUGGAGGAGAAGUGGAGGCAGCAACGGUGCGGUAGCAGUGAUGUGCGGCAACAACAGUGUGCAGUAGCGCGACAGUUGCAGGCGAAGCCGCACGGAGUUGCAAGUGGAGCGAGCGAAGUCGCAGGUGGAGCGAGCGACGACACUGCAACAGAGAGUGCGUCGUGUACAUUUUUUGGAACAACAUAGUUGCGUUGUGUUUUGAGUGAAAACCUAAUUUUCUUUCACUCAAAGUUGCAUCUCUUCCACGGACCAUUGCUGCCAAGUCAAUUUUUUUUUUUUUUAGCGAGCUAGCAGGCCAGCCCGCCUUGCCCCACUGCUGGCCCAUCCCACUUUGCCACCCCUAAUUUAGAUUCCAAUACCGGUUUCCAAAGUCCUUAUUUUUCACAACCAAGUCCCCAUUAUCAUUUCCCAAGAAGAACAAUAUUAAACAAAUUUACAUCCUUAAUUCAUAGUCCUCCUUCCGAUUUGGAUUGACAUAGGAAGUCCCACUUGAUCCAGGCUAUCUUCCUUUUAUCACUUCCCCAUCCCCAUAAAAAAUCCCUUUGUAAUCUUGUGAUUAAUUUCGCAACUGCCAUAGACAUUUUGAACAGAGAUAAGUAAUAUAAAGCGACAGCUGAAACAUGACAGAUUUUAUCAAAAUAACUCUUCCAGCAAAAUAUAAAUGUUUUCCAUUCCAACUAGAAAGCUUAGUUUUAAUAUUUGAUUUCAUGUCUUUCCAAAACACUUUUUUUCCUAUUAUUAUCUCCCACAAGACAUUGUCCUGCACUUGAUAAUUCAAGUGACGUUAAUCUGCCGACGAGGGAGCAUUAGAGUUGGAAUCCAGCGGCUUGCUCUCUGUGCAAUUGGGGGUAUGGCAGCAAGCCUACUGUGGAGGGGUUGCAAGCCAAGUUUAGACUAUGGUAUCUUACAGUAUAGGAGAUUGGGAACAACCAUUUUUUCUAUCUUCUAUUGUCUAUUUAUAUCAAUACUACAAUCCCUCUUUAGGAAUUUGUUUGACUUGGCUCUAUGCAGGUUAAUUGCUAGGAAAUUUAGUGGCUGCUGGUGUUUUUUUUUAUGCAGAACCAUCUGUUUGCUAAGUUGUGUUAAGCUUUUCUAAGUCGUGGUAGAUUUGUUCCCGUAUGGCGUGGAAGAAUGUUUUUUGGUUUGACUAGGAGAAAACGUUUUGGUUAUCGUAUAAGAGUUUGAACACUAUAAAGUCUUCAUUAAAUUCAAUUAUUCUUUGUUAUAAAAAAAUUGGAAAAACUAAAUCUGUAUGGAAAAUCUCAUAUUCCACAUACUGAUAUAUAUAAUGAAUGUGCAGUCAUCAUAUUUUUGAAAAUUUAGAAUAUAUAUAUAUAUUUUAGAAUAUUUGAAAGAUGUUUUAAUUCAUAUAUAAAAUAUUAAAAAUUUAAAUAAAUCUUAUUUAAAAAAUUACGAGAAAAUAUAUAUAUUUAAAAUUUGUCCAACAUAACAUAUAAAAUAACUAUCAACACAACACUGCAUCCUAAAAGGCGGAAGCCUUAAAUUUUCAUUUCUCGCAAAAAUCUGUAUUUGCACCUGAAACAAAGCCCCACCCCACGACACUAACGCAUUAGUAACAUGUAUAUGAUCAUUUGAAAUGUUAUUGAUCGAAACUUAACAUUAUAAAAACAUUUGAUUUUGAUAACGUGUGGAAUAAGGAUUUGUUCGAAAUUGGAGUUUGGUUUGGUGUGAAAGAAUUAUCCGAAAAAAGAAAAAUGGAGAGGAAAGUGGUAGAGUAUAUAAAGACGAAAUGAGAUGAGUGGGUUUGAUAGUCACGGACGAGUGAUUCCCAUAUGAGGAGGCAAAUGACAUGAGGUGCGACAAAAGUGUCACAAUAUCUUUACUAAUAAUUACAAUAACGAACAUUUCAGAGACUAUACUGUCUCUGUUGGAUGCAGAGCACUGUGCCCAGCCAUCACACCUUUAUUCAUUUACUUAACGCCAUAAAGAUCUUUCACCAAAUGAAUAAUGACGUGAGACCUAACCCUAAUUGUGAGCAACCACGGCACUGCCCUACAGUGCAUGCUAACAUGCAAACAGUUCAGAGAGAGAAGAACUCCAUAAGAAUGUGAGUUUCAAAAGUGGUCAACAUGCUCAGGAAUAUUUCAAAAUGAUAGGCUAAAAAGGCUCAUCUUUAAGCAAAGGAAUGUCAACAAAAGCACAUCAAAAUGUGAACGGCGUUUAUCAAGUUUUGUAGUGCUGCUAAUGGAGUUAGUAACCAUUUUUUUUAAUUAAUAAUAUUGUUAAAUAAGUAUUUUCAUAUAUAUAUAUAUAUAUAUAUAUAUAAAAUUAUGAUAUAAGCACAUGUCUCUUUUUUAAAAAAAGAAAGUAGUUUGGUGUCUGAUAAAUAAUAAUUUAAAUGUAAAAAAUCGUAAUUAUAUUUUUGAUUUGUAUGCUGUCAUGCACGUUUAUACUAGUCUUGGUAUCUUAUGUGAUGGUCUUUUAAUAAGAUUUUUCUUGAAAAGUAAGGAAUUAGGUGUAUGAAAUACAAAAUUGGUACUGCUUUAUUUUUAAGUUUUGUGUAGCUGUAGUGGGUAUGGUAUAUGUUAAUUAUAGCUAGAAAACAAUGGUGAAAUUGAAAGGAAACCAGGGUUUGUCGUUUCCAUUGGAAUAUAUCGAAUACGUGAAGAUGCUGAGCAAGAGAGUCAGCAUCCUCGUCUGUUGAGCAUUGUGCACAACCUGGCUGGCUUUACCGUAUUUACUUUUCUAUCUCAAACUAAACUUUAUCAUGAAAUUCAAUGAAACAGUAAAUUUAUUCAGAUGUCUAUCACUGUCAAAGUGAGAGAGUACUGAAGAGAAAGGGAUCGAUGUACUCAAGAAAAACAUAAGAGUUGCAAUUUAUAGAAUCGAAAUCAUAGUUAAUAGACCAAUUAGACUUCUUUUCAUAACAAAAUAACCUUAAAGCAGUUUUAAAUAAGUUCAUACAUACGUAACAAGCUAUUUCUUUAAUGUUUUUUCAUUGUGCCUAAUCUUUUCCUUAUUACAACGUUGACUUUCCAAAAUGAUGAUUUGGCUAUGCUGCUGCCUUCAGGUCAGGGUCCAAAGAACUCAGUACCCAUGACACGUUGUUGUUGUUGUAGUUGUUCUCUCUGUGAAAAUCCACCAUUCAUAUUUCUAACCAUUCCUCCAACACCCAAAAAGUCUAAGGUCAACUUAUCAGAACCUCCAAAGUUUACAUUAUUAAGAUUCUGGGGCAACUUAUGGUUGGACUCGUCGACGUUGUGAAACCCAGAAAGGUUGUUUUCAUUCCCUUGCAUGUUCCUAAACAAGGACGUGUUUCCAUUAGCAAUAGAGUUCAUCAACCCUUGAAGAUUGUGGUGGUGGUGGUGACCAUUUUCAGCUUUGGAACCAUUGCUAGACAUUCCUCUAAGUAAAGAAGAACCGCUGGUGGUUGUGGUUGAACCCAUUUGAGAGGCUUUUUGAAGCAACACAGUGGCAGACAUAUGAGGGGAUGAUACGUUUUCUAUUGAAUCACCAAAGAGCGAAGAAAAACUUGAACCCACAUGAUCACUUACUGCAGGGUUGUUAUUAACAAAGAGUGGUGGUGGUGUUGUUCCUUGGUCACUACCACUUAUGUUGUUGAAUUGAUCAGGGAUAAUGGUGCUAGUGCUAUUGCUACUUGGGAAGAAGCUGAGGUUGAAGAGAUUGGAAUUAGGAGCAGCAACUGAUGAAGAAUUGGAGUUGUUAGUGUUGCCAUCAAGAGCAGUGAGCUGCAUUAGGCCAUGUAGUUGCUUGUUUGAGAAUAGUUGUCCUUGUUGUGAUUGGUGUUCUUCAAAUAAUGUUUGAUUGGUGUUGUUAUUCAUGAAGAAAGCUGAGGAAGGCAUUGAUUGUGGUGAGUGUCCAAAUGAAGACUGAUUUAGAGGUGGAAUCAAGUGCUCAAACUUAAGAGCUGCACCAAUGUUAGUGACUGUUUGGUUCUGAUUUUGAACUUGGGAAAGUUGGGUACCCACUUGGGAUAGGGUUAAACUAGUGUGGUUUGUGCCAAACAAAUGAGUUCCCAAAGGAUUUGAGCUACUGGGGUAUCUUGCACUCUCAUGUGCUAAUGCAUCACAGAACGCCCUAUGAGUGAUGAAACUGUCACGCCUGCAUCAAAAAUAUAAUAAAAGGUAUACAUAAAUUGACCACAUCUUCCAUUAUAGAAACUGACAAAGGUGAAUUUAUUACGUCGAGUAUUAAGUAAGACUUAAAAUUAUAUUAUUAGUAUGCUCCAGUAAGAAUACAAUAUAAUAAUCAAAAUGUUCCUAAUCAGCUCAAUAACAACUAUUAUGCCACCACAUCAACACAUAAAAUUCUUGAACCAAACCAUAUAUUAAUUUUAAUAACGUAUAUAGGUAACCUAACACCGUCCAACCUAAAGAAUUUUGGAACUGUAGAAGUUCAAGAUAUAUAUAUAUAUAUAUAUAUAUAUAUCAAUUAUUUAACCAACCAAUUCCAAAGGUAUAGUCAAAUAUAAAAUAAAAAAUAAAAUAGGAAAUGUUUUUUUCUUUGUAAUUGGAACUGCAAUUUUGAAAAUAAAACUCUAAUGGAAACAGAGGGCCCAGGGGAUCAUUAUACCAAAAGAUGAUACACACAAGAAAUCCAAAUCUAACUGCCACUUUAAGGUCUCUCAUUAAUCAAUAAAAGAGAAUUAUUUUCAGCUUCUGAUGAAAGUCAAUUAUCAUAAGACCAAAGAUGGGGCCAGUUCAAUAAAUGCAAACAACCUCAAUACUUGUCUAUUUUCUACGACGAGAAUUCAUUUCAAAGCAAUGGUAGAAUACAAAAAUUGCUGAUAUAGAAGUGGCGAAUUAAUGGUGAGAAUUUGUUUAGCAAUGAAUAAAGAAAUAAUGGGAAGUGGUGACAAUUAUGCAGCUCGGACCCAUUGCAAGAAGAUAAGUGUAUUUAUAUAUGAACCGAGCCAAGCCGAAAGAGAACAAAAGCCAGCAUCUCCAACUCAUGUGAGAACAAACCCAGUAUCACUAUGCCUGUUGCCUUUGCAGAGUUGCUUAACUGCACGUGAAUGGGAAUAAGGGUGGGGGCACAGUUCCCGAGGACCAAAGUUGAACUUGCUUGUUUUUCUUCCCAAAGCAUGUCAAUUUUGGUACCCCAUUUCAACAGUCUACUCACGUGCGAGCAGUCUCCUGCCAUGCCUCCACUAACACCCAAGGAAAUGAAUGGAGAAAGCUCUAGUUCACAUUUAACUUCUGUUUCGACUAUUUACUCAAUUUUUUCAAACUAGCGACACCUUCUUAGGUUGCGUUUAGAAAUGCUUAUAAUAAAAAUGCAUCAAGCUUAAAAGCUUUUACUAGUGUGAAAAAUUCAAAACCCACCAAAGAGUAUGAGAAACCCUAAUUUUUCAUAAACUGGAUGGUGUGUGUGUAUUAUAUACACAUUUGAAGAAUGUAUAAAGUGCAGUGGAAACUAAGAUAAAAUGGGUUGUUACCUAGAGAAGAGAGUGCCACAGUCACAUCUGUACUCUCUAGUGCCACAAGUCUUUGAAUGUGCUUUCCAAUCAGAUUGAACAGCAUAUUUCUUUGAGCACUUUUCACACUUCCACUUCUUCUCACCAUGCUUGCGAGAGUAGUGCUUCUUGAUUCCAGUGAGGUCUCCCAAAGCCCUUGAAGGAUCAUGAUGGACGCAGGUGGGCUCGGGACAAAGAUAAACCUUUCUUUUUUGCUCUUUUGUACUCUUCUGCUUUAGCUUCCAAGGAAGGUUGUGUCCUCUUCUGUGAAGCUGUAGGUUUUGCUCCCUUUGAAAUCCUUUAUUGCACACCUCACAUAUAAACCUGUUUGUUGCCAUUAGGGUCUUGGGAGAUAGUUUUAUCACCUCCGCGUCUGGAUCUUUUACCCCCACAAAAAUGACAAACAACAAAUUAUUAAAAAACUCUCAUGCUUCAAUCACUUGCUCAAAUUGAAUACGCACAAGAAACAGAAGAAUAAUCUUUCUUUUUUGACCUUGUUUUAGAACCACGUAGGAAUUUCAAUAGUAAUGAUAAAAAAAAAAAUACAAAUUUACGAAGAUUAUUAAAAAAUUUAAACCAGAAGUUUCAUGCUUUUGAGAUUCUUAGAGAAAAGCAAUCCAACCAUGAACUGAAUGUCUCUACAGUAAAUUAAAGAAGUCAAUAGCCCUAAAUCACGAAUAGGGUUUCGUCGUGUUUGUUAUUGAGAAAAUGAAAGAAGUGAAACAAAAUUGCAAAGGAUGUGUAUAUGUGUGUGGUUUAAGCAAUCAAAUUUAACUAAGCUACUUGCUUGGGGUUCCAGGUUGAUUCCUCCGUUUCUUUUGAGGAACUGUGAUUGGAGCAACUGUGGAGGGUUGAUGGUGUGUUGUAAUCUGAGGGCUUUCUUCUCUGGUUCCCGAGAAUGGAGUGGAUGAGGAAGCUGCCGCCAUAACUGUUGUGCAAAUCUGGAACUAAUAUCUGAACCAAAAGUAAACACCUAUCAAAUAUCCGAAUAUCCUUCUGCUGAAAGGAAAAAAAAAACCUCAAUUGCAUGUUUUCUUGUCCCUUGGAAAGAAUAAACAAAAAGAAAGGGAAAAAGAAACUACAACAGAAUGAAGAAAAAAAAAAAGACCUGAAGUAUGUUUGAUUUUUUCCCUGCUUUCUUUGUCUGUCAGGAAAAAAGAAAAAAAAUAGAAACUGAGAGAUUAAAUCACAAAAGAUACCGAGAGGAAAGUAUCUUAGGAGACAGAAGCAAACAGGAGACGAAGAGAAGAAAACAAUUCACUCUGAAUACCUACUUAUCUUCUGGCUAUUGUUUUCUUAUCAUAAAAUUUAGCUACUACUACUCCCUCUUGUUAUUUCUCAAUCAUUUGGUGUCAUCUAGACAGAAGAAUAAUAAUAAUAGUUAAUAACAUGCUAGCUUGUCCUCCAAAAGGCAUAUAUAAAUCAACUCAUAUGUAUCUCUUUUGAUCUCUGUGUCUCUUCUUUUCCCCUCUUCUCCUCAUGGUUGUGCAUUUUGUAAGGAGGAAUAAUUAAGGGUGGUAAAGUUGCCAGCGAAGUGAGGGAGGUAAUUUAUGUCACUGUUAUACUGCUCCUGCACGGGCUACUGUGUCCUUAGCAGAUGAUGGUCUGGGGCCACCGACCCUUUUAGCUCUCACACUCACCUUAUCUCUCCUUCUCUUCUUUCCUAUCUUUUUACCAACAACCAUACAACUUUCCUCAUUUUUUACCCAACAACUAAUUGGUUUAUGCAUUAUUAUAACUAUUGUUAAUUAUUACCAUGUCUACAAUACUUUCUUUAGCAUGGUUUUUAUCAGAUACAACUUUCCACUGUUAUUCGAUUAUAUAUGGUUACUAUAAACUGACAUAAAAGUUCUAGGAUUAGUUGGUAAAAAAUAUUUUCAAUCAAAAUCUUGUGGUAAUUUACGGACAAAGUACUUCGAACUCUUACACCUAAUCGUGAUAACUCAGUAGACAGAGAGCUUGCUGGUAGAUGAUGACAAUAUUUGGGUUUAUCUCCUAUUUUAUAAUAAUUGUAAUGGUAGUUUGAACUGUUUGCUUGAAGAUAUUUGCUUGGAAAAAUGUUAUCAGUUUGUAACCACCUUGGUAAACAGGGAUAAACAGGGAUUUUUGAAAUGAUGUUUGCAUUGACAAUGCUAGUUUGAAACAUUCUUUACCAUGCUUGUACCAAGUCUAUGUUGAAAUAGCUGCUUCGCGUGUAGAUGAAAGGGGAGUAUGGUAUGAUAAGAUUUGGUUCUGGAGAUCAAUUUGUCGGUCAAAAUCUAAUGCUAUAUCAGAAAAGCCAAGGCAAAUUUGUACGUAACACCGAAGUGAAAGCUACAAAGAUCAAACCAAAAUAUUUGCAUCUCUGCACUUAUUGGAAGAUGCUAAAGUUGCGUCCACAAAAAAAAUCUACGAACCCUUUGAAGCUCAAUUUUAUAAAAUGUGGUCGACACUACCUCUACAAUAUCACAAGGACGAGAAAGUUAGGAGGGUUGAGGGGAAAGUAUAAAAUUUUGAGUUCAUUUAAUAAAUAUAUAACAUUACUUUUUAUGUUAAAUAUUCAUAAUUGUGUGUUUUUUUAAAUGAUAAAAAAUAAUAUAAAAAAUAGGAUUGUAUGAUAAUUAUUAUCUAUAGAGUAAUUUAAAUAUAAUUAUUUUAGAUCUCUUUUUUAAUUUUAGUUGUGUUAAUUUAAUUUACUUUUGAAUAAAAUUGUUCUUUAUGUUUAAAUUUAGUUUUAAUUUCAUGUUAUAUACUUUAUCUUUGUUUUUUUUAGUUCUGAAGGAUAAAAGUUGUAAGAAGACGUUAUCGUGAACAUUAAAAUAGAGAAAAUGAAGUUUCCUAUUUAGAUUUACGCGAUAAAAAUUUACAAGAAGAAUUUGUAUAUAUGCACUUUAAGCCACCCAUUUUGUAGGCAUUUUAAGCCAAACUUGAGAGGAAAGUAGUGCUUAAAUAGUUUAUUUUGGACAGCCUAAGAAGUUCCAUCUGAAGUCCACUAUGGCAGAGGUUGAGUGUCUAUAAAAGACAAAAAAAAAAAUAGAACCUUAUUUUCAUACAAUUAUACACUUUGAGACAUACUUGGAGACACGGAAAAAUUCUUCUCCUUUUGAAGGAUUAUUUCUCUAUAAUUGAUAAGAAGUAGCUAAGUUUUCUUUCUUUCGUAGAAGCUUAAUACACUUGAAUCUACAUGUAAUUGUUAUGUUUUUUUUUUUAUUUAUGUAGUAGCUAUUAUUUUUUUUAAUGUUCAGUUAUAACUGAUAAAUUGGAGUAAUGGUAUGAUUUUAUAAUUUUUAUUAUAAUUCAAAAUAAGUCAAAGAUUGGUAGUAGAAUCAAUUAUAUAAUCAUUAAAUAAAAACUAAUUUUAUAGUAAAAAAAUAAUUAGUUACUAUAUUGACUAUAUUAAAUAUUAUUUUAGAUAUUAAAAAAAUUAUUAGUAUCUAAAAUAAUUUCUAUUAUUAAUAAAAUUUAAAACUAGUUUCAAAUUGAUAUAUUUUCCGACCUCAAGUCUAUUAAGAUAAUAUCACUAGGAUCAAUCACCACAUCUGAGAUAUUUGGAGCUCGAAGUUCCAUUACAUUUUUUUUUUCUUAAAAGGCCUCUAAGAAGUUUAAAGCACUAGUGCAAAUAAUGCUUUUUACAACAACAUAUUUGGUUGGUUAAGAAAGAACCGGUGUAAAGAAAAAUACGGUGACAUUUUUGUAAAUAUUGUGCAUAUAUUACAUUGGUUGUUACUCCUAAUCGGUGUAAUAUGUGUUGAUUUUGAGUAAUUUUUUUUAAAAAAAUUACAUUUUUACAGUGAUAUAUUAAAUCGGUUGUUAGGUCCAAGCGGUUAAUAUGUAUUGAUUUUGAGUGUAAAAAAAUUAUUUAAAAAUUACAUUUUUCUAGUGACGUAUUACAUUGGUUGUGAGGUCCAACCGAUGUAAUAUGUAUUGAUUUCGAGUGUAAAAAAAUGUUUAAAAAACUACAUUUUUUGGGAUGAUAUAUUACAUCGGUUGGGAGAUCCAAUCGAUGUAAUAUGUAUUGAUUUGUCUUUUAAAUGUAUAAAUUUUAAAAGGUAAGUGAUGUUAGGGGCAUUUAUUACAUCGAUUAUUACUAAGAAUUGAUGUAAUAUAUGCAUUCACCUUGUUUUUUUUUUUUCUUGUGCACUCACUGCUCAUUUUGCAUUUGAAGUUUGUUUGCUGAGUGUAAGACGUCUGAGCCACUGCCACCAUUGCCUUUGUUACCACUAUUUUUGUUGCCAUCGCUCACGCUCCCUUUGUUGUCACUACCAUCGCUUCUCGUUGUCGCCACUGUUUGUUGUGCCCUUGUUCACUGCCACCGAGAGUUGUGUUUCAUUGUCGCCAUUGUUCGCGCUAAUGUCGUCAUUCGCUGCUACCAUCAUUCAUCUAGCCACCAUUGAAAACUUCUGGUCCUGCCACGUUAAGGUAAGUUUUAAAUAUUUUUAUUAUAAUUUAUUAUUUUAUUUAGAAAUAAAAUUUUAAUUUAUAUAGAAAAUUAGUUUUAAUAUAAUAUAUUAUGUUUGGAAUAUAAUGUAUAUUUUUUUAAAAAAAAUUAAUUUGUUGUUGUUAAUUGUUAUAUGUUGAACGCUUUGAUAUUAGGUUUGGCGGUGUUCGACCCUCGACAAUGUGUACUGUGUUUUAUAAUACAUCGACUAAAAAGUGGGAGAGAUUGAUGGAUAAACCAAGUGCUUUUAUUACAUAGUAAUGGAUUGAAGUUGGAUAAGUGAUUCUACACUUUUCUCAAUGAAAUGUAGAAGCUAUAAAUGGAAGAUAUUAUUAUCCAUGUGUUAAUUGUUUGAAUGGGAGACUAUAAGAAAUUAAGUUGAUACGAGAACAUGUUGUGAUGGUUUCUUGAAGAGUUAUAUAACGUGGAUAUGACAUAGUGAAUUUGUAGACAUAACACCUCUAUUUAAAUUUCAAUAUUCUAAUAUACACUUUGAAGAUUGCAUGGAGGACAUGAUUCAUGAUAUUUGAGAAGAUAGUUUCCGACAAGCACAUAUGUGUGAUUCAUUGAAAGAUGAUUCAAAACCAUCUCUAUAUCUUGGUUGUUCAAGUUUCACAUGUUUGUCUUAUUAAAAUUAAUUAAUAUUAAGGCAAAAAAUAGGAAGAUCGAUAAAAGCUUCACUAAAUUAUUGGAGUUGUUGCAUGAAAUGCUUCCAAAAGGUAAUACAUUGUCGACCCUUCAUAUGAGGUGAAGAAGAUAUUGGGUCUGAUGGGUACGGAGUACUAGAAAAUACAUGCAUGUCCUAAUGAUUGUAUUUUGUAUAGAAAAAAAGGUUUGAAUCAUUGUAUAGGUGUCCAAGAUGCAGGAUAUCAUGAUACAAAGUGAAAAAUGAUGACAGUGAGGAAGAUGAUGUGAAAAAGGGUCCUCCUAAGAAAGUAUUAUGAUAUCUUCCAAUCAUACCGCGAUUUAAACGUUUGUUUCCCAAUAUUAAUGAUGCAAAAAAUGUCACAUGGCAUGCAAAUGGAAAAAAAAUGUUAGGUUGUUACGACAUGUUGUCGAUUCACCACAAUGUUAAUAAAAUCAAGAGUAGAAUGGAAAUAUGUAAAAUGAGAUUUUUGUUGUUGGCGGGUAGAGUAUGCUUACUAAAGUCUAUCAUUUCCUCUUGACCCCAAUACUACAUAUCUUUUUAUAAAAUUCCAGCUAUUAUAAGACAUCAAAUUAGAACUAUCCAGAGGAAUUUUUUAUAGAGGAGGUGAAACAAAGGAAGAAAUAUAUCAUGGUUAAAAUGGGUGGACAUAUGUAAACCAAAGGAAGAGGGAGGCUUGGAACUUAAAGAUGUCAAAUUGUUUAAUGUAACAUUGUUGUCUAAGUGAAAAUGGAGGUUAGGGUAACCACAAAGGACUGUGGAAGAAUAUUUUAGAAUUUAAGUAUGGCUUUUGAGGAACUUGAAUGUUAAUGGAAACGUCACUUACGAGUUAUGGCGGUGGAGGGACCUAAGAGGGGUUUGUGGGAAGGCAUAAAAGGGGAAUGGUUUGUGAUAAAUGCUAGAUUUCAGUAAUACUUUAUAUUAAAAUACAUGCACUUGUGGAUAUUAAUUGAUAAAAUAACCACAAUAUAACCCCUAAUUCAUGAACUAAAACCUUUUUACAUAUUUUCUAAUUAUAAUUUGAAUAAGAACGAUUUAUUCCCAAAUUUGUGUUAAUUUCAGGAUUUUAGGAAAGAAUGAAGAUGAAAGGGUAAAAGGAUAAUAUACAAAGCUAAAAAGGGAAAGUUGGAAUGCACCAACACUUACCCUAGAGGAGACAGCUGUCAAGGAGAAACAUCCUGAAUCUUCUUUUCAUGCUUUCCAUGCUUGUAAUAGCCAACAUGAGUGGCUAAUUCUACCAUUUGGGAAUGAGAGUAAUCUGUUCAAACUCUUAUGUAUUGAGGUGAUAUUUAAAUAUAAUAUUUUUUCUUGAUUGAUGAUUGCUAUUGUCAUUUUAUUUGUAAUGCUUGUUUACCAUUAUCAAGAUCCUUAGAUUUAACUGGAAAGUACUUCUAAGUUUCUAACCUAAAUGAUAAUGUUAGGAAUAGAUUUGAAAUGUUAAUUGCUAUCAACAUCUAAUCGUAAUGAUAAGAAGUUUUUAUAAAUAUGCGAGAAAUCAAUAUUUAGGAGACUUUCUUAAUAAUUUUAUGUGAGUAAUCGAUAUAAAUUACUUUUAUAUGGACAUCAACAUCAAUCAAAAGAUAAAAUAUUACUAUGCUAAUCAAAAUACAAAAGAGUAAGAAAGACGAACCUCAAUCCCAAUAUUCCCAAUUGAACUAACAAUCUCUUUGACUUCUUUCUUUUUAAUUAUUGCAAUCACAACAAACUCCCAAAAAACUUUAUUAUUUUGUUUUCUAUUUAGUGAAUCUUAUACUUGAUUAUUCAAUGUUCCUUGUGGGUUUGAUAUCCUUCCUUAAGGAUCCUCAUGAUAUCCUUCCUUAAGGAUCCUCAUGAUAUCCUUCCUUAAGGAUCCUCAUGAUAUUCUUCCUUAGCAAUUACAACAUGGUGUACUUUUCGUAAAAUAGUCAUGAAGUUUUUGGCACCAUUAUUGGAAAACAAUUGAUUUUUUAGUAUAAAUUCCUAAAUAUUAUGAAUAUUUUAAUUGCUUUUAACUUUUGUUUUAUUUCAUUUUAAUUGCAGAUUUGUGUUAUUUUAUUUCAGAUUUAUUUUAUUUUACUUUAUUUGUUUUCAAUUUUAAAUUUUUUUAAAAAAAUUACUGUUAGUGAAUCCUUGUGUUAACCCUUGAUUUAGUUGUCUUAUAUGAUAUUAAAAGGUCAAAUUCCCAAAGACCAAAUAUUAUUUGAAUCAAAGAUUGAAAAGGCAGCUAAAAGAAACAAAAAGACAAAGACAAAAGAAAGACAAGGAGACGCUAGAGAGGAAUCCUCAACCACUUCUUCCCUUCCCAUUAAUAUUUUUCAGGAGGAGAAUAAUAUGGCAUAAGAGCAGACACCACCUCCUAGGAGAACCCUUGGAGAUUAUGCCAUGGAGCAAGGGCCAAGGCAUUUUUCUAGUAUUGCAAUACCUGCUACCUCUAGGGUCUUGGAGAUGAAACCCGUUUUCCUUAGUCUUAUCAGUACCCAUCCGUUUACAACAAUGGAUCAUGAGGAUCCAUAUACACAUUUGUCUACAUUUUAUGAACUGGUGGGAAAAAUGGGCUUCCAAUCAGGUGAUCUAGAAAAUGUUUAUAUGCGUUUAUUUUCUUUUUCAUUAGCAGAAAAGGCAAAAUAAUGGCUCAAAUCACAUCCAAAUCAAAGUCUCAAUAGUUGGGAGGAUGUAGAGGAAAAAUUUCUACAAAUGUUUUUUCCAUUAUCUUGCUACAUCAAAGCAAAGUCUGAAAUAUCUAUGUUCAGACAAGGAGCAGAUAAAGCAUUUUGUGAGACAUGGGAAAGAUUUAAAAUGACGCUGAGAAAAUGUCCAAAUAAUGGGUUUGAAGACAUUGCUCAAUUGAGCAUUUUUCACAAUGGUCUCAUAUAUGAUAACAAGAUGCUUCUAAAUGUUGUAGUUGGUGGUACAAUGAUGGCAAUUGAUGCAAAAGAAGCAACAAAGAUUAUUGAGGCAAUGACAUCCACAAAUUAUCAAGCCCAAAAUGAUAGUAAAAAUGAGCCAAAGAAGGGGAUGAUGGAUCAUAAUUCUUCAAACACAUUUUUGGCUGAAAACUAAAUUCAAACACAAUAGUUGGAAGCAUUAACUGCACAAAUGGCUAAAUUGCCACAACAAUUACAAGUUGUGCAAGCUUAUUAGAGUCAGAGUCAAUCAAUAAAGUGUGAUUUUUGUAGAGGUGAUCAUUCCAAUGGGCAUUGUACUUAUCAGAAUAAUUCAUCUGAAGAAGAAGCUCAUUAUAUGGAAAUAAAGGAGGUAAGGUGGGUUCUCCAACAAAAAUACUCAAGGUUGGAGAAGCAAGCAAAAUCAAAGUUUUAAGCAACAACAACAACCAUUAUAUCCUUCAUCCCAAGAGAGAGAAAAGCAAACUGGAGGAUACCUUGGAGAAACUGCCCAAUAAAGGAGCUUUGACAUUGUUGUUCAAAGUUUGAAGACACAAAUGGGACAAAUUGCACAACAGUUGAAGAAAUCCAAGGAGCAAUGUAAGUCAGUCACUACUAGAAGUGGAAUAGUUAUAGGAAAGGGGAUUGGUGAUAAUUUGAUUGUUGAAAUAAAGGAAAUAAUGGAAUUAGUGGCUCGUUUUUAUGUUGGAUGUUCAAACUUGUUGUAGGAUCACACCUCUCAAGUUGUUUUGCUAAGGGGAUAAAGGGAUUUUUAGGGCUAAAUAUGUUUACAGAGAGAGGAUCUCUUGGUUCAAUAUUGUAAAGAAUUCCCGCUACAUCAAAUAUUGGAGACAAGAUUUGUUGAUCCAUUGUAAGGAAUUUUUGUUACCUCAAACUUUGGAGACAACAUUUGGGUUGAUUGAUUAUUUGUAUAAAUAUAUAAGGACAAACUAGCUAACAUAAGGAAUAGUCAUAUGUUAUUUAUUUGUAUAUAAGGUUGAAGCAUUCCUAUGUACUCAUUCUUUGUAUAUAGAUUUUCUUUAUUGAUAAAAAAGUACUGAAUUGUACUUAUUCUUUUUAAAAUACCACUAGCAUACUAUAAAAUAAAAUUUUUUUAAAAGUAAAUGAUACUUAAAUAUUUCAUCUAAUAGAAAAAACUAUUAUUAUCUCUAAAAAAAGACUUUAAAAAAAAUAUCCAUAGCUAAUUUCUUUUAUAAAAUUUAUAAGAAAUAACUUCUCCAAAUAUUUUGUUUUUAAAUUUUGUAAAGUUUCACAAAAUAUUUAUAGAACAAGUUGCACAACAUAUAAAAAUAAUAAUAAAUUUAUAAAAAAACAACAUUUAAGUAUUUUAUCUUUAUAUAUAAAUAUCAAAUAAAAAUAAUUACUUAUAAUGUAUAUUAAUUCAUUAGAAAAAAAGUAAACCCCCAUAUUAGCAUAUACAUCUAUUCUAACAUUAUCAUAACACCUUCACUACAUGAAAAAAUGGUUUUAACGGGAGUUUAUUUUUACAUUAUUAAAGGUUAAAACCUCUCUUAAGUCAUUUACUCAGGGCAGUUUCUCCUGCUAAAUCAUCUUUGAGAAAUGUGUUUCCUGGGGUUUUUUUAAACAUUUGGAAAAAUCUUUCAAAAUCCCCGUUAAAUAUCAUGGGCUUAAGAACCUCCGUAAAAUUUCAUAACCUCCGUAAAAUACUAUGCGUUUUAGGACCUCCGUAAAAUACCACGAGUUUCAAAACCUCUGUAAAAUAUCAUAGGUUUUAGAACCGCUGCAAAAUACCAUAGUUUUCAAAACCUCCAUAAAUUUUAGAACCUCUGUAAAAUAACAUAGGCUUCAGAAUCUCCGUAAAAUAUCAUUUGUUUUAAAAUCUCUGUAAAAUAUCAUAGGUUUCAGAAUCUUCAUAAAAUACCAUAGGUUUCAGAACUCCGUAAAAUACCAUAGACUUCAGAACCUUCGUAAAAUACCAUAGGUUUCAGAACCUUCGUAAAAUAUCAUAUUUAGAUGUUGUUCUCUAAUUAAAUUAAAAAUUUAUUUUUAAAAAAAUAUAUUUAAAAAAAUGCAAAUUAAAAAAAAUAAAAAAUGUAAAAAAGAACUAAAUGAAAAAAAAAAUACUUCUUAAAAUGAAAGAUAAGUGAAAGAGGAGCAAGUCCAAUAUAGAAAGAUUCAAGCCUAGAAAGCGGGUAGGGAUAGAAAUGAUAUGGAAAUAGGUGAUGUUUACAAGGAAAAAGAAGAAGCAAAAAGCACCUAUGAUUGAAUCAAAUUUUCAAAUCUUCAAUGUUUAUCAUGCAUUGCAGCAGUAACUCACCUCCCAUCCUGGUUGAGGGCUAAGAAUUGGUGUUGCCAUGAAACUUGCCUUACCCUUUAUAUAAGUUUCUCUCCAUAUUAGCAAAAAGAUUAUAAAAGAAAGAAAAACAAGCAAUCAGAAUUGACAUGCCAAUAUGUUUCUUAAAUAGCAAAAGAUAUAAACUUUUUCAUCCAAACCUGACUUUUAAGAAAAACUAGUGCAACUGUAUUCCUUAAAAAAAAAUAUGAAAAUGGAUAAAUAGAUUUUGAAUAGACAACUGUACCUAAAUGAUUAUUUUAUUUUUUAUGAAAAAAAUUGUCACUACAUCUUUGAUGGUUUCGAAGUCCUAGUUUGUUAAACGAUUUCAGUUUUUAGGACUUUACUUUUUUUUAAGUAAAGUUUCCAUGUAAGUGAGUUUUCUUUUAUGAUUUAUUAAUUUAGGUUUUUCAAUUUAAAUUUUAUAAUAAUAAAGUUGUGUCUUGUUAUAUUUUAAAAAAUAAUAUUUAAGUGCUUAUAUUUUAAAGAUAUAGUUAAGUUUGUUUUAGAUGAUAUAGUCUUUCAAUAAAAAAAUUUCAAUUAGGUAAAAUUGGGUUUCAUUCAUUGAAAAAUGAAAUAAAAGUUGAAAUUAAUUAUGAUAAAUUUGUAGAAAUUUUUAUUUAAUAUAGACAAACUAAUUUUUAAAACGAAAGGAUAUAUUGUUCUAAGAAUCCAUUUUCUAGUUUGUCUUGUGAACUUUUUUUGUAGUUCUUAUAUUUGAUAGUUUCCUGAAAGGCUGAAGCAAAUGUUGAAAUCUCUCUUUCCCUAUUAUCACCAUAUCCAUAAUAGUAAUUGGCAUUGUAUGUAUGCAUGACUCAACAUUUAUCUAUUGGGGGAAGAUAUCACACAUGAUGAUGAUGGGUAUAUGUGAAUUGACAUUGGAAUGAAAAUGAAAGAUGAAGGGUCACCUGUGUGGACCAUGUUGUGUGUGGCUUUGGUUUGGAUAGAAGCUUAAAAUUGAGACACAUGAUGUGGGGUAAGUACCUAGAUAAGGACCAUAUGUCUUAAGAGAGAAAAUAGAUGAACAAUUAUAAAUCUUUUGGGAAUUUGGCUUUACCUACAUUUCAAGUACUUUGUUUCCAUUACUUGGACUCAAAGUUAUUCUUUCACGCUCUUUAGUAAAUAAGGUACACUUAAGUGGAACAAAUUAAUAGAAAAUGAUAUGUUAAAAAAUAAACUUUAAUGCAUGUAUAGUAUAAAAUAUUCUUAUAUUUAGUCAAUGUGGGAUAUUCAACAUUUUACAUAACAACCUGAUAGUGAGUGACCUGAUAAGUCCAACAAACUCUUACUAGGAUGACUUUAAUACCAAAUUAAAAGUAACUUUAAGUCUAACUUAACUUUACAAAACUGGUUAAUAAGUAAGCAUUCAAUUAUAUAUUAUAAAAUUCUAUUAUCUCUAGUCAAUUUCAUAUCUCCAUCAAAUAUUCAAUUCAAAGACUAUAUAUGAAUUGUUUGCAUCAACUUAGGUUUCUCUAGUAAAUUGCCAAGUUUUGUUCCCGAGAAAGCUGGCCAACAACGUUGGUUUGGUCGGUUUAAACCUUAAACCUUUUCGGGGUAAGGUUCUUGCCUCCUUGGUAUGAAGGGAUAUUUAGCUUGCCUCUUCGGUGGAUUUGAGGUCAGAGGAUAUUAGUCAUUUCAUCUCCGAAAGUGCUGUUAGAAAUUGUAAUAUGAUGUUUUGGAUGAAAAAUGAUGUGUCUGAAGCUCGAAAAUUUAGAAUUGUGGGAAGGAGAUGGGAUUUUUGUUUAAUGGUGAGGAGGAUGUAGUUUUUUGUUCUUUACAAGCCUUGGAAGCUCUGGAUUCUAACAGAAGGAAGAAGGCCAACGUUUUUGAUGAUGAAAAUAAUUAGUCUGAAUAUUAGGGGGCUAGGAGGAAGCGUUAAAAGAAGAUAUCUAAGAGAGUUAAUAAGCUUGGAACAAGUAGGCGUGGUUUGUCUACAAGAAACAACGUCUUUUGAGUUUGGUGAGGGGAAUUGUUUUCUAUUGUGGGGCUCUAACGACAUCGGUUAGGUUGAGAAUGGAGCGAGUAGUAACGCUGGUGGGAUUAUUACAAUAUGGAGAAAUAGUUGUUUUCAUUUGUUGAGGUACUCUAACGGGAACAAUUUUCUGUUAUUGAAGGGGUCUGGAAGGUUGGUGGUGGUGUACAGGUUACAAUUGUGAAUGUCUAUUGCUUGGGGUCGUUGAGGGAUAAGAAGAUAAUUUGGGAUGAGAUUUGUGAAGUAAGGACAAAUCAUUCGAAUAGGGUUUGGUGUGUAGUUGGGGACUUCAAUGCUAUAAGGAGGAAGGAGGAAAGAAAAAGUUUUGUUUUUGUGUCAUACUACAACAGAGAAAUUAAUGAGUUUAAUAAUUUUAUUGAAAGGUCAGAACUGUUGGAUAUCCCGAUGGUUGGCAGGAAAUUUACUUGGUAUAAACCAAAUGGAUUCGUGAAGAGCAGAAUCGAUAGGGUCUUGGUUUCCAAGGAUUGGUUGGAAACUUAGUGAAAUAGUAAAUAGUUUGUCUCUAGUAGAUCGGUGUCAUAUCAUUGAGCCCUAGUACUUAAAGACGUGUGUUCAGAUUGGGUUUCGAACCCGUUAAGAAGUCUGGACAUUUGGCAGAAGGAUGGCAGGUUCAUUGAUUUUGUGCGAGACAAAUGGACUAACUAUAUGACAUGUUUGGAAAAUGGUUGUUCAUUUUAAGGAAAAAUUGAAAAGAUUAAAGUAGGAUUUAAAAGUCUAGAAUAGAGAUAUCUUUGAGAAUGUAAAUAGCCUUGGGGAGGAUUUAAAAAAGAAGAUUCAAAUUUUGGACGAAAGGCGUUCUUAAUGAGGCAGAAGGAGAGGAAAUGAGGUUAUUGUUGGCAGAACAAAGCAAGAAUCUUUCAAGCAAGAAGCGAUCUAUUUUCUGAAAGCUCGUCACAAGUGACUCCAACAAGGUGACCUAAAUUCUAAAUACUUCCAAUCGGUCGUUACAUGGAGAAGGGUAAGAAAUAACUCUAAUGACAUGUUCAAUAACGGUUGUUGGUGUGACGACAAGGACGUGGUUAAGGAUAGAGUCAGAGAUUUUUUUAAGAAUAGACUCGAAGGAGUUAUUGGGCCUCAGGUUAGAUUGGACAACGUAUUUUUUAACUCUAUUUCUGAUUUAGAUUAUGAGACGUUGGUUGGUUCUUUCUCUAAAGAGGAAGUUAAGAAUGCAGUUAGUUGUUGUGACAGUUCGAAGAGUUCUGAUCCAGAUGGUUUUAAUUUUAGCUUCAUUAAACAUAACUGGGAUAUGAUAAAAAAGGACAUUCUCUUGGCAGUGAAGGAUUUUGUUGUCUCUGGUUCUUGGCCUAUGGAGUCUAAUGCUUCCUUUAUUUACUUGGUCCCCAAGUCGGAAAACCCACAAUUGUUAGGUGAUUUCAAACCCUUUUCUCUGGUCAGGUGCUUGUACAAGAUUAUCUCUAAAUUGCUUUCUCUUAGGUUGAAAAAGGUAUUACGAAAGGUCACUGAUUCCAGACAAUCGACUUUUCUUGAAGGAAGGGGUUUAAUGGAUAGUGUUCUUGUCGCCAAUGAGAUACUUGAGGAGAAUAAGAAGACCAAGAAGAGUUUCAUUUUUUUCAAGGAGGACUACGAGAAGGCCUAUGACUCUGAGAAGUGGGAUUUUAUGUACUACAUGUUAGGAAGGCUUGGUUUUUGCGACAAGUUGAUUUUAUGAAUUAAAUCUUGCCUUAAGUCUGCUUCGUUUUUUGUUCUUGUUAACGGAAGCCCGACUAAGGAAUUUUCUCCGAUUAAGGGGUUGAGACAAUGUAACCCCCUCGCUCCAUUUUUAUUUCUUAUUGUGGUUGAAGGUUUGGCAUGGGUCUCUAGGAAUGCUGAUGAGCUUGAUGCGGUAGAAAGUAUGGAGAUCGGGAGUAAGAAGGUUAAAGUUAAUAUGCUUCAAUAUGCAGACGAUACUCAGUUUUUCUGUCAUGAGAAUUCUAAAAGUAUUUUCAACAUUAAGGCAAUGUUAAAUUGUUUUAAGCUGGCCUCAAGUUUGAAGGUGAAUUUUUUGAAAAGCAGUAUUUGUGGGUUGAUUCGUUCACUAUCCGAGGUUUGGCGGCUAUCCUUAACUAUGAUGUUAUGAAAGUCCUUUUCAAAUAUCUAGGGUUGCCUAUUGGGGGGUGUCACAAGAGGGAAGUGUUUUGGGAUUGAAUGGUGGAUAAAAUCAAGUCCAGAUUGAGAAGAUGGAAAGGUAGAAAUUUAUCUAUGGCAAGGAUUUGCCUCAUCAAGUCAGUUCUUUCAUCUAUUCCAUUGUUCUAUAUGUCAAUGUUUUUUUAUGCUUAUAGUUUUGAUGAAAUAGAUUGUGAGUAUUCAGAGGAACUUCCUCUGGGUGGAGUUCUAAAGGGAGAAAGAUCGUUUGAGUUUCUUAGGAAAAGGUUUGUGAGUCUCGAGAUGGUGGCGGGCUUGGAGUAGAUAAUAUUAAGGAUUUUAACUUGGCUUUGUUGGGUAAAUGAAUUUGGAGGUUGGGGUUUAAUGGGGGGUGUUUGUGGAAGGAGGUUUUAAAGUCGAAAUAUGGAGGCUGGAGAAAGCUGAAGGAGAACAUGUUUAUCUAUAAUGCUUCCCUUUGGUGGAAAGAUUUGGAAGUUGAAGAACUGGGGUAAUAACUUCGAUGACUGCUUUAAAUGGGAAGUUGAUAAUGGGAAGAUUAUCAAGUUCUGGGAGGACCAGAGGGUAGGUAAUGAUAUCUUGAAGAAUAAGUUUCCAAGGCAUUUUUUCUCUUUGUGUUGAGAAACAUGUGUCGUUGGACAUUGUGGGUCUUGGGCAAACCGUGUCUAGGAGUGGUCUUUGGCGUAGAGAAGAAGUCUUUUUGAUUGGGAGAAGGACUAACUUAGUCAACUCCUCGAGGUAGUGCACGACUUGUGUCCUGUCUUGGAUAAAGUUGAUAGGUGGGUCUAGAAAGACGUUAAGUUUCAUGAGUUUUCAAUUAAUUCGACGUACAUGAUUCUUAGAGGUGGGUCUGAGGGGAUCUGGUCGAGGAUGUUUAAUUGCUUUUGGAGGAUUAAGGCUUGGCCUUUUGCUCAUGUUACCGCUUGGAGGGUGAUAAAAAAUAAGAUUGUCGUUAAGGUUAAUUUACUUAGACGUGAGAUUACGGUCGGAAGCGCUCCCUGUUGUUUUUGCAAGGUAAAAGGGGAAGAGUUAAAUCAUUUGGAUUGUGGUGGUUAGUGAGAUUUGGAGUCAUAUGAACAAGAUUUUAUUCAAAGGUGGAGUGUUGGACUACUCUGAGAUCUUUUCAUUGGCUCAAUUGAAAGUUUAGUCUUGGAUUACUUCUAAAUUGUCCUCUACUUGUUUCUCUUAUUCUGAUUGGUGUCUUGUUCAUCUGGUUUGUCUUCUUUCGCUUUAGCUUGUUUGCCGUUGUGGUUUUUGGCAUGGUUAGUUAUGAGUAGUCGGUUGGAAGAUAUUGUGUUGUAAGGUCGUCUCAUGUUUUUUGUAUAUGAGUUGGAUUACCCUGAAGUGAUUCUUAUGUAUAUAUUGUUUCUUGUUGAUAAAAAAAAAACUUUACUCUUUGUAUAUCCCUACUCAUAUUUUAGAACAAUUAAUAAAACACGCAUUAGGGGCUUGCUACAAAUUAAUGCAUGUUAAGAAAAGUAUGACCAAAAUUAUGUCUAAAAAUGUUACUAAGGAUUUUUUUUAAAACUGUAUUAACAAAAUAUCACUAAAAUACGCAUACAACCCUCUUAUAAUAACACUUGUUUUUUUGGUUGACAAAGUUUUAAGUAGUCCUUUUAUAAAUGCAGAGUAGAAUGAGACAGAAAUAAAUGGAUGGAUUCUAUUUUAUUUGUAUAUUAUUAAAAGACAUUAAAUAAAAAAGUGAUAUAUUUUAUUUUUUGUAAGAAAAGAGCCAAGAAACAAAGGAAAAUAUUCCCUUAGGUUUUCACUCGUCAAACCUUGCCUCAAACUCUAGUCAAAUGACAAUAACUUGAUAGAACAUGAAUUAGAAGAUGAUUAUUACCCUUCAGCUGACUCUUUAUAAUUCUUUUUCCCAGGUAUAUUUAUACAGUUUUAAUCUCUUAAAUGAGUCUGUUAAACUAAAUUAAUAUAUUUAUCAGUUUUUAUUAAUAAUAUUAAUUUUUCAUCCCAGGGAUUUUAACCUGCACUUCAUAAAUUUAAUUAUUCUAAAAAUAUUAUGAGUUUUAAUUUUGCAUUGUAAAAUUGAUUUUUUUUUCCAAAAUUAUAUAAUCUAAAAUGUCAAAUAUAUUUGUUGUAAGUUCUGAAAUACAAAUUUGUAUUUCAAGAUUGUAUAAAGUAAAAUACUAUAAUUAUCUGUCACAGUUUCCGUCUACUUCAUAUCAUUAACUACACAGGGAUGCAUACAUGUUAUCUCAUUUUAAUACUGUACAAGAGUGCAGAUUGAGAUCAGAGUAUGUGUGAAUGCAGAUUGAAAUCAUAGGAGUGCAGGUUGGAAUCAUAGAGGUGCAUGAAGAUAUCAGCAUAAGCCUUAUGUUACCUUGGUCUAAGCCCAUAAAAGUCCAUAGCUGAUUAUUGCAAUUAGGCACUAUCUUCCUGCACCUCCCUAAAUCUUUCAAUUUCAAAAUUACCCUUCGACAAAAGGUGCAGGAUUUUUUAUUUUUUUUUCAUCUUCAAAUUGUAUAAUCCGUAGAACUUCUGAAUUUUAAAAUUUGAAAUAUUCUAUUCUAAAUUUUAGAGUUCGAAAUAUAUUUUUAAACUCUAAGAAAUAUGUUUUAAAGAAUUCGAAAUACAAAAUUGUAUUUUAAAUUAUAUAAUUUAGAAGAUAUUUUGAACCCAGAAAAUAUAUUAUAUUUUUAAAAAUUCAUAAUACAAUUUUGUUUUCCAAUUUUACAGUUUGAAAUGUAUUUUCUGGAUUCAAAAAUAUCUUUUAAACUCUAAUAUUCAAAAUAUAAAAUUGUAUUUGAAAUUCUAGAGUUCAAAAGAUAUUUUCAAACCUAUAAAAUAAAUUUCAAAUUCUAAAAUUUACUAAAAUUUAUUCAAAAUAUAAUUCUAUAUUCCAGGUAUUUUAGAGUUCGGAGUUUUAAAAUCCAAAAAGAGGAAAGACGGGUGUCAAUUAAAAAGAUGAAAAAAGGAGGUAGAAGAAGAAAUUGCCUUUUGGAGUUAACAAAGAAACAAAUCCAUUAGAGAUGGAAAGGUAAACUAGGCCCACAUCAAUAUGGGCCCAAUUAAGUAUAUAUUGAGUAAGUAUUUAAAAACUUGAUUUUAUUUUUCUUUACUUUUACAAACCUAAUUUUAUUGAAAUUAAGUUGAUAACGAAAUAAAUUAUAUUUAAAAUAUCUCUUCUAAAAAUAAGUUUGUAAUAAAACAUAACAUAUAAUUCUCAUUAUGACGUAAAUCUUACUUUUGUUUUUAACUUUUAACCAAAAGCAAUUUAAAAAAAAAAAACUUAAUUCUACAAACUUCAAUCAUACAUACUUAAUUCUUUCAGUAAUUUUGUGUUUUAAAUUGAUUAUUACAUUAAAUAUUGAAUUAAUGCACUUUUUUAUGGUUAAAUUAUAUAAUAACUCCUUACAAUUUUAUUAAGAUUUUAAAAAAGCCUGUAUAAUUUUAAAAUUUUACUACAUUUUAAUUGCUUAAAUAUAAUGAAUGAUUAUAUUUAACAAUUAAUUUUUUGAUUAAGUUAUAAAUACCUAUUCAAAAGUUCGUGCCACAAAAAGACAUAUUUAAAAACCAACACAAAAUAUAAUUAUUCAUUUAAUAGGUAUCACACUAGAGCUUGUUCUCAUAUUAAAUUUUAGUUUUUAAAUAAAUUACCAGAGUUUAGUAAAAUUCAAUAAUCUCUAUUCAUAAAUUGAGUUUUAUUUACAAACAACAUAAGAAUUUCUUUUGUAAAUUUUUAAAUCAUAGUAAUUACUUAAAGUUUGGAAUAGCUACAUAACAUAAUUUAACCUAAUAUAUAAAAUAAUUGUAUAUAUAACUUUAAAAAUUGUGAAUCAUUAUUUAAUAUAAAAUAAUAAUGUUUUGAUAAUGUACAUAUAUAAGAAGAAAUAAUUUAGUCCAAUAAGAGUAACAUUUAGUAAAGUUAUUUCUUUCAAUCCCGUAUUAACAACAAAUCUUUUGGAAGUGUUUUUUUUUACCUUUUCUUUACUAAAAUUUGUUGAAAUUUAAAUUAUUCAUUUUAAUAAUAAAUACACAUAAUAUUCUAGAACAAUUGCUUUGUUUACAGCAAAAUAUUUAAUAAAUUAUAAAUUAAUGGGAAAAAGUCCUAACAUAGUUAUUUUUAUAUUUUAAACAUAUGCCUAUUUUUUCAUGUUCACACAAACUCAUGCAACAUCUAAUGUGUACUCUUUACUACAAUUCUUGUUUUUAUGCAUUAACAACAAACACUACAAAUAAAAAAUAAUGGUGAAAAUGUUAAUUUAUUAGGCUUGUUUUAAUAUUUGAAAAGUCAAUCUAUGUUCGUAACUUAUAUAUAUAUAAUGUAGUAUAUGUUUUUAUAAUAACUAUUUACAAAAUUGAUAUCUUCUUUUCUUUUAUAACUUUUUCCUCUAUUUCAACAGUAGUCUUUAAUAUUAUAAAUUUAUAAUAAAAUAAUUUUUAUUUAAUGUCAAAUCAAUUUUUAAAAUUAUAUUUUAAUGAAAAAACAAUGUAAUGAAACUUAACAAGGGUAAGUAAUUUUAAGAUAUUGUACAAACUAAAAUAAAUAUUUCUUCUUUUAAAAACUAAAUAGAUAAUAUUUUACAUAUUUAAGGAUUAAAUUGAAACUUUACUAAAAUAAAAAAUCCAAGUAAUAUUAUUGCAAGACCCGUAUGAAAACUCAAAGGAAUUACACAACCUUAGCAGUUCUUUAUACUAUAGUAACACUAGUUUCAGAACUUUCAUAGAAUAGCCCAAAAUUGCAAUGUAUUUCUGGUAUAGCAUAAUUGUCCCAGACACAACUUACACAUCUUCAUAAAAAUCACACUGUUCGUACCAAAAGUAAAGUAACCACAAAAGCUCUAUUAACUUCAUUGUUGUUUUUUUUAAAUAUCAUCGACCAUUUCAUUCAAAAUACUUGAAGAGAUUUUAGAUCUGUUCUUGAUUCAAAAUCAGAAUUUCUAAUUAGUACCAACAUUUAAUUUCAACCUUUAUUGCACAUGAUACUAAAAUGAAAUUCUAAUUUUGAUUAUAGAACAGUAUUAAAAACACUUAAAAGUAAUGUACCUAAAUUUUGUCCACUCUUAGAAGAAAGAAAAACCCAUGACCAUAUCUUGUUCUUGUGAAAAGUAACUGUCGUGCUUCCAAUUCUCGUACCAUGCUUCUCCAACCAUUGAAUCAUCAAGCCUCCAAGUCUCAUCUUCAAAAGUACGUUCUGGUAUUUCAACACAAGCAUACCCGUUGAAACGACAAUCAUCCUCGUACGACAUUAACAAGUCACUGAUAUCAAAGUCUUGAAAAACACCUGUUAAACAGUGGUUAUGGUGAUCUUGUGACAUGGAUGCAGAAGGGUUAUUAUGGUCCCUGGUCGUUGUGAUCAAAUUCAUUGUGCUGACUGAAUCAUUGCCUGGCAUCAUAACCUUGGUACACCUCAUUGAUUUUGGUGUAAUCAUCAUUGGGUGAGGGGGUUUUGUAGGAUCAAGAACAUCAUCCAAGAAAUUUUUGGAGCUUAAGUUGAUAGGAAUGUUGCUGUCAUGGCCAACAACAUGGUUUUGAUUGUACUUCUGCUCUACCUUCUUUCUCAAAUAAGUGUUCCAGUAGUUCUUAAUUUCAUUGUCUGUUCUCCCUGGUAAUCGUCCCGCAAUUAGAGACCAUCUAUUCACCAUAACAAUAUGAUAAAAUAUUAAUACAUUGACAAAAAAAAAUGGAGUAAAUGCAUGUAAAAUAUAAACAGAUGUACCUAUUCCCUAAGAGUUUGUGUAAUCUGAUAAUGAGAUCUUCUUCAUCAGAAGAAAUGUUUCCUCUCUUUAUAUCUGGGUUUAGAUAAUUCAGCCAUCGAAGUCUGCAACUCUUGCCACAUCUUUUCAAGCCUACAUAAAUACAAAUGAUCAAAUUUUGAAAGUAGAAUACUUUUGAAACUCUAUAUAUUUCUGCAUUGCAUAUAUAUACCUGCUCUUUUGGAAAGCUCUCUCCAUUUACCUUCUCCAUGGACUUGAACGUAGUUCAUAAGAAUUUUGUCUUCUUCAGCAGACCAAGGACCUCUGUUCAUAGCAUAUUCAUUCUCACAGUUGGCCUUUCUUUCCAUCUUCUCUCUUUCUCUCACUCACCCUCUUUCGCUCUAUUAUUGGAUUCUGAAAGGUGUUGUUAAUGCCCCUUAAAUACUUGCUCACUUUUCUUUUAAUUAUUUAAAUAAAUGCCAUGUAUAUGUGGUAGAUGAAUCAACCAAAUGAGGAUCACGACUAUAACAGUUCUUUUACCUCAUUUUUUCCAUUCAAAUGGGACCCCUAGUGGACUACGUAUAGUGCUCCUUAAAGGAGAAAAAAGUAUUUUGAAAAGUGAUUUAGAAUAAUGUAGCAAACAUAAAAAUUUCUAGUAUUAUAUAUCAAAUUAAGUUUACACUUUGUAACAUUUAUAUAAUUAUGAAGAGAACUUAAAGUAUGUUCUGAUAAUAUAAUAAGUGUUGGAGUGGUAGCAUUUCACUGAGAUAAAAGAGUCUGAUUAAAGAGAACAGUUAUUAUGACAAAAGGAUAUGGAGAAAAGGAUUGGGCAUCGACCCUCGAAGAUUGCAAACUAAGUGGCUGAAAUAUCAGAGCAUGUGCUCAAUUAUAUCAUAACACACACGGGUCCCUCCAAUCUCAGUUUUACUACUCCUCAAAAAUCAAUAAUAGAACUAAGAUAUUUGCUCUUCUCAAUGUUACUACAAAGAAUCAACGUAGCAUUGUGUUCUGUGUUAAUGGAAAGCAACUGAGUCUAAAGAAGAAAAUAAAGAGUGAGAAACUAGAUCGCUAGAAUGAUAGAGUCGUGUAAAGAAUAAAGAUUCCCUCUUUUUAUGAUAAAAAAGUAGAAAGGAAAGUUUGUUUUGUCAAGUAGUAUUUUUAGUUCUGUCUGCUUAUAUUAUAAAAGUUACUUUAUUCAAAUGAAAAUUUCUUAAACUUUCUUAUAAUAAAUAAAAAAAAAUAAGUAUUUUGUUUAUUUAUUUUUCAUUAUAUUCAAACAAUAAGACAAUAUUUAGUAACUCUUAUUUACUUUAUUUUUCUUUCCACAUCUAACUAACAUAAAGCUAUGGAAAAGAAGUAUAUGUAAAAUUGGCGUCAAGAAUAAUUAUUCUUAUAUAUAGCAAUCAAUAUGUAAGAUUUCCUUCCAGAAAAUAAAGGCCAACCUAAUGGUCCUCUUGGCUGUGAAAACGGCUGACUAUCUAAUUAAAAAUAAUUUUUUUACAUGUAAUAUUAACACAAUUGUGGCUCAUUCACUAUUAAAGGAUACACAUACCAGAGUUAUAGAAGGAUCCUAAUAUUAAUUGGGUGUCUUUUCUAAUUAUCAAUUUGUUUCUCUUUAUAGAGGAGAAUAAUUUAGUGUCUUUUAUAAUUAUCAGUUGUUUCUUCUCUUUAUAGAGGUGAAUACCUUUAUUUUGUCUUUGUGUGUUAUGAUUAUAGUAUUUAAUUAUUGAUUCUUUUCAUUAUUGUUAAAAUUUGUAUUGUGAAAGGCUGCAUGACUUUGAUGAUGGUUCUGAUUUUUAAAUUUGAAAUAAGGUGGAAAACCACGCUUUUUAUAGCAUGUAUCACUGGUAUGCACUGUCUUUCCACAAUAAUUGCAAAUUUUGGAAGUAUAUCUUCUUCCAUAGCUUCCUCUUCCAUAUCCACCACCCAUGCCAUAGAUUGUAGCAUUGUUAUUAUAACCUCAUUUGCUAGUAGCAAUUAUUGCCUUUGAUUGAUCACCAAAAACUUGCCUCUCUUGUUGUGUAAUGAGAGAGUAAACUCUAUUCAAGGAUGAAUUAUCUGAUAAACUAACAUGGUAAUGUGAAUAAAGAUCUUGUGAGGGAUCAACAACGUCACCCAUAGAUAAAUGUAGCAACCAGAGCUCUAAUCAUAGCUAUGAUACCAUAUUACAAAAUAGAACAGAGAUGAACAAAAGAGUAAACUGAAGACAAAAGAUAUGAGAAUGAAUAUCUCUUCUUUCUUAUUAUUCAAAUCAAAACAAAUGGUCUGAAUAUAUACAAGUAGUACACUCAUUCUAGGUUUAACUAAAGAGGAAAAGAAUCAAUAAUUAAAUACUAGAAUCAUAACACACAAGACAAAAUAAAGGUUAUUCACCUCUAUAAAAAGAAACAACUGAUAAUUAGAAAAGACACCAAAAUUAUUCUCCUCUAUAAAGAGAAACAACUGAUAAUUAGAAAAGACACCCAAUUAAUAUUAGGAUCCUUCUAUAACUCUGGUAUUGAUAUUAUCAAGAAUAAAUUUCCUUUUGUUAAAUAUAAUAAAUCUUUUGUUCGUGAUGUUUGUCAUUUUGCAAAGCAAAAAAGACUUUAUUUUCCUAUUAGUACAUUUAAAUCGAAAAAAUGUUUUGAUUUGAUUCAUGUAGAUAUUUGGGGACCAUACUCAAUACCAUCAAUUCAUGGCCAUAAAUAUUUCUUGACCAUAGUUGAUGACUAUUCGAGGUACACGUGGAUUUUUCUUUUGAAACAAAAAUAUGAAGUUGUUAAGGUUUUGGAACAUUUUGUUAUUUUUGUUCAAACACAGUUUGAGACAACAAUAAAAAUAAUAAGAAGUGAUAAUGGAACUGAGUUUGUCAUGACUAAUUUUUUUGUUAGUAAAGGAAUAAUACAUCAAACAUCAUGUGUCAAUACUCCACAACAAAAUAGUAUAGUUGAAAGGAAACAUGGUCAUUUAUUAGAUGUAGCAAGAGCUCUUAUGAUACAAUCUCAUUUACCCAAAAUUUAUUGGUCAUAUUUUGUGAUACAUGCUGCGCAUAUUAUAAACAUGCUUCCCACACCUGUUUUAAACUAUUCUUCCCCUCAUGAAAUGCUUUUCAAAACUGAUGCAGAUUUUAAUGGAUUAAAGGUGUUUGGUUCUUUAUGUUAUGCUAGCACUUUGUCAACAAAUAGAAGAGAUUGCUCGAAUCAAACAAGCCUUGAAUCAGACAUUCAAGAUUAAAGAUCUUGGGAAUUUAAGAUAUUUUCUUGGUCUAGAAGUAGCAAGAAGUAAGACAGGAAUAAUGGUAAAUCAAAGGAAAUAUGCAUUGGAAUUAUUAACAGAUGCAGGUCUUUUAGCCUGCAAACCUGCACCCACUCGUAUUGAUAAUCAUGAGAAAUUCUCUUCUACUGGAAGUGUUCCUUUCACAGAUAUUCAAGCCUACAGAAGAUUGAUUGGAAGACUUAUGUAUCUCACUAAUACCCGACCUGACAUAACAUUUUCUGUGCAACAACUUUCUCAAUUUCUUCCUAAGCCUACAAUUGCUCACUAUAAUGCAGCUAUUAGAAUUCUCAGAUAUAUCAAAGGGGCUCCAAGUCUUGGUCUAUUUUUCUCUUCCACUACCUCUGUUCAUCUUAAAGCCUUUUGUGAUAGUGAUUGGGGCACCUGUAGUGAUUCAAGACAAUCAGUGAAUGGUUUUAGUGUGUAUCUUGGGAAUUCUCUCAUAUCUUAGAAAUCAAAGAAGCAAGGAACAGUAUCAAAGAGUUCUUGUGAAGAUGAAUACAGGGCAAUGACCACUGUUACAUGUGAAAUUCAAUGGCUAACUUAUCUUCUUCAAGAUUUCAAAGUUCCUUUUGAGCAACCAUCUCUUUUAUACUGUGACAAUAACUCAGCAAGAUACAUUGCAGCAAAUCCAGUGUUUCACGAGCGUACAAAACAUAUAGAAAUAGAUUGUCAUGUGGUCCGGGAAAAAUUAAAGAAGGGUCUCAUCCAUUUGCUUCCCAUUUCCACCACAGAGCAACUAGCUGAUAUUUAUACCAAAGUUUUAAGUCCUCAAUCUUUUAAGAAUAUUUGUUCCAAACUGGGUCUCAUCAAUAUUUGCUGCUCCCCAGCUUAUGGCGGGGUAUUAAAGGAUACGGAUACCAGAGUUAUAGAAGGAUCCUAAUAUUAAUUGGGUGUCUUUUCUAAUUAUCAGUUGUUUCUCUUUAUAUAGGAGAAUAAUUUGAUGUCUUUUCUAAUUAUCAUUUGUUUCUCUUUAUAGAGGUGAAUAACCUUUAUUUUGUCUUGUGUGUUAUUAUUCUAGUAUUUAAUUAUUGAUUCUUUUCCUCUUUAGUUAAACCUAGAAUGAGUGUACUACUUGUAUAUAUUCAGACCAUUUGUUUUGAUUUGAAUAAUAAGAAAGAAGAGAUAUUCAUUCUCAUAUCCUUUGUCUUCAGUUUACUCUUUUGUUCAUCUCUGUUCUAUUUUGUAAUAUUCACUUCUCAUGAAAUCUCAAUUCACGUCAAAUAGUUUUUUUUAUAGAAAAAUUCUUAAUUUUUUUCUUGUAAAUACGAUUGCAAAAGGUUUGUUUGACGACAUUUAUUGACGACAUUUAUAGACGACAGUUUAGAACUAUUCUUCGUCUAAAAUUGUAGUCACAAUUUUUUGAUCUAAGUCAAGAUAUAAACAAUAGUUAUGAUGACAACCAUUGCCUAUAUAAAAAUAGAAUGUGUAGACAAUUAUUUUAUUAGAUAAUUGUAGUCUAUUGAUUAAAAAUAGAUAACAGUUGAGGAUGAAAUUGUGACCUAAAGUUGAAAAUUUCAUAUAGAGGACAAUUAUGAACUAAGAAUUGUCGUAUAUGGACUUAUUUACAUGUCCUCCACAACUCUUCUCCCUUUGUUCUUUCUACUUAACUGUCAUUAUUUUUUUGUUCUCUACUCUUUAUUGUCUUUGUUGCAUGUUAUCUCUACUCUCCAUUGUCUUUGUUGUGCGUUAUCUCUGCUCUCCAUUGUCUUCAUUUCUUAUGAUCUUAUCUAUCAAUUUUUUUCAUUUAGUUUUUUUUUUUCAUUUUGUGUGUUACAUGUUGUCUUUCUUGUGGUUUUUGCAUUUUAAGGGGCAGAGUUCCCUGCACCUGCCUUAUGCCUUCGCAGCUUGCUACAUCGCCUCCAAACCUCCCUACACCUCCUCCACAGCUCAUGCGCUGCCUCCAUGCUCCUGCACGUUUUCAUAUGUAAAAAUAAAACACUAGGUUAGUUAGUGUUUUAGGAUUUUUAGUGUAAUUUUUUAUUUUUAUUUUUAUCAUUAUUAUUUUUAAUGAAUUUAAUAUAUUUUAAUAUUUAUUUAGUAAUAAUAUUUAUAUGUUUUUUUUAAUAUUCCUGAAUCUUUCUCUGCUUUAGUUAAUACAAGUUAACAAAGAGGAGGAAAUAAAAUAAUCAAACUAAACUAAAAAAAUCGUCACAUAGACGACAAUUCAAAUCAAAAUUGUCAUCUAUAUCACAAUAUAGACAACAGUUAUUGACAAAAAUCACGGUCUAUAUUGUGACUUUUGUAUUGUUCAAUUUUGUCACAUGCUAGCCGAUGGUUGGAACCAAAAUUGUCGUCUAUGUGUAAUAAAUUUUUGUUUUUUUAUUUUUCAACUAUAGAGAUUAAGGAUGGCGGUUUGGAUGAAAACGUCAUCUAUAUGAGAAAAAAUAGACUCUAUUAUUUUGUGUUUGUACGUUUCUUUUUUAGUUGCACCACUCGACCUUGGAAAGGGGGAGCACCCAAAGAGUUCUCCAUUAACAAUACACUUGGAGGACAAUAACUCAAACAUAGAGUAAAGGGACCAAAAGGAGGAUUCUGAGUUAGAUGAAAAUGAGGAGGAUAUUCAAAUAUGUUAGUAAUAAUAGUAAAGCAAAAGGGGUUGCGAUUGUUAAGCAGAAAAAUAUAAAUGAUAAUUUAAAACAGUAAAGAAUGUAGUUUGACUCCCAAGUUCUUCUACCAAUGAUUUCAUACACGCACACACACGCACGCACGCCCGCACAUAUUUAGAAUCUACUCGACCUUCUAUCUUAACUAUUAUUAAAUUUAUCUGUAAUUCUAAUAAUUGUAAUAUAUCUAUGCAUAUUGAUUUCAUGUUAGAUGGUGAUCAUAGCCUUGGUCAUGCUCUUUUACUUUGUUAGUCUACUUAUAACAACCUUAAUGUUUCUACUACAACUCUAAAUACUAAUGAUAUCCACUCUUGUGAUACUACAAAUAGUCAUCACUAGAGCUAAGGCUAGUAUUUUUAAAAUAAAACUUUAUACUUUAACUAAUUCCUUUGUUCCUUGUGAGACAAUUUUUGUUAAGCAAGUACUAUCUUCCCUUGACUAGUACCAAGCCAUGCAACACAAAUAUCUUCUAUUAAAAAUCAUACAUGGACUUUUGCUCCCCUCGGCGCAACCACUACAAAAAAAUCAUGUAAAUAGUGGCGGUUAUUAAUAUCUGUCACAAAUUUCAAUAUAAUACGUCAUUUGACUAGCUGCUACAAUUAUCUUUCAAAAUAUGUCAUUUUCAAUUGUCACAAUUACCCUUCAGAAUAAAAAUAAGUUUUCCCUCCCUCAUUAUUCCCAAUUAUUUUGAAAAAGUUGGAAAUAUUAAUUAUGUGGGUUCUAGAAUUAGUAAAUAUUAUAUUAAAUUAAAAUAAUAAUAAAAUAUUUAUUUUUCUUCUUCUCUCUCAUGACUUGCCUGAGGAAAGAUGUAACUUCAGUGAAAAUCACUCACAUCUUCAAGAACUACGCCGACGAAGCAAACAACAGAGUUAGAGAGAGAUGAUUAGUGUUCAUUGCGGUUCUCAGUCCUAACAUUCCAAACCCUAAAUAAAUUUGUUGUCAUUCCCAAAUUUUGACUCGGAAUGGCUGAGAGCAAUUAUGUUGUAAUUUGGUUCAUGCAUCCAUCAAUGAGGUGUGUAAAUAUUUAAAUAUUUAUUUGUGUCUUUUAUUUUAUAAUUAUAAAAAUUAACUUAAUUUUUUUUCAGGCAUCAGAUACUGGAAGUGGUGCUCCAUCACCUAAUCAAAUAAUAGGAUCAAGUGCCGAAAGCAAAACUGAUUAGGGAUGUGUGUUUUAAUUCUAAAUUUGAUUAGGGAUGUAUGAACUUUUGAACAAUUAUGUGUUGUAAUUUUAAACUUGAUUAGGGAUGUAUGAACUUUUAUGUGUUUUAAUUUUCAAUUACAUAUAAACUUUUGAACAUUAUUAUUUUUUCUUUAAUUUUCAAUGAAAUGAAUGGAUGAUUAUAACUUUAUACAUUAUUUUAUUUUAUUAUGAAAAAAGUGGUGGUUAAAUUUUUAUUUAUUCAGAAUUAAAAUUACGUCAGUUAAAACACCACUACUUACGUAUAUUAUGGUGGCAGAAUCUUCUUUAAUGAAUGUAAAUUGCGACAGUUAUAACUGACACUACUUACUUAUAUUAUGGCGUCAGAAUCUUCUUAAAUGAAUGUAAAUUGCGACAGUUAUAAUUGACACUACUUACGUAUAAUUAUGGCGUCAGAAUCUUCUUCAAUGAAUGUGAAUUGCGACAGUUAUAACUGACACUACUCACAUAUAAAAACCAUCACUACUUACACUAUGUUUAAAGUGUUGGGUGUUGCGGCGGAUAGUGUAAAACCAUCACAUUAAACUUUGUGGCGACCAUUUCUAUGGCGGUUUGGGAAACCGCCACAAGCGUACGCGGUUAUAAACGCCAGUUUAUACGAAAAUAACCGCCACAAUAUACAUUUUUUUGUAGUGAACUGUGAUAGGUUGUAAAUGGAUUUUUUUUUUUAAAUAUUUAAUGAUGAUGGAAGCUUUCAAAGGUGCACAACCAAAUUGGUUGCCAAGGGCUUCAAUCAGAAAAAAUAUGUAAAAUUUAUAAAUUCAUAAAUUAGGGGUUAUUUUAUACUUAUUUUAGCAAUUAAUACUCAUAAGUUCUUAUAUUUUAAUAUGAAAUAUUACUGCAAUUUUGCACUUAUCACUUACCCAUGACCAACGCACGAGAAUCCUCCACGAGAGGCACGAUGAGGAGGCCUUUAUUACUAAUAGGGCGAUGGAGGUUUUUAAUUCUUUAUAUGCUCAUCAUCUUUUUAUAAGAAAUGAGGUACUCGACUCUAGACUUGAACUUGUUCGGCCGUUGCCAAUAUAAGGGAAAUUUAGGUGUAAAAUUUGGAUAAGAGAAAAUGGGCUUUUGGUUGUCUUGCAACGAGCAUUUCAAAAAAAAAAUUAACUUUUCGAAGGAAGAGGCGUAAAUGGUAAAUAGAGAACCAUGUUGAGCUUCGUUCAAUGAAACUCAACUGACCUUAGAAUUGCAUUUCAAAGUAAAAAUACUUAAAAUCAUUUAUGGUAGGCCUAAUAUGGAGAUGAUGGCAUAGUAUUUGAAAGAAUUUUAUAAAAACCCAGUUAUUUGGGAGGAACAACUUCCUCCAAGGAGUCCUCUUAAAUGGAAAACAAGUUUGUAUGACUCAUUGAAGAGUCAUCUUCGAUAGAAGUAACCUCUCUUCUUACCAUAGGGCUAUUACUAUUGGAGGAAUCAAAGUGAGAAAACAAAGGCAAAGAAUAAGCCAUUAAAGGAACAUAUCUAGAGAGAAUAGAAGAAAAUGGAAGUAAAGAGGAAAGAUGAAUGAAAUGCUCGAGCAAGUAUCAAAAGAAGCAAGAAGAAAAGUGUAAGAAAUAAGAAUAUCGUAACUUUUACAAAUGCCUAGCGACAUUUCACUUUCUUGUGUAGGGUUGGGUCUUAAAGCGUGAAACAUAAUUUUUAAGCAUUGUAAUGUUUUAGGGCAACAUGUCAUCCUAAGCCAAUGUGGCAGGGUCGUGGUGAAACAUCAACCACCUAACUGACAUAACCAUAAGAACUCAUCAUUAGGUAUAAAAAUUCAUCAUUAAUUUUCAUGGUGUUUCAUACUAUUUUACAAUUAUUACUAUUUUAAUUACCAUUUCUUAAUAAUAAUAAUAAUUAUUGUUUUAAUUAUACUUUAAUUAUACUGAGUUCGGAUCAUCAAGUUGGAUAAGCUUGGACCAUCGAGCUAGAUAAACUUGGCCCUUCGAGCUAUAUGAAGGGUCGCAAAGUCUGGUCUAAGGCUAGUCGUGAAAAUACGACCCAUUUUUCAAAGCUCGGCCAAAAAACAUUACCAAAGUUUAAAGUUUAGAAUAAAAGUCUGGCUACCCUAAAACCAAGUUUCCUAGCUUGUGGGGUUUGUGUACUACUUAGUGUAAAAUAAUAAUAAUAAUAAUAAUAUGGUGUUUUCUUCCUGCACCUUUGUACAUUCUUGAUGUGAAUGUAACUACAAGAACACAUGAUUCUUGACAUUCUUAGGAACAACUUGAGCUGGAUUUGAAAGGCACUUUACUUUAGAAUUGGAUCAAUGUUCUAAAUUCAAGAACUCACCAAAACUAAGCACCAACCAAGACUCAUAUGGAAGUCCAUGUAUUGUCAAAUUGAAUCAAAACAAAAGGAAAGAAGAACAAGAAUUAAAACUGGACAGAAUUUAAAUGAUAGCUACUGAACCAAAACAGAAUUGAGAACACAAUGCUGGAAACACAAAAUUAAACGGUAGAAAAAGAAGUAAACUCUAGGAAUCAAAACUACCGAAUGGAAAAUUGAAGAAAAGGGAAGAAGAACACUUAUAGAAGAAGAUGCUUGCUGGAUUUUGAGAAUUGGAAGAAGCCAUUCACGCCACUUGGAACCUUGAACCAAGAUAAGUGAUGGAGUGCCACCACUUGAAGCUCACCAUAGCUCACAAGAUAAGGCAAAGAAGAGGAAGACUCAAAACUCACAAAUUCUCUCCAAAAUUGAGUAUAGUCUCUCUACUAUAAAAAUCCAAUCUGAAUUNNNNNNNNNNNNNNNNNNNNNNNNNNNNNNNNNNNNNNNNNNNNNNNNNNNNNNNNNNNNNNNNNNNNNNNNNNNNNNNNNNNNNNNNNNNNNNNNNNNNGUAAACUUCUUUAUCUUUAGGCUUGAUCUUCUCUUUGAUUUCUUUUAAUUUGUGAGAAGACUAGAAGGAAGAACUUCAAAUGUGUAGGUGAAAAUCCUCUUCCUUCAUUAAUAAAAUCCUCUCCUAGUGGAUAUCCAUCAAUUCUUCUUGCACCUCCAUACUUUUGGUGAAAAAUCAAAUUUACCCUUAAUGAAAUUAAAAAAUAAGCCUAAGUCCUUGCACCCUCCAUAAUCUUCUUCGUUCUAAUGUAGACAAUAAUCCAAAUUCUACAAUUCGGAAGCCAUUUUAUGGAUUCAUAAAUGACUUCUGAAUUGUAGAAUUUGGAAGCCAACUUUGUAUUUCAAAUUCUAAAAUUUGGAAGUCAUUUAUGAAUCCAGAAAAUGACUUUCGAAUUUUAGAAUUCAAAAGCAAACUUUGUAUUCCAAAUUCUACAAUCUGGAAGUCACCUAUACAAAUCUGAAUAACUUAGAAUUAUUUGAAAAUGGAAUUAUGUUACAAUGGAAAUCAACCAAAUAUUUGAUAACGUAUUGAUAAGCUCCAGUAACCAUUUAAUCGAUAUUUCAAAAGGCUAUAAAUAUAGCUUAUUUAUCGAGGGAGUACUCAUACUCAACCUUUUUUAAUCACUUAAAUACUAUUAUAUUUUUUCUAAAAUUCUUAUUGACUUGAGCGUUAGAGAGUAUUUUAUAGGUGGAUCACCACCCCAUCUUUAUCUACAAAGCUUAACAACUCUUCACAAAGAAGUCAACUCGCUCGACAUCCAGUUCAAACAGUUUUAGUAUAUAUAUAUAUAUAUAUAUAUAUAUAUAAUUUUUUAAAUUUAAAGAACACCAUUAAUUUCAGUUCUCCCACAUGCUAUGAGUUUGGUGAGUAAAUGGUAUACAAAAAAUUUGGAUAUCAAAUCUGAUAUUUUUCUUAUACUAAGUUAUAUAUUAUUCUUAGUGAAAUAAUUUUUCAAAGAGGGCCAUCAAAUUUAAUUUAUAUUUAUGCUUAUACUACUAUUCCAAUAAGUUGGAAUAAGUUAAGGUUAUUGAUUUUGGCAUCAAACUAUUUUGUACGUGUUCUCACUUUCGGGAUGAGAGGAGAAGCUCAUCCCGUGCGACUAUGGAGUAUUUUCCAAUUUCUUGUAAGACAAUAAAAAUAAAACUUGUAAUGAAAAAGAAGUCACAAUAAUUUAAAAAGACAAGUUUGAAAAGGUAAAAUAACAUUUUUUUCCAUAUAAAUCCAUGUAAAAUUUACGUAAAUGACAUAUAAAAGUGUAAUCACAUAUAUUUUUUAAUCAAUUAUCCAUCAACUAGUAUAGAGAAAUUAUAGUACUGAAUUGUCCAAUAUUUUUUUAAACAAAUAAUUUCUGAUUGUAUGUUUUUCCCCAAAUCAUCUAAAAUAUAUAUUGAGAUACUUGGUUCUAGAUAGUUAUCAGUCACCAAUUUAUAUACGCAUUCAGGUGAUUUCAAGUUGGCUGAGUAUGGGUCUUGGGUUAAUGGUGGUUGGGGUGACAUGUGGCUUGGAGAAUGAGGCUUUUUGAAUGGGAAAAGCAGUUGGAGAGUCUUUUUUUGAAGGAAAUUCAAGGGUUGAGGCUUGACGUGGGUUUUGAGGAUAGCUGGGUGUGGAAGGAUGGGGAGCUCUUAAGGUAUUCGAUUAAUUCUGCCUAUGUUUUUUUAAGGAAGGAUUCAGAGGGGGAACAUAAGUAUUUGUACGACAAGUUUUGGAGGUGCAAAUCUUUGUCCUCAGCUCAAGUCAUUGCUUGGAGGGUGUUGUCUAAUAAGAUUGUUACCAAGGCCAAUUUGUAAAAGCGUGGGGUUGUGGUCGAAAAUAGUUUUUGUGGGGUGGAAGAGAAGACAAGUCGUCAUUUGUUUUUUAAAUGCAUAUUUGGCUCAUUUGGAGACAAUGUUAUGUUUGGCUAGGUGUGGUGUCUAUGGAUCACAAUGACUCUUGUUAUCAUUUUUUACAAUCUAAGUUGGGUAGAGCAUCUGAAUCUGUUAAUGAUGUUUGGGGAGCGUUAUGGAUUGCUGUAGUAAGUGAGAUUUUGAAGCACAAGAGCAAAGUAAUUUUUAAAGGUGGUGUGGUUGAUGUUUCAGAAAUUUUUACUAUUGUUCAGUUAAAGGUUUGGUAGUGGGUCUCAUCCAAGAUAUCUUCAUUUUUUUUUCUCUUAUUCUGAUUGGUUUCGUGAUCAUUUGGUUUGUAUGAGGUUAGUUAUUUGAUGGAUUUUACAAAGUUAGUUUGUUCCUUUGUUGUGUUCACGAGCUUUGUUUAUCUUUGGAGGAGUGUUUGUUGAUUGUGUUAGGGAGAAGUUAACUUUUUCAUUUUAGAUUUUUAUAAGGAUUGAACCAUUCAUGAACUGGUUUACAUUAAUUUAUUUUUUCUUACUUAUUAAAAAAAAUAAUUCAUAUACACAUCACUAAGAAUAUAUUAUAAUAUAUUAUACCAUAAACAUAUAUAUAUCUCAAUAAAACGAACACUACAAGAAAAUCAUCAAAUAGAAACCAAUUUUUAGAAACCAAAAUAAUUAGUUGCAAUAGUAACUAAAUUAGAGACCAUUUUAGAAACUAAAACAAAAAUUAGUUUCUAAAUUAGUUUCUAUUAUUUUCUAUUAUUGUUAAAUAGUUUCUAAAUUGGUAUCUAAUUAGCAACCAAUGUUUUAUCUACCAAUUAUUUAGUUUCUAAAUUUAGUCUCUAAAACCUUGGUUGCUAAUUAGAGACCAAUUUAGAAACUAUUUAACAAUAAUAGAAACUAAUUUAGAAACCAAUUUUUGUUUUAGUUUCCAAAAUGAUCUCUAAUUUAGUUACUAUUGCAACUAAUUAUUUUGGUCUCUAAAAAUUAGUUUCUAUUUCAUCAUUUUCUUGUAGUGGAAACAUAAACUUUAUUAAUUUAAUUUCAUCUUUCAUAUUAUUUGGAGGCUAAAUUUUAUAUAUAAGAAUAUCUUUAUAAAAGUGAGUGAUAUCUAAACUUACACUUUCUUUUGCAUUAUCAUCAUAAUUUAUAUAUCUCUUAUUAAUCGAAGUGUUAAAUAUUUUUCUAUUUAAUAAUAGAAUAUUAUGUGAGAAUCACCUCUGCAUGUUCUAUAGCUCGAUAAAAUGAUUUCUUACCCUCUAGAGCUUCAGACAAAAACAAAAUACAAUCCAUAUAAAAUCAAACUAAAAUAUUUUCCAUCACAUGUCCAAUUUAAUGUAGUCCCAACAUGUUCGUCCCAUAUAAUAAUGAAAAGUCACAGAUACAAUAACAUAACGUAGACCCUAUCUUUGACGCAUGUCCACAUCAGUUUGAAAACUCUUGACAACUAUUGUCGACCUUAUAUGUCCUUGUUUACUGACGCACGCAUACCCUUGGUGUGCUUCGUCACACUGAAGGGACAUGGUUUUUCACGUUUUUCUUUCCAUUUCUGUUCUCAUAGAUCAGAUACUAAUUACCUAAAAGUGUAUUCAGUCCCGUUUUAUUUAAAUUUGUAUAUCAAAUAGUACAUGAGACAAACAUAAAGAGUAGAAGAUUGCAGGGACUUGAUAUGUACUAAACAAAGAGUAGGUUUUUAUAUGAAGUCAAUUUCUGGUAGUAAUCAAAUAAAAGUUUAAAUUUGUAUAGUACGAUUUUGAAGAGAUCUCAAUCAAGAUUAUUUAUCAGAAUAAAUUUUAAAUAAUGUAAUGUUUCAUAGAUAUCCUUUGACACAAAAUAAUUAAUAUAAUAAUAUACAAAUUUUUUUAUAAAAUAUAAAAUUAGUCUGAUAAUCUACUUUAUUUUGUUAUAGUUUUAAAAGUAUCACAAUCUUAUAAAUAAAAACACCAAUUAAAAUAAAAAUAUAUUUAUUAUACUAACCUACUUCGUAUCAAAUUCUGACUUAAAUAUGACAUUGAAGUACUUUUUUUACAAAUAUACCAUCCAUAUUGAUCGGAAAUCAGAUACCCCAGGACAUCAUCAAUCCAGUAGCAGUUUAGAAAGUUUAAGAAAGAAAGAUAUUUCUGACAUUUUAGUAAUACAAAAUUUAUUUUAAUAAGAGAUUAGUAAAUGUACAUCAUUUGUAAAUGAUUAAGUUUAAGAAAUUUAAUGACACGUUUGAACACAUGAUCGGAAACUGAAAACAUGUUUGGUCUGCCUUCCUGAAGCAAAUAUGAAAAAUUUGUUUUCAGUGACAUAAUCACAGGUCAUCCUGUGAAGUAGUAUUUGUUUGGUAUGUAAAAGGAAGAAGAGAGAAAAAAGAAGAGUCACAUAAGGGGAGAAGAUCUUGGUAGCCAGCCUCGUGGUGCCUCCGCGGACAGUCCAAGACCCAAACUCCGAGGUUGUCAUUUCCACUUCGGUCCCACUUUCUUCAGUGACCUCACUUUAGUGAUUCACUUUACCAAUAUACACUCAAAAUUUAUCUCUCUUCCACUACUUAGUUCUACAUAAUAAUCAAUAAUGCAUCUAAAAGAGGGUCAUUUUUUAUCAUCUGUUUCUAUAACCCGUGUAUAUAUUAUAAAUGUUACUUUGUGUACUUGUGAAAUAUGUUAGUAUAAGUACGGAAAAAUCAGGAGGAAUGUUGAUAAUAAAAACGUGGAUGAAUAAUGUUGUGGACUAUAAAACAUUACCUCAGGUCAGAAGUCGCCAACACUGCAUGGCUGCAUUCACUUGGUGUCCCCGAUAAGUGGAGCAAAGCUUCAAAAGCAAUUUCCAAUCAGCUUCAUCAAAGCUCAUCUUUUAACGCCUUUCUUAUUCCCUUCAAUCUUUUUGACAAAACAUAUUCUCGUUUUAGUUAGGUCAUCCUUAUUCUAAAUCAAAAGCAAUUAGUUGGCCCCUAAAACGUGAUUCUAUGCCAGAAAGGUCAUAAACCAUAGAGAAUUAUUAAACAAAGAAUAACUUUUCUUCCGAAACACCUACGCUUCAAAGUCCUUGCACUUGAACCAUGAUAGUGGGGGAUUUCUUUAGAACAACAACACGUAUAUAUUAUGUAACGAUGACUGAUACCUUUUAUUUUACGACCAGACUUGGGUUUUAGUUUUCAAAUCAUAUUAUAUUAGUAGAUUUUGUUCUGAAAAAUUAUUAGUAGUGGUAAAAAAGGAAAGAAAAAAAAACAGGUGCGGUAAGCGAUGAUUACAGCUCUGUACGUAUAUGCGUGUGCAGUUCAUAAUGCAGAGUGGUGAUAAGUGAUUUUACGUGUUUUGCUGUGAAAGCUGUUGCCAUUGUCGUGAGAGUGCAAGAUGGCCGAAACAAAAAAAGAAUAAGCCAUGAUAUCUUUAUGAAACUUGAACUAGGUAGGAUUCAUCAAAUCAUAAAAGAAGUUAAUGUUUCUUCUCUUGAUAUUUGGCCUGAGAUAAUAAUUCAACCGUUGGAGUCUGGGUCUGCAACUCUUUUCACGUAGUUUCAAGCCUCCUCAGAAGGAUCACCAAACACUAGAAAUGGAAAACGAGAAAAUAUUAUAUAGAAAUCAUGAAGGCUGUGUCACCACAUACAGAAAACACUCAUUAUAAAUUCCCUUUCCCAUGAACUCAGAACGUAAAAAGCUCAUGAGGAAUUUGUCUUUUCAGCAGACUAAGUAGCGCUGUUCAUCAUUUGUUUUGUCACUUCUGGUUCUGGUCCUGAUUAUACCUUCUCAUCUUCCCAUGAAUGAACAUUUGUAAACCUUUUAUUUUAAUACAAGAGCAAGGGGUUGUUUACAUUUGACAGAAAAUACGUGUACAUAAUUAAUCAAAUAAACAAAUUUAUCUUUCUUACAUUUCUGUACUUUUUUCUCUGAUUUUUAUUAUUUUUACGAUGUAAUUUUCCAGGCUUGUGAUUGAAAGCCCCAUUAUUUUAAAUCUUUAAUCUUAUUUAAUGGUAUUGUAGUGGGCUUCAUAUGAUUGAUAAUGGAUGGAAUGCAAACAUGAUUGACAUCACAGUCUUUUUAGAAUGUCUUUGCAUACCUUUUUAUUUAUAAAAAAAAAAUGGCUAGUUGAAUGGAUAUGUCAUGACUUUGAAAUGAGUUAUAACCGUCUUCAAAUAAAAUAAUUUAAAUAUGUAGAUCAUAUUCCGAUGAUGAAGAAAGUGUUGCUUAAGUUUAUAGAAUAUACACAAUACAUGUUCAUGGAGGUAGACAGAUUUAGGAUAGUGUAUUAGUAGUAAAUGAAGUGAUUGAAGAAGUAAAGAGGAAAAAGAGUAGUUGUGUAUUCUUUAUGUUUGACUAUAAGAAGGCAUACAACUUAGUUGUUUGAAAGUUUAUUUACUACAUAUUGGAUACAGGAGAGGUUAGAUUUAUGUGGCAAGUAGAUUGAUUGGAUAAGAGCUUGUCUUUUGUCUUCAUCGAUUUCCGUGUCAGUAAUCAGGAGUCAUACUAAGGAGUUCAAACCAAGGAAGGGGUUGAGACAAGGAGACCCCUUAGCACCAUUUCUUUUUUUUAUUGUGGUAGAAGGUUAGUUGGAGCUAUAAGCGAGGCGGUCGAGAAAGAUUUGUUAGAAAGUGUGGAGAUCGGAGGCUGGUCCAUAAAGGUUAAUAUGCUUCAGUAUGCGGAUGACACGUUUUUUUGCAAGACGAAAGCACAAAGUGUCUUCGUUAUCAAGGUCAUUCUAAAUUCCUUUGAAAUAGCCUCUGGCCUAAAGGUCAAUUUUCAGAAGAGCAAAGUCGGAGGGGUAGGAUGCAGAUACCUGGGAUUGCCGGUAGGUGGAUGUCACCAAAGAAGUAAGUUCUAGAAAAAGGUGGUGGAAAAAGUGAGAAGAAGGUUAAGCAAAUGUAAAGGUAAGUUUAUCUUUAUGGCAGGUAGACUUUGCUUGAUUAAAUCGGUGUUGUCUGCUUUUCCUCUAUUUUUCUUGUCUUUGUAUAAAAUUUCGAUUAUGGUGAUGAAGGAAAUAGUAAGGUUGCAGAGAAACUUUUUAUGGGGAUGGGGAUCAGAAGGCAAGAAAACAGUGUGAGCUUCAUGGAAAAAGGUUUAUGAGUCAAAAGAGGAGGGAGGGCUCGAUAUGAUAGAUUUAAGGCGUUUUAAAAUUGCCUUGUUGGGAAAGUGAAUUUAGCAAUUAGGUUUUGAAAAUACGGGUUUGUGGAAAGAAGUUCUAGAUUCGAAAUAUGGAGGUUGGAGGGAACUCCGGAGUUAAAGAAGACUGUUACAUACGGAUAUAAUCUGUAUGUAACUUAUUUAAAAUUUUAUUAAAAAAUAACAUAUAAUAAUAUUAAUAAUAUUAAUAUUAAUAAUAAUGUUAAUAAGUAUAAUUAAAAUCAUAAUAUGACAAAAGAACUUGUCUAGUGUAGUGAUACACACCAAUAAACCCUAUCUUGGCCCCAACAAUUACAGAAAUACAACAUGUCCUUGGUUUUUCUCAAAUGUACUCAAACUAAAAACAUUUUUUAUGUUAUAUAUUAAAUUAUUGUUUUCAGUAUAUAAAACAUAUUACAUAAACUAACGUAAAUUACACACUUAAAACCGUCACAUUAUACAAUGCAUUAUAUGGCGUCUACUACAACGGUUCUCACUUGACUGCCACAUUAAACUUUGUGGCGGCAAGAAUGCUGGCGUUACGCGGUACCGCCAUAGAUGUAAAAUGUGGUGGUUAUAAACGCCAGGUUAUACGAAAAUAACCGCCACCACAUACACGUUUUUUUGUAGUGAUCUAAAAACUUCUUAGUAUUUUCAAUCAAUUGAUUUAAAAGAUAACAUAUUGAAAAACUGUAACUUUCCAGAAAACAAAAUUAAAACCAGUUGAAAAACUUUUUAACCAGUUGAAAAAUGUUUGUUCUUGGAUUCAUCAUCAUUCCAAAAGGUAAAAGAUAAAUCAAGACAUACAAAAUAAAAACUAAACUACCUAGACACAUAAGGCAUCAAGUCUUCAAUCAUAGUUUCAUUAAACACCAAAGUUGGAUCCUUGAGAUGUCCAACAAUAUCAACCUUAAUGAUAACAUGAAUAAGGAACAUAGGGAGAUUUUGAGCCAACUAAACAUUAUAAGUAUGAGAAACAAAUCCUUAUUUAAAAAAAAAAAAAAUUGGGUUACAAUGGUUUAAACAUGGGGAUUCUAAUUAUAUGUACUUUCAUGCCAUAAUUAGAUGGAGGAGAUUAAAAAACAAAAUUAGUGGAGUUCAUAGUUUGGGCAAUUGGAUUGAAGAACCACUUAUGGUUAAGGAUGAAGUCCAAUUUUUUUACACAAAUAGGGGUAAGGUUGGACAAUAAUGAAUUUCAUAGGAUACUGAAAUCGAAUAAUUGUUUUCUGAUUGCCCCUUUUGAGGAAAAAGAAAUUAAGGAAGCUAUUUGAGACUGUGGGAGUUGCAAAAGCCCUGACCCAGAUGGUGUAACUUUCAACUUCACUAAGAAUAAGUGGGACAUUCUAAAAAAGAUGUUAUAGUUGCAGUGUAGUCUUUUCAGAGUUCUGGUAAUACACUUAGGGGAUGCAACACUUCCUUCAUUACUUUAACUUUAAUCCCUAAAUAUGUAAAUCCAUAAUCUGAAUAUUGUACAAUCUGAAACACAAGUUUUAGCUUCCAGAUUCUAUAACCUGAGAAGUCUUUGAUUUUACAUUCCAGAAUUAAAGAAAAAAUAUUCAACGAAAAAUGUCAAUGAGUAAUUUGAGUAUUUUUCUUAAAGUAUGGGAUGCAAGAAGAUGGGCAUGGAGGUGCGUUAGAAACUACCCUCAAUCCCUAAUUCAUAACACCUUCACGAAAUUCAAUAAUGGUUUUUUAAUAUUUUUUUUAUCUUUUUAAAAUACAUAGAUUGUUUAGGUUUCAAUACUCAUCAAAUGCUAAAUGUAGUAGUCAAACCUUUGUUUCAUGGAUCAUUAAAAAUAAAUCAAAGUAUAAUAAAAAAAUCAUUUUGUUUCAUAUAAAAAUAUAACACUACAAGACGGACGUAAAAGCUAAAAAACGGACGCUUAUGCGUCGGAUUAUCGUCCGUUCCACAUCCCACGAAAAAAGCCUGGAAGCAAAUGAAAACUAGCGUGGUCCAGAAAGUUGGACGCAUCUUGCGUGGGCCAAGCCCACGCAAAACGGACGCAACAUGCAGAAGCUGGGUAGACGUAAAAUGGACGCAUAUGCGGCGGCUUUUGCGUGGGCAGAUCCGACGUAUAAUUUUUAUUUCGCUUAUGCGUCGGUCUGGCCGACGAAAAUGAUAAAAAUAUAUAUUUAAAAAAUAUCAGAUUUUGCGUGGGCUUGGCCCACGCAAAAGCGGACGCAUGUUUUAAAAAAAAACUUGUGUGGGCCUGUGGCCGACACAUGUGAUGAAGAAAAAAAAACAUUUCAUUUUGCUUUCUAACCAGAUUACCUGUAAAAAUUAAAUACCAACCAAAUCACAUUCAAACAAAUUACUAUCAUUCACAAUACAUCCAUAAACACCCAAAUCCACAAACACAUCCAAAGUACAAAAGUAAUAGAAAUAGUUAAACAAAAGAUAUGAAUACUUAAAAAAAUAUUACAACUAAAAUUGUACAUUACAAAUUUAACUAGAAGUAGCAAAAUGAAUCUCAUAGUGAUGUGAUAAACCUGUAAAAAAAUAUAAACAAUAUAAAUAAAUAAAUCAAAUAAUUAAAAUACUUAAUAUAUAAUAAAAAUAUCAAAUAGUUAAACUUACAUUAUAGGAUGCACUUUAAGGAACAAGGUUGAUCAUCUUGUUCUGGAUCAUACUCAUAAUCGAAUUGUGUUGUGCUAUUGGAAGUAGUUUUGUCACGUUCCAUAGAGAUAAGUCUAUCUUUUAUAACCUUCAGCUCAUCCUCCAGGUGUGCAUACUUCUGACUCCACAUACUAAGUUCAGCACGAAGCAUUUGAUUUUCAGUCACAUGUCCAGAUUGUGAAGUGCCGGAAGCAGAGGCUUGGGUGAGAGAAGAGACUCCUUGGCGGAUGUUAGCAGCCAAGUCUGCCGUACCAUACACCCGACCUCUACUCUUUCCUCCGGCAGCUUCCUUCCAUGUUUGAAGCUUAGUUGUAGGAUCAAGUUGGUGGACAUCAGUGUUAGAGUCCUGAAAACUAUUUGCUUGAAUGGCCUUCAAGCGCUCAUGAUACUUUUCCUACACAUAUCAUUACAAAAUGAAAAUGUUAUAAAAUUAAAAUAUAAAUAUAAAACAAUUUAAAAGAAUAACUUACAUAAGUUUCUCGAGCACGAGAAUCAACCCAUUCACCCUUCUUAUUUGUGUGGGUGGCCAUAAAUAGUUCAUCAGGUUCUGGAGGACAGCCAUAUUGACGUUCCUAACAAUGUUGUACAAUUUAAAACAUUAUAGGUUGCAAAUGUAAAAUGAUUUUCAUGUAAGGCAGUGACAAGUACUUACCAAGGUAACUGCAAUAUCUGAAUGUGAUUUUCUACCUGUGGAGUGCAGUGCUCCACCACGAGCUGAACUCCUAUUGGCUUUAUUUUGAGUUGAUUUAUCUUUGAAUUUUUGUGAAUCCCAAUAGUUUAGAAGUUCAACCCAUGCUUGCUCACCUAUCCAACUAGGGCGGACAACCUUUGUCCUAGCCUUAGUCAACGUGUCACAAAGUCUUUUUUUGACUUUAGACUCGUAGACCUUUUUAAUUUGGCAUUCAUCAUGGGGUGCCCAAGUGACUCUAGUCUGUUAAAAAGAAGAAAAUAGUUACUUUGAGUCCACAAGAAAAACAAGAAAACAAGUGAUUGUAGUUUGUCAAAAAUUAAAAUUACCUGAAAGUCAGUCCAUCAUUUCAGUUUUUCCUCCUCAGGCAUGGCAUCAUAAUAAUGAUAUGGACCUCUAAAUUGAGAUCGAAUGCAAUGUCCAAUGGCCUCACUAGCAAAAUGAUUUGGUGUCCAACUACAAAUACAAACAAAUAAAAUUACAAACAUAGUAAUAUAAAGAUAAAAUUAAAUGUACAUUUAGGAUGACUUACCCUCUACCAAGAAGUCGGAUGAUGACCCUACUAGUAGGGUCACGCUGGACCUCCUCAGGGGGGAGGUUAUGCUCUGAAGCAGCAGUGGCACCAUGGUCAACAUGGUCAACAUUUACUCUCUGCAGCCCUUAUUUAAUUUACACACCCUACAUCCCUUUUUCUAAUUUUCUGCUCCAAUAUGCUGCCCAAUUUUUUUACUCUCUGCACCCCUAUUUCAUUUUAAACCCACGUCACUAAAUGAACUUUAUUGUUUCAAUCAUCAAUAUUUUUUUUUAACACUACAAAAAUUAAAAACUUCAUAAUUAUUAAGAAUUCUAAAUAAAUAAAAAUUUAAAUUAUUUAAACCAUGGAAGUUAGCCUUACUAUAGUUUUCUCUACUGGAAGACCAAUUUAAUAUUGAGAAGGACCCAAUCACACGGCUGAAAAUCAAAUUUCUACUAUUCUAAUAAUUCAUGUAUAAGUAAAAUGAUUUGGGUUAACAACCCAGGAAGUAGAUUGAAGAAAAAUAGUUUUCGAAACUCAAUUUUACAAAACAGUUUGAUUUAAAUUAUAAAUAAAGUUGUCAACUUAGAUGAAACAUUCACUAAUUUUGAUAAGAAAUGACUUCAAUAAGGCGUAUGCAAAAGUGUAUGAAUGAUCAAGUUUUGUUGUAAAGAAACAGAAAAGAAAAGACCAUAAACAAGCAAUCAUGUAUCUGUACACAAAUAUCCAAUUGUGAAGACAAAAACGAGAUGGUAUUUGUCUAUUUCAUUAAACACUGCACUAUCAAUUAUUAUAAGGAAAAAGAGAAGUGAAGACAAAAACUAUUUGGUAGAAUAAUUGAGUUUCAUUGACGGGAUUCGUUUAAUAAUUUUAUCCAGUGGCUUAAGAAAAGAAUUAUUUACAACAAUUCUUCAAUACAACAAAAGUGGAUGAAUCCAAAUUCAAAAUCGGAAAGACGAAAUUUAACAUCUUUAAGAAACUGCGAGUGACCCACGAGGCUCAUAUAAAUGCGCGACAUCACAAUAAUCCAAACCAGCAACCAACAAUAAUCCAAACCAACAAUAAUCAUACCAGAAACCAACAAUAAUCCAAACCAGCAAUAAUCCAAACCAGCAAUAAUCCAAACCAGCAACCACAGCUCAAUAUCCAAAUAAAAAAUUGGUAAAAUGUGAACCUGAGGAGGAGGCAGACCUGGACCGAAGGCAGAGCAGGACACGGAAGGAGAGCUGCACGCGCGGAGGAAGCUCGACGCGGAGGAAGCUCGCGCGGAGGAAGCUCGGCGCGGAGGGGAAGCUCGACGCGUAGGAAGCUCGACGCGGAGAAAGCUCGACGCAAAGGAAGCUUGACGCGGAGGGAGAACUUGACGCAGAGGAAGCUCGACACAGUGGAAGCUCGCGCGGAGGGAAAGCUCGAAGAGGAAGCUGAACGCGGAGGAAGCUUGCGCACGGAGGUAACUGAAAUUGGGAAAUUAGGUUUUCAGAGAUUUGGGGGUUUUGAUAAACCGGGAACAAAAAAAAAUUUCUAUAUACUCCCAGUAUGCGUCCGACAUCCGACGCAUACUUUAAAAUAUUUAAUUUUAUUUUAAUUUAAAAUCGAAUUCAAAAUUUAAUAAAUAAAUUAAAACAUUUUUUAUAUAAAAAAAUUUAAAUUUAAUAUAAAAAAAAUAAUUUCAUUAUAUAACAAAAACUUUUAUUAAUUUAUAAAAAAAAUUAAUUUAAUUUAUACAAUACAAAAAUUAAUUAAAUUUACACAAAAAUAUUUAAUUUAAUUUAUACAAUAAAUAUUUACUUCAAUUUAUAUAAAAUAAUUUAAUUUAAUUUCUACAACAUAAAAUUAAUUUAAAUUGUAAAAAAAUAUUAUUUAAUUUAUAUUAAAUUUAUAAAAAAUAUUUAAUUUAAUUUAUACAAUAAAAAAUAACUUUAACAUCUACUACCACAAAUAUCAAUGAAUCCUAUUAUUGAAAUUGCUCAUGAUACCCUCAUCAUCCCUUCUAACUUAUAAUCCAAAAUCUAAUAAUCAACUAUAUUCCAUGAUUCUAAGUUAAUUCUAUAACUAUCACGAAAUGACUCAUAUUUCUCAAAUUGCUUAUGAUACUCUCUUUCAGCCUUUACAAUGCACUUCUUAGUUCAACUCUUACCUUGACAAUGGACUACGUUAUUAACUUCUUCCUGCUAGGGAGAUGAGACCUAGACAACUAUUGAAGUCUUCGUCUUCUUCCCUCGGUCAGGCAGAUUGUUGGGUGCUUGCCUGGGGUCCUUCUCAUCUUCGUGCUUCUUUCCUCGGCUCUCGGUCUAUGGCGAACACCGAUGGGGGAUACCUGUGAAGGCACUCUGACGCUCAAGUCAGUGAAGCGGGUGAUCAGUAUUCUCGUAGGUGAACAGUAAUAAAUGACGUACCUUUCUUCUUGGAAUGUGUGCUUUGUAUAUUAUUUUAAUGGGCUGACCUUAUUGGGUCUGAUUAGUGGAAUGAAUCUCGUUUAGGGUUGUAUUACCUUAUCCUUAAUGACGGAUUAGCUUCACUGACCUUAGUUUCAGCGUUAACGGUAGUAUGGGUCGGCCGACCGUGAUGAUUCCACUCGUCUCAGCCAACCUUCCAUGGUCUCGACCAAGUCUCUCAGGUCUCGGUUGCCUCAGUCAAGUCCCUCAGGUCUCUGCCAGGUUCCCCUUGGUCUCUGCCAAGUUCCCCUUGGUCUCGGUCAGGUACACCAGGUCUUGGACAGCCAGGUGGGUCUCGGUCAAGGAGACCAAGUGUCAGUCUUGCCCAUACCGGCACAUAACUUAUAAUCCAAAAUGUAAUCAUGAACUCUAUUCCAUGAUUUUAAGUUCAUUUUAUAUCACACACAGUCGAAACUUACUUAUUUAUGUUACAUUUAUUAAAAACUAAGUCUACUAAAUUUACUAUGUCAAAGACCUAUUAUUUAGUAUAUUGGGAAACUAUAUUAACACACUUAUAAGGAAUAUUGCAUAUGUAUCAUCUCGUUACUUACUACAUUAUUAUGUGCUUCAGUUGGAAAACAUUAAUUUCUUUUCGAAAUCAUACUCAGUAACUAUAACAAUGACAUUUAUAGAGGAUGUAGUCAACUUUAGAACACUUUGGAUAUUGUAUCAAUCUAACAAUUAAGAAUAAGUUACUUACUCACGCACUUAAUCUUAAUAUGUUUGUAUCAUAUACAUUUUCGCUAAUUCAUUAAGAUGAUCUUAUGAUUCAUUUAUGAGAAAUAACAUCUUCAAAACUGUACUGGAUAUCUAAACAAAAAUCCUAAUUCAUUCAUCCAUUGCACACAUAUAACAUUUAAAUUUAUUUAAGUUACUAAUCAAAAGUUUUAUCUAACUUUUUUUUUCUUAAACUAAAUAAAACAUUUUUAGAUCAAAUUUAUUCUCUAUUUUUAAAUACAUCCAUUACCAUUUGCAUUAAUUAAUUACUUCAUCUUGAAUUGAUAUUCUUAAAUUUAUGUAUAUUUUAUAUAAUAUUUACAAAAUUUAAAUACACAUUUUAUUUUUAUUUUUUUUUACUAUUUUUUAAUUAAUUAUUAUUUUUCUAUAUGUUUUCAAAUCUUUAUAAACUUUUUAAGAUAACUUCUUUUAAAUAAUUUUAAAAUUAAACACUUCAUCAAUUUAAUAAAUGUAAUUUAACUAAUUUAUAUCAUAAUUUCAAAAAUAAAAUAGUUAUAACAAUAUAUAAAUAAAGUAAAUUUAAAAUAAAUAAUUUUUGAAAUAAUAAAAUAUUUUAUAUAACAUUUAAAUAAUUUAAAUAUAUAUUUUCUUUUACUCAAUUAAUUUUAAAUCAAACACUUAUUUAAUUUAAUAAAUUUAAUUUAACUAAUUUAUAUUCAAAAUUGAUAAAUUAAAUAAUUUAUUAUAAUAUUAAAGAAAUAAUUUUAAAAUAAAUAUAAUAAAGAAUUAAAUAUUAAAAUAUUUAUUAUACAUUAAAUAAAUUUGAAUUUUAAAAUUCUAAAAAUGCGUGGGCCAUUGCGGACGCAUAUGCGUGGGCUUUGUGGCCGACGUAUAUGCGUGGGCCGCGGCCGACGCACACUGAUUUUUUCUUAAAAAAUAAAUUAAACCCAUUUGUGCGUCCCUUUUGCGUCCAAGGUUAUUCUUGCGUGGGCUUUUAGCCAUUUUGGCCGACGAGAGUAGCGUCUGCAAGUGGCCCACCCAAAAUUUUGGAAGCUAAUUGUUACUUUUCUUGUAGUGUAAGUAGUUGAGGUUUUCAAUUUUUCAAAUUAUUCUUUUCUAUAUUUCAAUUUUGUUUAUGCAUGCUACAUUAAUUUUUUAAUCAUUAUGUUAUACUUUCGAAAUACUUUCAAUGGUUAAUGCAGCCAUACAUAUCAAUAUUUGAAAAUAUAAAAUGAUAUUAUACUGAUUACCACAAUAAAGAUAUAACUCUAUUUAAAAAUAUAUUUAUUUUAUUUUAAAUUUAUUGAGAAUAUUUUAAACAUUAUUUCAUAUUAAUAGUUGAACAUACAAAAAUAAUCAUAAAAAUAAAAAAAAAAUUAAUAUCAAUACAUUUUGUAAAUUUGGGUUACUAUCUCAUUGAUUAGUUAAAAAUCACUAUUACAGUGAAUUGUCUUUCCAUAAAAUUAUAUACAAAUUUUAAAAUAAUAUUACAUAUUUUAUAGCACUUAUAAUUAAGAAGAGAAAAAUGUUGAUGAAUAUGCUGAUACUACAUACAAAGUGGUUCUUUGUGACAUAAAGUUGCUUCAAAUUAUUGAAAGUAUUGCUUGAAUGCGAGAGAGUGAUGAUUUGAGAUAGAAAUUUUUUAGAAGAGAAUAUCUAAAUUACAGAUACUACGUUCUUUUUCACUAAUUUUUCUAAUGAGUUCUAUGAAAAGGAUUUAUGGAGAAUUUUUUAGCAUUGGGAAAGAGUUCUAGAUGUCUUCAUCUCUAGAAAGUUAAAUGUAAAAUAAAAAACAUUUUGGAUUUGUUAGAUUCCAUGGGGUGAAGGAUUCACUCGCCUUGGAAAGAAAGUUGGAUUCCAUUUGGAUAGGAACCUGGAAGUUGUAGGCAAAUAAACCUGAGUAUAGUAGGUAAGAGAUUCCAAAGAAAGAAUGGACUUCCAGGCAGCGAGAUGUUCAUACUCAGAAAGUCUGGAGUCAAAAGGAUCAACAACGUUCUUUUGCUCAAGUUGUUAAGAGCGGAAAUGCGAGCAACGCCCAUAAGAGUGUAGAAGACAACAUGCCCCAAUUCAUAGUCAAGGUGGAGUCAUCCAAGUGACUCGAUAAGUGCUUUUUCGAAAGGUUGUUGGAGGCAGCAAAUGUGUAGUCCAUCAAGGAGAGCUUUUUUCUGGGAGAGUUUAGUGAGAUUAAGAUACCUAGGGGAAAAGUAUGUGCCCUUGUGUUGCGAAUACGGGGGCAUAAUUGAGAAGGCAAUUAUUGAGAACAAAUAUUGGUUUGACAAUCUUUUUGGAUCAAUAGUUCCUUGGAACAACUCUUUUGUGGUAACUGGGAAGUUUGUAUGGGUUAGUUGUAGUGGUAUCCCGUAGGUACUCUGGAGCAGUCAAUGUUUUGAAUGCAUUGGGGCUUUAAUCAGUAUUGUUGUAGAGGUUAACGAGGCAACCAUUGCAAGAGAGGUGUUAGAGUUCGCGAGGUUGCGCAUCAGAAUCCCAGUGGGAGAGGUGGCAAAACUAGUGAAAUCAGUGAUAAAAAAUGACAUCUCUGUCAGGUCUCCCUUGAGGAAGAGAAUUGUAUUCCAUUUCCCUUGUUAGGGUCUCUCUAAAAUAAGUGGGGCGCAGUCACUAAGGAUGAAUCUAAGGCCCACUUGGGCACUAGCGUUGGAGAAGAG